Molecule: long non-coding RNA, 100521 nt
Filed under: Vigna radiata
Lineage: Eukaryota; Viridiplantae; Streptophyta; Magnoliopsida; Fabales; Fabaceae
Description: long non-coding RNA (VRAD_LNC002858)
Source: RNAcentral
GCUACCCAAAAAUUGUUCAGAAAAUUCAAAAAGUACAAGUUUCAAAGAAAAUAAAACCAAAAACCGAAAAAAGAAAAUUGUUCCUAAAAAUACAAAAUUUUAUUCCCAACAAGUUCAGCUCUUCUUCUUCACAUUGGGAUCUCCAUCAUCCCACCAGCUCACUUUUCUUCGGUCCACCUUUUGGUCACUUUUGAAUAUGGUCUUUGAAUCUCCACCAUUCCUUUUUCCUUCAACUCCUUUAUUAUCCAUAGCUUCUUUUUAAACCUCACUUUGCUUCCCGGUAGGAGUGAAUCUUCUUUUGGUUCUGGGUGAAUGGUUCUUCUCCCUUUAUCCUCAGGUACCUGCAAAACACAACAACUGUCACACUGAAAAUUAAUACCUGUGGAUUUGUCUUCCUCUGCAGCUUCACUUCUGGCUCUUUUAUAUUUGACUUUUUUAACUACCCUCUGUACAGUUUCUUUAGAGCCAUAAAGCAGUACUCGAUCAUAAUCCUUUAACUUUAUUCCUCCAUCAUGGAUACGUAUAACCAUCUUGGAGGUUUGCAUGAACAGUCUUCCCAGGAUUAAUGAAUUUUUUCCUUCAUUAGCCAUAUCCACAACUAUAAAGUCAAUAAAAAACUCCAACUCAUCAAUCCGCACAAUUGCAUCCUCUACCAUCCCAACAGGUUUCUUCAUAGAUCCAUCUGUUAUUGUCAAGAUCACCUUGGUAGGCUUCAAUUUUACUCCUUUUAUCUUCUUGAAAUCACUGAGAGGCAUCAAGUUAAUGCUUGAUCCUGAAUCAAUCAAAGCCUCUCCUAGAUCCACAUUAUUGAUAACACAAGGAAGGGUCAAAGCUCCUGAAUCCUCUAGUUUCUGUGGAUGAUUCUUCUUCUUGGGUUUCGCCCACUGCUCCUGAUUUUCUUCAUAACCUAAAUCAAGUAACCUUUCCAGAUAGUAUUUGAUCUUGUCAUCACCCUCAAGAGUUUGUGAAGAUGUUAAAGGAUUAAGAGGUGCCUCCUUAAGAAGUUGGCGGAGUGACUCUCUAAUGUCUUCCUUCUCCUUUUCUCUUUCUGAUUUCUUCCUUUCGCUUCUCUUAUGUGUAUUACUCAUCCUUUCCUCCUCUUCGUCAUUGUUGCUGCCAAUCUCACUUAUUUCUUCUUCUAGUUUCCACUUUGCUCCUGUUGCAACAACUUUGCAUUCAUCUUUUGGGUUAACAACAAUAUUAGCCCGAAAUUGAUGCUUUUUUGUGGUUUCAACCCUCUUAGACAACUGUCCUAUUUGUGUCUCUAGUGAUCUAAAAGUUGCCUGAUCACUUGCUUGUUGAGAUUCAUAGACCUUCAAAAAUUUAUCAAACCUGUCAGUCAAUUCUCUGACUGUCUCAGUCAAGCUGCUUAAUUGUUGCCAUAAGGGAGAAGGUUGCUGCCGGAAGUUUCCCCCUUGUCCAGAAGAAGCAUGUUGGCUUUGCCCAAUACUUAGAUGAUUUUUCCAACCUUGGUUAGAGUUACCUUGGUUGUAAUUUCCCUGUUUGUACGGAAAUUGGGCCCCCAUAUAAUUCACGUCCUGCUGCAUCUCUUCUGUUAACACACAUUGACCAUUAAUAUGGUCACCCCCACAUAAAUCGCAAAGUUGUUGUGCCUCGGAAACAUUUCUAAGCCCCCUAGGAAGUUCAGAGACCACCUUUAGCAACUUAUCCAAUUUCUGACUGAGGAGGUGAUUUUGUGCUGCUGCUGCAUCUUCAGUGGGGAGAUGUAAAAGUCCUCCUUUUUGCGUGCCUCUUUCAUUCUGCGACACUUCAUUGAGAGCCAUCUCUUCAAUUAAGUUAUACGCCUCAUCCUCUGUCUUUCUGUUAAUACUGCCUCCAGUCGAGGCAUCUAUCAUCAUUNNNNNNNNNNNNNNNNNNNNNNNNNNNNNNNNNNNNNNNNNNNNNNNNNNNNNNNNNNNNNNNNNNNNNNNNNNNNNNNNNNNNNNNNNNNNNNNNNNNNNNNNNNNNNNNNNNNNNNNNNNNNNNNNNNNNNNNNNNNNNNNNNNNNNNNNNNNNNNNNNNNNNNNNNNNNNNNNNNNNNNNNNNNNNNNNNNNNNNNNNNNNNNNNNNNNNNNNNNNNNNNNNNNNNNNNNNNNNNNNNNNNNNNNNNNNNNNNNNNNNNNNNNNNNNNNNNNNNNNNNNNNNNNNNNNNNNNNNNNNNNNNNNNNNNNNNNNNNNNNNNNNNNNNNNNNNNNNNNNNNNNNNNNNNNNNNNNNNNNNNNNNNNNNNNNNNNNNNNNNNNNNNNNNNNNNNNNNNNNNNNNNNNNNNNNNNNNNNNNNNNNNNNNNNNNNNNNNNNNNNNNNNNNNNNNNNNNNNNNNNNNNNNNNNNNNNNNNNNNNNNNNNNNNNNNNNNNNNNNNNNNNNNNNNNNNNNNNNNNNNNNNNNNNNNNNNNNNNNNNNNNNNNNNNNNNNNNNNNNNNNNNNNNNNNNNNNNNNNNNNNNNNNNNNNNNNNNNNNNNNNNNNNNNNNNNNNNNNNNNNNNNNNNNNNNNNNNNNNNNNNNNNNNNNNNNNNNNNNNNNNNNNNNNNNNNNNNNNNNNNNNNNNNNNNNNNNNNNNNNNNNNNNNNNNNNNNNNNNNNNNNNNNNNNNNNNNNNNNNNNNNNNNNNNNNNNNNNNNNNNNNNNNNNNNNNNNNNNNNNNNNNNNNNNNNNNNNNNNNNNNNNNNNNNNNNNNNNNNNNNNNNNNNNNNNNNNNNNNNNNNNNNNNNNNNNNNNNNNNNNNNNNNNNNNNNNNNNNNNNNNNNNNNNNNNNNNNNNNNNNNNNNNNNNNNNNNNNNNNNNNNNNNNNNNNNNNNNNNNNNNNNNNNNNNNNNNNNNNNNNNNNNNNNNNNNNNNNNNNNNNNNNNNNNNNNNNNNNNNNNNNNNNNNNNNNNNNNNNNNNNNNNNNNNNNNNNNNNNNNNNNNNNNNNNNNNNNNNNNNNNNNNNNNNNNNNNNNNNNNNNNNNNNNNNNNNNNNNNNNNNNNNNNNNNNNNNNNNNNNNNNNNNNNNNNNNNNNNNNNNNNNNNNNNNNNNNNNNNNNNNNNNNNNNNNNNNNNNNNNNNNNNNNNNNNNNNNNNNNNNNNNNNNNNNNNNNNNNNNNNNNNNNNNNNNNNNNNNNNNNNNNNNNNNNNNNNNNNNNNNNNNNNNNNNNNNNNNNNNNNNNNNNNNNNNNNNNNNNNNNNNNNNNNNNNNNNNNNNNNNNNNNNNNNNNNNNNNNNNNNNNNNNNNNNNNNNNNNNNNNNNNNNNNNNNNNNNNNNNNNNNNNNNNNNNNNNNNNNNNNNNNNNNNNNNNNNNNNNNNNNNNNNNNNNNNNNNNNNNNNNNNNNNNNNNNNNNNNNNNNNNNNNNNNNNNNNNNNNNNNNNNNNNNNNNNNNNNNNNNNNNNNNNNNNNNNNNNNNNNNNNNNNNNNNNNNNNNNNNNNNNNNNNNNNNNNNNNNNNNNNNNNNNNNNNNNNNNNNNNNNNNNGACAUGGUGAAACUAGAUGAAAAAUGGAAGAAGAAUGAAAGAGCAAACCCUAGAAAAGAUGAAAAGGAGCCUAAGCAUCCAAGAGAUCCUCUCCAGAGAGCAAAAUUAGGUCUGGUCGUCUUCCCCUGUCAAAAGAAUGACUCUGAAUUCGUAGUAAGGGCAUUUAUAGGUGAGGAGUGCGUCAAAAUCAGGCCCUAGUCCAGCUUGCUACCGCCGGGCGGUUUAAGUGUGCCGCCCGAUGGUUUGCCACAACCUGCCGCCAGCGCCCGGCGGCAAUCGCCAGCGCCCGGCGGUUUCUGUCAGCGUGAAAUGUUGCCUACUCCUCGUCCUGGACCGCUCGGCGGUUUAAGUGUGCCGCUGGGCGGUACGUCGACCCUUCAAAACUCAACUUUUCUGCUCUUUUCUUGAGUCAACGACCUGUAUCUUCAACUCCAUUCUUACUUUUCUCAAAUUAGCUACAAAACAAUGCAAAAUAAGCAUAAAAUCGCUAAAAACAACUUUUGACUCUCUCCAGACUCAUUUAUUGAGUUUUCCUUGAUUCUAAGCUCGUUCCAAGUAGUGAAGGGUGUAAUUUGGUCCAAAUUGACAUAUGAAAAUCACUGUUUUUCAACCUUCAUCAAAAGAACAUUGCUUUUACGUUUCACCAGUUCACCCCCCUCUUGGUGUGAGAAACUAAGCCAUUCUAUUUUAACAAGUUCAAACAUUAAUGUGUAGGUAUCUUAAGCAUGGUGUCAUACUAGUGUUUGUGUAGGCUUCUUCAACUUAAUCAGACGCUUCUGCCUUUUUGAAUAGGUUUCAUCUAGGUUUAGAUGAUUUUUCUCAAAGUACUUGUUCUUGCGUCACUCUCAUCAGGUGCUUAUUUAUGGGGCUCUAGAUAUUGUUUCAAUUAAUCUCAUGAUCUGUUUUUGUUUUGAGCUAGUUUAUUUAUACUUGUUUUUUAUUUAGGUUUUCCUUGUCUAGAUUCAAUUCACCCAGGUGAAUAUUAUCUCAGACCAUGUUCUUUCUUUCUAAGGAAUAUUAAGUACUUUUGUUAAACAUUAAAACUUCAAGUUGCUAGACGGUCUAGUCUUUUUAGAUGAACUUGUCUCAAUAAGGGUAAAACUAGAGAAAGGGGAAAAUUUGAGCUUUUCACUAGGAGUGGGAUGGAUUUACGUAAAUGGAAUAGAUGUAGUGAUUUCACAAUGCCAUUAUUUUCACAUUGGUAAAAUGGACUUGGAGGUUGGCCUACCCCACCUUGUCCAAGCUUGCUCAGAUUACGAGUUAUGCAAGUCAAUUUUUAGCUAGUUAAUGGGCUCAAAACCUCAGUCCGCCCAUCAUUUUUCACUAUGGGCCUACGGGUCGUCCCACGUGGCUUGUCCUUCAUUGCCACCCAGACUAGUAGGAUUUGUAGUUUUCUUCUUUAGAUUUGGUUGCUCAAUUGUUUUCUUAAAGUAAUUAAAGUGGAUAUCAUUACUACAAUUACUCAAAUGAUUUAGAGGAUUUGAAAUCAUAGUAGAUUUCAAGGUUCAAUUGCGUUUUCCUUUGUUAUUUUUCAAAUUAAAGAGUCAGUGUGUAUGAUUGGGAACUUCAAAAGAAUCUAAAACACAUUUGAGUGAUACUAUUUAUGAUUUUUUUUGUGCUAAAAUUUUUAAUAUUCAAACUAGGAAAGGUAAAUGAUUUCAUUUAUGGACAUAAUAGGACAGGUUCCAUAUGUUAAUUUGCUUCAAGGUGAAUAUUGAUGGUGUGACUAGGAGUUGUUUUUGUUUGACUUUAUGUGCGAGUAUUCUUAGAGGAAAUCGAUCAGGGUGAAUAUAUUGGUAAUAUUAAUUUUUAUGUUUUUUUUAGGGAAUAUACUUUUUUAUGCUGAGUUGUGAUGGUCAUUUAUGCUUUGGAGCAUACUUGAAUUUCAUGAUUUUUUUAUGAUAACAAGUGGUUGUUUGAAGUCUUAAAAGGGAGAUAAUGUUGGUGUUUAUAUUUUUGUGUUCUAUGUAAUUUAAAGUUUCUCAUAUUUUUCAUGAAGGGGUUCACUAUUUUAAUAAGUUAGCCAAUUUAACUUUUAUUUAUAGAGAAUCAUAUAAUUGGUUUAAUAUUUUAUCUCUAUGUAUUUAUUUAUAUGUUUUUUAUAAUAUAUAUAAUUUGUCUAUUUGAUGUUUAAUUUUUAUGAUGAAUUUAGUGUAAUCUCUCAUGCUUUAUAUUCUUUUAUUAUUAUUUAAUAAACCUUCGUGUGAUGACAAACUAGUGAUUAUUUUUGAAGUAUCAACAUUGAGAUGUUAAUAUUAUUUUAUGAAUAUAUUAUGUGAUAAGAAACAUAUACUCAAUCGUUAUCUUAAAGUAAAAGUAAACUUUUCUAUAACAUAAUUAACCAGAAAAACAAGAAAUAAAUGAUGAUAAUGUUUAAAAUUUAAAACAAAAUUAAUAGUUAAAAUAAUUAAUUAAUUCUACCUUUUAUAUAUAACAUUUCUCGUUAUUAGAAGUAAAUUAGUUUCAGUGAUAUAAAUAUUUAUCAUAAAAAUUUACAAAUUUGAUCCUGUUUACAUUUAAUGACAAUAUUAAAUUGUUAUUGUUACUAUUUAUUACUAUACUUGUAACAUUAUUGUAAGUCAUCACAUCGUAAAUAUAUUGUAGGUAAUAUUAAUAGUGAAAAUGAUGAUGGAUUAAUUGUCAUUUUUAUUAAUUUGUAAUAAUAAUUAUCAUCAUUUUACUAUUAAACUUAUAGUGAAAAUAAAUAAUUUUUUAUUAUUAUAAACAUUCUUUUCUUCAUAUUAUUAGACAUUAUUUUGAUGUAUAAAUGUCACAAAUGAUUUCCAUGCCAUAAAUAAAUAUUAAUUAAAAUAAAUAAACAUUAAAAUAUAAAUGAUCUAUUGAAUUUUCAAUGUAAAAAAUAAAUAAUAAAUUCAAAGUUAUAUUCGAAACGUCAUAACAUUUAAAUUAAAGAAGUAUUUAAAAAAUAACGGUAAAUGAUAUUAUCUUUAAGAAUUUUGAUCCUGCAAAUUAAAUAGCAAUACUAUUAAUAAAAACAAAAGCAAUUAAUAAUAUUUUAAAAAUAUAAAGAUACAAUAUUAUAGAAAUAUAAAAGACAAAAUUAAAUAAUAAAAUAAAGUGAUGUACUUGAAAAAUAAUAAAUUUUAUGUUAAUUAACAUUUCAUCACUCUUCAAAUAUCUUGCUUCAUUAUUUUAGUCUUUACAUUUUAUAUUAUGUUGUUAAACUUUAUCUUAAUAAAGUUGGGAUUAUAAUUAAUUUUGAGUUUUUUUUUUUCAUGUAAUUAGAGCUAGUCUAAGAAUUAUGUUUUGUGGGUGUUUUUGAGUUAAUGAAAGUUGAAAAAUUAUAAUAGAACUAUCGGAGUUGUCUUUUUGUCAUGAAGCAUGGUUUAAUUGAUAGUAUAAUUGAUUAUUGAAGUGAUAUAUUGAGAUAGUUAGAAUCUUGAAUGUAAUAUAUUGUUUUAAAACUAUUUUGUAUGAUAUAAAACUAGUACACAUAAUCUAAAUCAGUGGGUCUUGAUCUCAUAAUGCGAUAAAGUGGAAUUAUUUAAGACAUUGUGGACCUAUGAAAUGCUUUUUUAAUCAGAGAAAGGAAACAAAAGGCUUUAAUUAUAUCAUUGAUAGCCUGAUAUAUCAUAUUUGUACAUGCAAAUUAUGUAAAAUUGCUAAAUGAAUGAGUUGGUGGAUGAAAGUGUUUUUCAUGAAAGUUAAGUUUACCGUUAUCUCUGACGUAACUUUGAUACUAAAUGUACCUUUUUUGAUUUAUAAAUUUGUUUGAAAUCAUAUUUUUUUUAUUAAGUUGUGUUAAUAAGAGAGUUGAGGUUGAACUUAAUGAUUUUAUCACUGAAUUCCUCUAAUUUUGUAGGUUAUUGAUAUGAUUUGGAAGAAGAGCAAAAAUAUCGAGGAGCUGGAACGUAAGAGGGACGAACAAAACAACAAAAUAGAGAUUGUUGAAAUGUUGCCACUGGCAUUGAGCGACAGUUUGUACAACUGAGCGGUGGAACCUAGAAAAAGGUAGUGUUGAGCGACAGUUUGUACCGUUGAGCGAUAGAAUUUGUGAUGUCCACCGCUCGGGCGCCCCUUCGGGGUGCCUGAGUAUCGGGUCACGAAGCCUGGGCACCCAGAUUGAAGGCUCAAGCCCUACAUGAGGACCGUCCACCGCCCGGGCACCCUCCUUGGGCGCCCGAGCGUCAAGUUUCACGGGUUAGGCCCAGUUUUGCUCUAUUUCGACUCUAUUGGACCAUGCCCUGUUUCUACUCUCCUCCGACUUUAUUUAAAGGACCUUGACGCUCUAGGUUUUGUACCUUUGGUAGAGAGAAGCACAACAACACACUCUUUCCCCAAUUCUUAGGGUUUCUCUAUCUCAUUCUCUUCCAUUGUUCAUAUAGUUUCUCCAUGUCUAUGGGGAACUAAUUUCUAUUUAUUAUUAGGGGAUGAUGUAACCUUUUGAGCUCUCAUGUAUUUGAAUUGAUUCUCAAUAAUAUAUGCUUUUUAAUUAAUUGUUAGAGUAAUUCAUCUUUUUCAAUGCUUGUUGUGUUUAACUCAUUCAUUAGCAUGAUUUAUGAAUUGCAUGAGUGUCAGGAGGUUCCUUACAAUUCAGGUUCUUGUUGAAUUACUCCCAAGAGUAAUAUUGCUCAGGGAUGAGGGUAUGAGUCUUGGUCAUCUUAAGAUCUUGAUCUUCACAUCUUAUUACUAGGAAUGCUAGGAAUUGUAUGAACUGAUAAUUUGGGACAAACUUAUUCGUUGAGGGAUCGAGUUUAGGUGAUUUAGUGAGUGACAUUAAUAUUAAUGCAUAAAGAAGAAUUCUUACAUACAUGAGAGGGAACUUGGUGAAAUCUAACCCCAACAACAUAUUCAUCUCAUAUUAAACAACACUCAUUCAUCUCUAUGCUAUUCUGCUAUUGAUCCAAUUGCAUUCAUAUUUAAUUUUCUGUUCUCGCAUUUGAAACCAAUGAUCUCUUUUUAUUUAAGUCUUAAUUAAUCUUGUUAUUACACGACUAUCUAGCGCCAAGAGUCUUUUGGGAUACAAUACUUGGUCUUACCAUUUUAUAUUACUUGUGCAACUCGGUACACUUGCCGAUCCGUUCCAACAAUAAACAAGGAUGAUUUUAUGGGGCAAGUUUGUGAAAUAAGUUCCCAAAGGCUUAUUCGUUGAGCGAGCGAGAUACUAGCUAAACAAAAGGUUUUAAUUUAAAAUCUAAUGAGCUCAAGGGAACCGAGGUUAUUGAAUGAAUUUUGUGGAUUUGCUCUCAAUAUUUGCUUGCUAGACAAGCUAAGAUACCAUUGAGUGAAAAUGUCAUUGAAAAGCAAAAUGCUCUUAUGGUAUGAUUUCGUUCGCCAAGUCAUAUUGCUUCUUGAGUGAGCUCCCUUAGAGGAAGGUCUCACUAGGUGAGUCCAGAGGCACUAAGUGAAAAUUAAAUUGUAUAAGGUUUAUAACUUCAAUUUGAUACUCUUAAUUUCAUCUUUAUGUAAAUGUUUGAGAUGAAAUAUGAAAUGAAUGAACUGUUGUGUGAAAGAACGAUGGUACAACGACUUCCGAGGAGGAAGUAUUAUACUGAGUUGGGUUCAAGAUGUAUUGAAUUUUGAUUUGAUGAAAUUAUGUUGACUCUACUAAUAUCUAACUCAUUUAGAGAAAUAUAUUUAAUUAUGAAAGUCGAGGAAAGUUUUUAUAUGUUAUAUUAAUUAUUAUACUAACUUACCUUAUGUUUGGUUUAGUUUGAUUUGUGAUUUGUUAAUCUACAAAUAAUCGUAUGUUAUACAUGAAUAAAUGAUAAUAUAGGUGCAUGUGAUGGAUAAUAACAAGUCUCCUAGUAGAUUAUUUAAGAAUAAUACAUGUUCUAUUUAUAUAAUUGUGUUUUGUACCUUUCUCUUAAUAUAUAAAGAUUAUAAAUUUUGUAAAAUAAUAUAUAUAUAUAUAUAUAUUUAUAUAUUUAUAUGUUUAAUAUCAAUAUGUAAUGAUCUAAGUGUGGUCAUAAUAUAUAAUAUAGGGUGUUACAAAAUUACCUACGUCUAUAUCAAUCAUGUAAUUAAACAAUUUGUUUUCUUACAGGUAAAAUUUUCAACAAAAAAUAGUUAUGAAUUAUUUUAUUUUAUAAGUUUAUAUAUAUAUAUAUAUAUAUAUAUAUAUAUAUAUAUAUAUAUAUAUAUAUAUAUAUAUAUAUAUAUAUAUGGGUUUGCUAACUUAUGUACGCUUGUUUUUCAGUUGGUACAUUUUAGCAAUGUAUACCGGGUUUCAGUAGACAAAAAUACCCUUAUAUCAUGAAUUCUAAGUUUUAAGGUUAAGGAUAUUUUAAUAAUUUUCAUUCUUAAAAUUAAAAAAAUAAAAAAANAAACCCCCAAACCCUUACCNANCUCUUUCAUUCCUAACCCUUACUCUUUCAUCUCUUUCACUCAGACUUUCUCUCUGUCAUCCCUGCUCUAGCCCCAAUUGAAAAAAUCAAGAACAUUUGUCUUAUUUUAAUAAUUUUCAUUUUUAAAACUAAAAAAAAAAAACCAAACCCUUACUCACUUCCUUCAUUCCUCUCAACCCUUUCUCUUUCAUCUCUCACUCAAACAUUUUCUCUGUCAUCUCUGCACUAGCCUCAACUAAAAAAACACUCAUUAUUAAAUAAAAUGGUUAGAGAAAAAAAAUACUUACAUUAAUAAAAAAAAUUAAAGCACCUAAUUUUUUCUUUAUAUAAUUUUAAAUAAAAUUUCAAGAUUUAGAAUUUUUAUUGUUUGAUUUUAUCGUUGAGAAUGUUAUUGUAUUUUGAUUUGUUUUUUCUUUAGUAAAGGAAAACAAGUUAAUGAAUUUCUACCAAAAAAAAAUUAAAUGGCCACAGAGCAAUGUUACGUAGUGUCUCAGAACGUAAAGGAAGGAUGCUCAUAAGUCUUGGUGCAAGUUGUGCCAGUCGGCUGUAAUAUAUAUAGUGAAGAUAAUGAAAUUAAAGAGAUUAUGAAUGAACUUUUUUCGGAAGGUGAAUAUGCCAAUGACUCAACUCUUUACAAAAGUAAAUUGUUUAAUAAUGAGUGUUUUUUUAGUUGGAGCUAGUGUAGAGAUGAUAGAGAAAAUGUUUGAGUUUGAGAGAUGAAGGAGAAAGGGUUGAGAGGAAUGAAAGAGGUGAGUAAGGGUUUGAGGUUUCUUUUUUCAGUUUUGAGAAUGAAAAUUUUUAAAAUAAGGAAAGUGUUUGAUUUUUUUCAAUUGGAGCUAGAGUAGGGAUGACAGAGAAAAGGUUGGAGUGAAAGAGAUGAAAGAGGAAUGGUUGUGGGAGAUGAGAGAGGUGGGUAAGGGUUUGGAGGGUUUCUUUUUUUAUUUUUUUAAUUUUGAAAAUGAAAAUUAUUAAAAUAUCCUUAACCUUAAAACUUAAUUCAUGAUAUAUAAGGGUAUUUUUNNNNNNNNNNNNNNNNNNNNNNNNNNNNNNNNNNNNNNNNNNNNNNNNNNNNNNNNNNNNNNNNNNNNNNNNNNNNNNNNNNNNNNNNNNNNNNNNNNNNNNNNNNNNNNNNNNNNNNNNNNNNNNNNNNNNNNNNNNNNNNNNNNNNNNNNNNNNNNNNNNNNNNNNNNNNNNNNNNNNNNNNNNNNNNNNNNNNNNNNNNNNNNNNNNNNNNNNNNNNNNNNNNNNNNNNNNNNNNNNNNNNNUAUAUAUAUAUAUAUAUAUAUAUAUAUAUAUAUAGGGGUUUGCUAACUUGCGUACGCCUGUUUUUCAGUUGGUACAUUUUAGCAAUGUGUACUGGAUUAUAGUAGAUAAAAAUACCCUCAUAUAUUAUGGAUUUUAAGUUUUAAAGUCAAGGAUAUUUAAAUAAUUUUCAUUCUCACAACUAAAAAGAAAACCCAAACCCUUACUCACCCCUCUCAUUCCUCUCAAUCCUUUCUCUUUCAUCUCUCUCACUCCAACAUUUUCUCUUACAUCUCUACUAUAGCCCCAAUUAAAAAAAAUUAGAAAUGUUGACUGUUAAGCAAUUUCUUACAAAAAAUUGAUUUUAUAAUGAGUUUUCAUUUUAUAACUUUUGUCUUAUAUAAUUUUAUCUAAUUUUCACAAGCAUAAUGACAUAUGAAGGAAUUGAUAAUUUGCUUGGAAAAAAUCAGAAACACUCGCUAUUAAACAAUUUCUUACAAAAAAUGAUUUUAUAAUGAGUUUUCAUUUUAUAAUUUUUGUCUUAUCUAAUUUUAUCUAAUUUUCACAAGCAUAAUGACACCAGAAGGAAUUGGUAAUUGGCCUGAAGGUUUUUUAAGAGAUGACGAUUCAACAUCUGUAGAUGAUGAAAUUAGAGAGGUUAGUGAAGAUGAUGAAAUUGAAGAGAUCUUGAAUGAACCUUUGUCUGAAAGAGAAUAUGCCAAUGACUAAACUCUUUACAAAGGUAAAUUGUUUAACGAUGAGUAUUUCUAUUUUUUUUUUCAGUUGGAUCUACAUAAGAUGAUAGAGAAAAGGUUGGAGUGAGAGAGAUGAAGGAGAAAGGAUUGAGAAGGAUGAGAGAGGUGAGUAAGGGUUUCGGGGUUUCUUUUUUUUUUUUUUUAGUUUUGAGAAUGAAUAUUAUUUAAAUAUCCUUGACUUUAAAACUUAGAAUCCAUAAUAUAUAAGGGUAUUUUUGUCUACUAUAAUCCGGUACACAUUGUUAAAAUAUACCAACUAAAAAACAGGCGUACGCACGUUAACAAACCCCAUAUAUAUAUAUAAUAUUUUCUGCUUAAAGGCAAUUUUUUUUUUCGUGAAACUAUGAGAAUUUUCUUGUAAGAAAGUUUUUGCCAAAAGUUUUGUUAAUAAUUGUAAAAUUAUCUACCUAUAAUAUCUUAAUUUUUAUGAUUAUUAUUGUGACAUCCCAAUAAUAUACGGCAUGCAUAUAUAGUCUAGACGUCAUCAAUUAUAAUAAAGGAAAGCAGUAAGAGAUAUUAGGAUUAUAAUCAUCCUUAGAAUAGUGUGGAAAUGGAAAAUAGAGUACAAGAGUUUCUCCUUAGAAAUUACGGAGAAUUUAUAACUUUAAAUGCACUAAAGUUCUUCAAAAUAAUGAGUUCAUGGAAAUAAAAGCUAGCAAAUCUAGGCUGCAACACUUUUCAUCAAAAGCUAUUUCCAAAGUAUCUUCCUCGCCAUCUGCUCCCAUCCAAGUGGAUGAUCAUCGCAAAGGGAAAUACAUACAAAUGGAACAAACACAAGCAAGCAAGGGUGAGCUAAUUAUAUAAAAAGCAUGCCUCAUGUCAAACAUAGAAUAUACAAGAGUUAAUUUAAUUCAAACAAGAUAAAACAUCCAUCCUAACAUGUUGAAUACUAGACUUGACUCGUCCGGACUUUAGAAAUGAGAGUCGAGCUAUGACGGGUCAUGCACCCGUGGUGGCUUAUGAAACUUGGGUUCCCCACCCUGCCACAAUCACGAGGUUAGCCUAUUUCGCACCUUAGAGCAUACUGGAAGCCUCCAAGACUAAGAGCUCCUGCUACUUCUCACCAAGUGAUCUAAUUCUCUCUACGUGAGAAGAAAGGCCAUUGGAGCGUCAGGAAGACCCCCAAGACUAAGCUCCUAGUUUCAUUCUAAAACACUAAGAACCUCGUUGAGAGAUUAUACACAUUUGGUACUUGGUUUACUACUUGAAUCAUACUUUAUCACUUCAUACUCAUGUACAUUUCACCACAAACCACACACUUCUGUUACCACAAUAAACAUUCAUAAUAUUGUAAAGCAUACUCCCAAACAUGUUUCACAAACCAAACAGGUUCAGCUUAAACAACCAAAGCAAACCCAAAAGAAGCACAUAAGGAACAACGCUUUUCGCAAAGCGCACAACCCUCGCAUAACGAAUCCAGGCUGAUUCGCAUAGCGCACACACACAUCUCGCCUUGCGAAUUAAUCUGGCAGAGAUCCCAGACCCGUGUUUCUCGAAUAGCGCACCAGUUCGCAUAGCGAGAGACCCCAAAUAGAGAGCACUCCUUUGGAGCGACUCGCUAUGCGAGACAAUCCGCAUAGCGAGUCUGCAUGAUCUGCAGAACGCCAAUUCUGCAGAAUCAUGCAACUCAUGCCCCUUUAACCAUUUUUAACCAUCCAACCUAACUUCUAACACCUCAAACACGUGAUAUAGACCUAUUUAAACUUUCCUAACUGGUUCUACACAUUCUUAUAGUGAUCUUAAAGUGAUUUAGGCUCGCAUCUAACUCUAAUUUACCAAUUCCCAUAACUUAGGGACUCUAUUUCAAAUCUACCAAUUCUAGCAGGUUUUGGUUCAAUUUUAUAUGCUUAACAAGUCUAAAUAGACUUACCUAAACUGCCUAAACAGACCAAGUGCACCUAAUACCCCAAUUGCACAAAAUCCCCUACUCACUUCUCUUCAAACCACUCAAAAUGCUUCCCUAAUUGUUAGAAUACCUUCUAAUUUACUUAAUACCACAAGAUGCUUAUUCCCAACCUCACCUCACUACCCAAUUGGUCACCGGAGAGGGUCUAAAUGUCUGAACGCAUCAGACUCACCUUCGGCACUAGCACAUAUGACUAGUCACAACUGGCUGGACCAAGCUAGGGUUGCUCUAUGAUUAGGGAUGUGCCAACUCAGGCUUUUAAGUCCCCUUUAUCCUACCAACAAAAUGAUCUCACGAAUCCCAUUUGUUUUAUCUGAGAUAUCUACACUGUCCUAUUAUGCUCUAAACCUCAAAUGCCCAAUUUCACUACCCAACUUACCAUAGAUAGAACCUAAUUUCUACCCAACACCAAGUUCUCAACCCCAGUACUGACUUCAACAGAAUCCCCUUUUUCAACCACCCCAAUCAAGGAUCAGUUCAGCAUAUCAAGUUCAAUAGAGACAACUUAUAAACAUCAAAUUCCACAUGCACCGGUUCAAUGUUAAAGCACAAACUAGUUAUGCACAACAACAUAAUUUACAAGCCCAAUCAACAUGCAUAUAUUUCAGAUCUUAGCCUACCAUCAUAUUAUACAAAUAAAUUAAGUCAUAUAAUCAACUCCCCUUACCUGGAAAGCUUAAUAAUAACUUGUCAAGAAUGCCCUAGGAUCGUACCCACACCGCGUUGAACCUAUAGAACCUACAAAUCACCAAAUUGGUGAUAGAACAUAGCUCUCAAAGCUCAAAUGGGCAGAGAAUGGAAGGAAAAAUAUACAAAGCACAUGAACCCAACAAAGUUGCAUGCCCUAGCUCAAGAACAAUGAAGAGAAAAGGGGAAAAUGACUUACCUGCUGAAACGAACAACUGUUCGGUUUGAAUCGAAGACCUCUACGCCAGGAGUGAUUUGACAGCACCCAAUCAAGAUUUGAACGGUUCAAAGUUCUGGAAUUUUAGAGAGAAGUCAAAGAAAUGUUAGGGCACAAGGGUUUUAGAGAGAGAAUGACUUUCUAUGAAAUGAAUCAGAAUAAAGGGGAAGCUCCCUUCUUCUAAGACUAUGCUGACCUUUGCCUUAUGGGCCUGACAGCCUCACUUAAGACCCAAUGACCCAGUCUCACUUAAGGCCCAAUGACCCUAAGCUUAUUUUUAAGUCCUGACAAUUACCAUUGAAAAAUAAAUUCCCAAAAAAUCUAUUAGAAAUUAUAAAUUAUUUUUAGAGAUAUUUUUCUUAAUAUAAAUUUGCAGAUAGUAACAUUAUAAUAAGUGAAAAAAAUUAAAUAAUUAUUCAAAUUCGUGUUAACUUUCUGCAAAUUAAUUUAUGCAGAAAAAUAACAUAAAAUAAUAUUUUAAUUUAUUAUAUUUAGAAUGCAAGCUAACUGAUAAAACUAUCACAGUUAAAUUUGAUAGAAAUAAAAAUAUUAUUCAAUUUUUUUAUAUUUAAAGAACAUUACAAAAAUUUACAAACAAAUAAUAAUUUUGAUUUGUUUCACUUCCUCAAGUCCUCUAACCCUGUUCGCAACAUCAAAAUCCUCACUUCAUCUUCACAUUUCCCUUUAGUCUGAUAUUAUCUAUUCUUUACAAUUUUAUUUCGGUUAAGUAGUUAAGUGACAUUAUUAAAAAUAGGAAUUAGUUUGAUCGAGCGAAUGUUUUUGCUUAAUUUAUAUAUGUUGAAUGAAGGUUAUGAAUGUAUGAGUUGCACUUAUUAUUUCUUUUUGUCAUUUUUGUGUUGAUCCGACAUGGGUGGUAGACUAAUUUUGCACAGUAAUGACUCGUGAAUAAAAAAACAAUUGAGUAUAUUAAGGUGUAUUCAUAAAUAAGAUAAUCAUGCAGUAGUUGAAAUAAAUCUAGAAAGUUGCUCUUAAAACAUUUUAAAUGCUACAAAACAAAAGAUAAGGUUGUGGUUAAUAAGGUUUGAAAUAGAAAUGAGUUUAAUGUCAAUAUAGGUACACUUCAACUGUGCUUGUUCAUGAAAACAUGGAUUUACAUUGAUAAAGUCGAAAUAGCAUGAAAUUUAUCAUAAUCAUUUUGGCUUUUCUUGAUUUGUAAUUUUUUCAAAAUAUAGAAAGGUAAGUUAAGUUCAAGUAAUUGGUAAAACAGUUGAAUCCAUUUAGUUCGGUUCAUUAGACUAGGAAGAGUCCUUACUUUAGUGGAAGCAUAGACUUAAAUAGGAAUACCCAAAUAUUCUUGCAAACAUAAUGAAAAAUUGCUUUAUCUGGUUUAAUGUUUAUAAUAUUUAUUUACGUUUUGAAUAUAAAAAGUUACAAACAGUUUGUAUUAAAGGAUAAUAUAGUGUGAUUCAGACGUUAUUAUGCAUUAAAUUAAAGUUAUAAAUGGUUAUGACCAAUUAAAAUUUUAAAUAUAUUCAUGUUAGCAUCGUUUAUGAAGAUUUUAUUAAAAAAAUAAAAAUGUAAAAAAAAAUAUAUUAUCAGGCUGACAGUCUAUUUAUCAGAAUGAAUGAAAUAUGUGAAAAUAAAAUAUUAGCAAAAAAUGACAAAAAUAUACAGUGAUACUUUUGUAAAAAAUUGAACUUUAUGUCAGACAGUGAGGACGAACGUAAAACUUGAUAAUUACGUCGUUGAAUUUAUAUCGAAUCCCUAAUAAUCUGACAUAAAUAAUGAUUCUCAAUUUCUUCAUGAUGUCUUCUCCUUCUCUUCUCAUUUCUUUGUUCGGGAUGAGCAACAUGAGUGUUUAAGAGAUUAUUUUUGUGCUUUGAACAGGUGGGUUUUCGUGGUGGAUAUUUCUCUUUGAUUGCUUUGGAGUUUUUUUUUUUUUUCUUAUUUAAGUGCAUUAGUAAGAUAAGUGCAUUAUAUAUAUUUAUUGAAUUAUGAUUGAUUUUAGAUCCAAUCAGUAAAAUGUAUGAAUAUUUAUUUGAAUUGUUUACCAUUUCCCAUAUCAUACAAUUUAGUUGUAUUGUUGUUUAUUUUUGUAUUUUUCAAAGUUAUCCAAAUUGUCAUGUAAAGUUAGAUAUAAUGUUUCCUCUAAAUCAAAUGUAAGAGAAUCAUAUAAAUGAUUUUUUCUAAAAAAAUUAACAACAUCAUAUACCAUGUCUUUUAAAUGAUUAUAUGUAAUAUAUUCUCCGUGAUGUUUUAAGCUUGUAUAAUACUUUUCAAUGUUAGGUCCAAAUUGUAUAACUCAAAGAGAUUGCAUAUUGAGUAUAUUGCAAGAACUCAGAAGUUCCCUUCUCAUACUUUUCACUAUUGCAACUAUCAUUUAUCCAUACUAUCUUCAUAACAAACUCCAUUAAUAUCAAAUUUUUAAUAAGGCCCUACCCAUUAAAUAAAACUAUUUUUCAUAAUUUGCUAACACAUAUAGGAAGAAGUCUAAUAUUAUAAAUUUAAUAAAAUUUCAACAGAAUUUUGAAUUGGUUUUCGAAAUACAAAACAUGAAAGUGAUCACUCAUGAGCACAAUCAACUUUGCAUAUGGAAAACCAUACAAAAUGGUCUCAACCGAAAUUUUAUUAAAUUUAUGCAUAAACUUCAAUGUACACGUUAUAUCGAAUUAUGAAAAACUACAAUUAUUUAAACAUACAACAUCCAAUAAAUCUAAAAUUAAUCAAUUAUCUAGUAUAAACUAAAUAUAUAAUUUAAUUAAUCACCUAAUAAUUAUUCAAGCAUCAUCAAUAUUCAUUUUAAGACUUAAAUAAAACUAAAUUUGAUUACUAUUACAAAAAAGGACUUUGACAUCUAUUAUUUUCGACCUUUAACGUCUAAAAUAAAACUAACAUCAUAUCAGGAUUCGUUAAUUGACAUCGAAAAAUAAUAUAGAUGUCCUUUGACGUCAAAAAACAUAGCCAUCGUGUCCUAUAGCAUUGAGCGAAUCCCCUUCGUGCUUAGUGGAGGUCUAUGGGAUACUCUGUAAUUCGAAGGGGUCAAUUUGACAUCCUUAAGGUAUGUCUUUUGACAUCAAUCUUGUUGGCCCACAUUCCUUCUCGCUAAGAGAAACUUUUCUCUUGAAAGACCUUGUAAGGUCUUUGACGUUAGAAAAUGCACUUUUUGACGUUAAUUAACGUUAGAAAUUUCAAUUUCAAUGUCAAUGGACGUCGAAAAGUGCAUUUUCCGACAUCAAAUUAGUGGUUUUUUUAUAUAAAAGUUUCAUUUUUACAAUUUUACCAAACCUGAAAUUCAGAAAACCAGUUUUGCAUUUUAUGUAUCCAGAAUUCAUAUGAACAAAGAUUGUACUAUUCACAAUUCAAACUAUAACUAAAGCGAUGACAAAUGAAACUAAAAGCUAAAUCUAUCAAUAUCAAAACACAAAAAUUUGAAACUAAAAGCCUGAUUGCAUCUCAAAAAAAGAUAUAUUGUUCAUUUCUGUCGUAACUUCAUGAUUGUGGCCUUUGUUAAUAUGGAUGGAUUAUGGAACCACUACAAAAAUAGGAAAACUUUCUUGAAUUUGCAUUCUAAUGUUCAAAGUUGAAUGUAGUUUGUAAGAUGUGAAAGAUAUAUUAUUACCUCAGUCCAAUAAUCUUUAAUUCCUGCUUGGAUGAUGGUCUUGAUCCAUGACAUGAUGUAGUAUCCCAUACCUUAGAACCUGACUACUUGUUACACUAAACAUGGCAAAUAAAAUAAUCAAAUAUGAUGGUCUAAAUUUCACAUACAAAAAUUAACAACUUAAAGAUCAAUGAAGGCCAACUUUUUGAUAGAUUAUUUCAAUUUGUUGUGCUUUAGGCUGACCCACAACUCUAAUUAAAUUUGAAAAAAAGUUUCAUAUAUUAAUAUUGGUUUAAACCUCUUUUUGGUCCCUAAGUUAUAAGCUGGUGUUCAGUUUAGUCCCCGCUUUUAAAAAUGUCAACCUUUGAUCCCUAAGUUAUAAAAAAUGUUUCAAAUCAGUCCCUACCGUUAAAUAUCCACUAACGGAGUUAAUUUUUUUUUCUCUCUCUUUUGCUCCUCUGAAUUUCUGUGAAGAUAACAGUUUUUUCUUUCUCUCUCUUAUGCUCCUCCUCUGAAUUUAUCUGAAAACAAUAGCUUUUGCAGACAAUAUUUUUUCUAAAAUUUUUUUGAAGAUGCACAACCCCAGAACGUUACUCCAUUUUUUAGCGAGUCCAAAUUCAUUGUUUUGACAGCUGAAUCCAAGAAAAGUGAAGACGGAAGGUUGAACUUCGUUGGGAACCAGAGGGAGGGGAUUGACUUGCAAGACCUGCUAAGGGCCUCGGCUGAGGUUCUGGGGAGUGGCAACUUUGGAUCCACUUACAAGGCCAUGCUUCUGAACGGGCCAUUGGUGGUGGUGAAUGUUAUAAGAAAAGUAAGGAUUUAAGGUUUAAGGAUCUAAGCAACACUUUUUUUCUUGUUCAUUUUAUGAGUUUUCAUUAUCUUCUUCUCAUCUCAUAUGCCAAAGCCAAGAGUGAAGAAGCAAAGGUAAGAUUCAACUACACUCAAUCCAAUGCUGGCACUGAUUCCGUAUUUUUCUCUUCUCUCAUGCCCCUUCUUCUCCAUCUCUCUGUCAUUUUCAUUUCCCUCAUCUUCUCUCUCACAACAUUGCUUUUUUCCUCCUUAUGGCUCCCUCUUCAGAUAUCAACCAUCUUUCUCAUCCAUGCAUAUACGGUAUCAUCAUUCUUUUCUCUCUAUCUUUCUCUUUCACUACUAUUCAGCAAAAUCUGAGCUUCAUCAUCCCCAUCUAUUCAAAGCGGUUGCUUUACAAAUAUUUACGUGAAAGAAAGAAAAAAAAACGGAUUUUGCAGAAGCGUGAACCACCCCAUGAAACUGUUGUUUGAACUUUAAACUUUUUCUGUUGAUUUUACUAAAUGGGUAUUCUCAAAGUUUCGGAAUUUACUUUUCACGUGGUUCCAAUAAGUUAUCUAGACCAUGGUGCUUUUUUUUUAGAGCUUGAAUUUUCACUUCUUCUGGUUCUUACUAAACUUGAUAUACAUGGUGGAAUUUUGGUGGGAUGCAGGGGAUUAUAUUUCUCCUCACUCAGAGAGAAAGUCUGGUUUCAUGAAAUGGCUCAGUAAACUUUUCAGAGGUGGGUCUAUUAGAGGAAGGGGUGGUCGUCAUCUGCAUGAGCCACUAGAGGAAAGCAUAGUUUGGGGAGCUCCAUCAAUAGCGUUGGUAAAAACUGUUGUUUUCAGAUAAAUUCAGAGGAGGAGUAUAAGAGAGAGAAAGAAAAAGUUGUUAUCUUCACAGAAAUUCAGAGGAGCAGAAGAGAGAGAAAAAAAAUUAACUCCGUUAGUGGAUAUUUAAUGGUAGGGACUGAUUUGAAACAUUUUUUAUAACUUAGGGAUCAAAGGUUGACAUUUUUAAAAGCAGGGACUAAACUGAACACCAACUUAUAACUUAGGGACCAAAAAGAGGUUUAAACCAUUAAUAUUAUAAUGAAUUAAUAUGAAAGAAUGUAAUACUUACAUUUGCAACAAGGAUUUAAGGUCUGAUUUCAUCUUCCAAUGUAGGGAACAAAACCAUACAACUUGGCAUUGUACCACAUCACUUUAGCAGGUGGACUAUUAUUGUCUUCAUCUUCCAUUAACUUUCUUCUUAAACUGGGAUAAACCACAUGUUGGACACACCUUGAGGGAAUCGUACUCAUCUUUAUACAAUACACAAUCAUUGAGGGCAUGCAUGUAUCUUCUAGUAUUCCAAAUCCAUUGGACAUAAAAUUUCCAACACCUCGUGAUUAUGGAUAAGUAACGUGUUAUUUUCUAGAAGAAUCUCCUUUACAAAUUAAAACAAUUUUGUGAAACUUUUAUCAAUUCAUCUAUUCCUUGCUUUUAAAAAAAACAAUUUUAAAGUUGUCGACAACUAUGUAAAGUUGGUGCAUCCUGGAUACAACUCUUCCUUUAAAUUGUUCUUAUAAGGAUCAUAGAAAUGAGUUCUUCCAAAUUUUUCUUCACCAGCAUCACGUACCAUGUCCUCUAAAUGACCACUUAUCCAUUCGUCCGCAUAAAUUGUUCCUCUUGACUUUGUAUGAUGUUGUAAUACUUCUCCAUGCCAAGUCCAAACAGUAUAACUCCUCAUUAUUCCAUACAUGAAUAGAUGAUCACGAAUACUUUCCAAGUCUUAAAAUAUUUUUUUAAGACAACAAACACAUAGACAAAAAUAUGUCUCAUUCAAUGGAUUUGCGUAUUCUUGAACAUAUUUUAAGAACAUCUGUUGGGAAAUAUUUGAUUAUGUGAAUUGAAUUGGAUUGAAAGCAUGGAUGCAUCUUGAUUAGAUUCCCCUGAUAAUCUGAAUUGAAUCAUAACUUGUCAUGAGGAAAAUGAGUUUUGAAAAUAUUGAGCUAUUUGAUGAAGAAGUGGAAAGCCAAGUUUUGUCUUGUUUGCUUGAGAGGACAAGCAAAGUUCUAAGUUUGGGGUUGUGAUAACGGUCUAAAAACCAUUAUUUUCAUGCUUAAAUAUCAUAUCAAAACACACACUUUGUGGCUUAGAAUGAGCUUAAUAUCUAACAAAACACUUAGUUGAGUCAUUGGAGAGUCAAAAGUUGGUUUAAGAGAUAUUAUGCUUGUUUUUGCAUUGUUUUGUGGGGUUUUGAUGAGAAUUGCAGAUGGAAGUGAAUUAGGACGAAUUUAGACUCAAGAAGGAAGAAGAAAAAGGAAGAAAAGAAGAGUCUAUGAAUCGCUUAGCGGUCAAAACCAGCGUUGAGUGGCCAGAGCGAUUAGAGGCAAACCGCUCAGCGGUAAAACUGACCGCUGAGCGGUGGCGUGGCUAAGAGGGAAACCGCGGAGCGGUUUAGUUAGGCGCUGAGCGGUUAUCUAUUCUUAUUUGGCUUAGAUUUUGUUAUCUUUUUGGUCUAUAAAUAGACCCAGUGCGAUUCAAAUUGGCCAGCAGACACGUCCAGAGCUAUUCUGCACACCUUGGAGGAGGUUCCUUGGAUCCUUAGGCUUCAAUCUACCAAAUUUAGGGUUUAUUCUUCCAUUCUUUCAUUAUUUUUCAUCUAGAUUCACCAUGUCAAUGGUGAACUAAACCCUAGGUUGUUGGGGAACAAUGUAAUAUUUUGAAACUCUCUUAUAUCAAAAUUCUUAUCUUCUUUAUAUGCUUGCAUAUGCUUCCUUUAUCAAUUUUUGGGUUCCUUACCUUUGCUUAAUUCUUUUAUUAUUUAACUCAUUCGGUAAAUGUUGUUUGUCUUUAUUGAUACGGAGACGUACAAUAAUGUCAUGAACUUGGGGGAAUUCCUUGAUUAUGCUAAUACCGCCUAGAGACAGGGGUAGGACGAUUAAUUGUAUUUUACUUCCGUUUAUCAUGCAUUAUUAGUUACUGGGGGAGGCUAGAGAUAGCAAGCCAGUAAUUGGUAAUAGGAUCUUUUCGCCAAGAGAUUGGGUUUAGGGUAGACUAAGAAAGUUUGGAUGACAAUAUGAUAAAUAAGCGAAUUAAAUAAGAAGAGUAGAUAUAAGAGGGUGGAUAAGAUGAAAUUGUAAACCCCAACAACUUCAUUCAUCCAUAGUCUUUUCUAGUCAAUUGAUUCACUGCAUUUUGCAUAUUUACUUUUGUUCUUUGCAUUCAAAACCCUAAAACUAAUUUCUUGUUAAGUCUUAUGCGAUUGGUUUACAUGAAAGUUAAGGCCUAAGACUCUUUUGGGAAACGAUACUCGGACUUACUCGUUUUAUAUUACUUGAUAACAAUCUGGUACACUUGCCAAGGACUUAACAAUUAUUCAAUUUAUUUUUUAUAAAAGUCCCUUUUUCAACCCAAACUCUACGAGUUCUCCUAGUUUUAGACUUUUUGUUUUGAUUCUUGUUUGUGUGCCUAACAUUUCUUCUACCAAAAUCUAAUUUAGCAUGUGAUUUAGGCUUUGUUUCCUUUGCAAGUAAAUUUUCAAGAAUGUUAAUGUCAAACAUAUGACUCUUACAUGACAAACAUUCAACAGGUUCACCAAUUGCAAUUGAAUCAGACAAUUUUCUUUCUAAAUUGAUAACUUUGUUUCUUAAAACAAUUUCUUCAUCAAGCAAUUUAUCAUAUUUCGAUUUUAAUUAAUUAAUUCAAAGAAGGCUUUUUGUAAGUCUAACUCAUUAGAUUCAAAACUAUAAACACUUACUUGGCUUCCAACAUCUUCUGAACGAGCCAUUAAGCACAAAUUUGCUUCUUAAUCUGAAUCACUUGAGUUUGAAGAGUUAGAUGUAUUGUCUUCCCAAGCUAUGUAAGCUUUCUUCUUCUUUGGAAGCUUUAUUUCCUUCUUUUCUUCACUUAUCCUAUUUUUAGGACAUUCGGUCUUCAUAUGUCCUCUUUCUCCACAUCUGUAGCAUUUAACACUUGAAGGAGAUUCUUCAUUUUCUCUCCUUUCUCCAUGGAAUUUAUUCUUACCUUUUGCUCUCAUGAAUUUUGCAAACUUUUUAAUCAUGAGACUCAUGUUCUCCUCAUCAUCAUCGGAAUCACCAUCUGCAAUCCUUUUAGAACUCUUCCCUUUAGAGAUUUCGGAUUUGAAGGCAAGUUUUUUCUUUUACCUUGAUCCUCUUCUACAAUCAAUCUUUUCAACUCAAGCUCGUGCUCACAAAGUUUUCCAAAAAGAAUGGGCAUCGACAUUUGAGUGAGGUUUUGUGACUCCGAGAUGGCAGUCACCUUUGGUUGCCAAGACCUGUCUAAUGAUUUCAAAAUUUUAACAUUUAAUUCAUCAGUAUCAAAGGUCUUACCCAACCCUGACAAAUGGUUCACUAUGUGAGUGAAACGCUUCUGAACAUCGGAAAUAGUUUCUCCAGGUUGCAUUAUGAACAUCUCAUACUCCUGGAUGAGCGUGUUCUUCCUUGCACGUUUCACGUCCUCUGUACCCUCAUGUGUGACUUUGAGGACUUCCCACAUUUCUUGUGCUAUCUUACAUACUGAAACUGUAUAAAAUUCAUCAAGUACAACAAUAGAUGAUAUAAUAUUACGAGCUUUAAUAUCAAACUGAGCUCGUCUAUUUUCUUCAUUAGUCCAGUCAAAAAAUGGGUUUUCUACUUCUACACCUUCAACUGUACUUUUAGGAAUAUAAGGUCCAUUUUGUACUUCUUUCCAUAUGCCUCUGUCAACAGACCCCAUAAAAAUUUUCAUUCUGACUUUCCAAAACACAUAAUUAUCACCAGUAAAAAGUUGUGGUCUGUUAAUAGAAGCACCCUCGGCAUAUACAAGAUUUUGAUGACCAGCCAUUUUCGAAAAUUUUGAAAGAAUGUCAAAACAAGCUUUGAUACCAAUUGUUGGUUGGUAUCAAUCAGAGAAUAACGCAGCGGAAUAAAAUUUAUAAAGCGGAAAGUGUGUUCGGUCACAAGUUUAAAUUAAAAUGAUACGUUUUAAAAGUAAAUUUUCUAACAAAAAAUUUAUUAAACAGUUGAUGUGCACAAAACAGUAAAGAGUGUAGGGAGUAGAAAAAUCACACAGAUAAUUUUUAUACUGGUUCAAUUCAAAAGAAUCUAUGUCCAUUCGUUAAUCACUAUAAAAAGUGAUUAACGGUUUCACUAAAAAUAGUUUCACAGUUUUACAAUAAGUGAAUGGAAAUAAGAGAUAAAAGAACCUUCCUUCAACAAAUGAACUGGAAGUGAACUACUUUGUUAACUCGAAGAGAACCGCUUCGACUUUCGACAAACGAAACACGAGCUCUCCUAUUCACGAGACCAGGCAAAGCACCUUACCAACUCAAAGAGAAUCGUUUUGACUAUCGACACACGAAACGUGAGCUUCUCCUAUUCACGAGACCAAGCAAGGGAACUGAACUAGCUUUUGAGAACUUCCUCAGACAAACUAUAUUCUACAAAAGCUCUUUGUUCAAAAGUUAUUUUCUGAAGUUCUCAAAACACCUAUUUAUAGGCAGUUAGUCUGAAUAUGAAAGGUCAUGUUACAACUGCUAGUAAUAAUCGAUUAUUGUAAGUGAUAAUCGAUUAUUCAAGUCUGUUACAGGUUUUUCAAAAUAACUUGGGUAGUUUUCAAAACAGACCUGUGAUAAUUGAUUAUUUGGAGUGAUAAUCGAUUAUGCCAUAGCAACAUGGUUUUUCAGAAAAGCUCAGAAUAAUUGAUUAUUGUUCUUCAUAAUUGAUUAAAUACGUAACAAUACCAAAAAUACGAGUUUUACAUAUUUAAAGACAUUCCUAAUACAUUUGUAUUCUACAAAGUGUUUUUAAAAUAAUUUAUAAUAUCUUCUUCAAGUUAAACUCCUUGUAACAUCAUCAAAAUCAUCUUGAAAUACCAAUGUUCCUCAUUUGUAACAAUAUUUACACCAAAUUCGAAUCAUAAUAUGUGAGAAAACAUUGAAAGAAUUUGUAAGAAAAUAACAAUAUUUUAUUACUAAUUGAUUAGAAAUUUGUAUUUAAUUAGGAUUUAUUUUCUCACAAAUCUUUAGUCAAUCCCCAUUAUUCACACUCUCUAUAUACUUUUAUUUAUGAAGAAUGUGAAAAGAAUAUGUGAAGGAAUAAUCCUAACUAAUUUGAAAAUUUCUUGUACCUCGUUGACUUUUUAUGUGGGUUCAUAAUCAACAAACAAAUUGUAUACUUUUUAAUUGUCUUAUACAACGUUGAUUCUAAACUUGAUGUCAUAUACUUUCUAAAACUGACCUAGUUGGAUAUAUUUACGCAAAUAUAUAUUUUUAUUAAGAAAUUAAUGAUAAUAAUAUUAAUAUCCAUGCAUUUGUGAUUUUGGGAGCUACCACCUUUUUUGGGUUGAAUGAGCUAUUUGCAGUAAUUAGCAUAAAUAUAAAGGAUAUUGAAUUUAUGGCAUUCAGAUAUGAUCAGUAGAAGUAUCUCCCAUCUUGAAAGUUGUUGCUAAAUUGUGUGCAACAUCAUAAAUGCAUCCUUCAAACGUUUCGACAUAUGAUUGAAUGAGAAGUUUCAUGUUGUCUAUGGAGAAAUACCAGACAACUCUUCCAGCACAUUAAUUUUCUAUAAUUAGAUAUAUGCAACUUCAUCAACUCAGUGUGGCAAACUAAAUAUUACAUUUUUUAAAUAGCGGUUACACAUAUUUUUGUCCUGAGAAAAUCCUAUUAAUUGAGUGGAUAAUGUAUAUAUUUAUUUAUAUAUAGAUAAUUCCUUUUAAAGUAAUUACAUAGCACUCAUUUUUUUUUAAGUUUUCGUAGUAUCAAUUUUAUUAUUGAUUAUAAUUUUUAUUAGAGAAUGUAACUAAUACUUAUGAUAAAAUAUCUUCUUCCAAUAAUCAAUAUUUUACAAAGACUUAAACUUAAACCUUACUGUAUCCCGUCUUCUCAAAAGAUAACCCAAAUCAAUGUAGAAAAAUAAAAUGCAUUUGAAUGGAGAAUAUUUCAUGAUAAAAUAUUUUGUUUGACUAGAUUUUUUUAACAUUUUAAAUUUUAUGUAAAUAAUGUAAUUACUUCAAUUAGGAAAUUUUAACUUUUUUAGUUUUUCUUUUCUUACACAUCAAUAUCUUUCUUCUUCAUAGUCCUUCACUGUCUCCAUUAAUACAUCAUUAUUUUAGUUAUGCCAGAUCAACUUUUAGUUGAAAAAUUACCGUCUCGAUUAAUACCAAGACGUUGGUCCUUGACUCGACAACAUUCUUUAACAUGUUUUAACAAAAUUUCUUUUAAAAUAUAAUAAAAUCAAAUCAUUAAUUAUUUGUUAAGACAAAAUUGUUUAAGUAAAUUUUGUUUUAAAAUUCAAUCCAGAAAUGAAUUAAAAUACUUGUAAGUUUAACUCAAUGGAGUUAAAAGUUCUAGUGAGUUGGACUAGUGUUAUAUCACGAGUGAUGAAACUCGUCUAACCAGUUGGGUUAGUUGUAAAAUCAAAAGUGGUUAAACUCGUUGUAAUAUUUAAAAGAUUAGUUAAUGUACCAGCCUAGAAUAUGGCAUUUUAGAAGUGGUGGUGGUGUAAAAAUAGUAAGACUUGAUUAUUUUAAUAUAAAAUGAUUUUAAUAUAAAUAGUUCGUUAUAAUCGAGUUUCAUUAUUUUAAAAUAGAUCAUCUCUCUAGAAACCACUUUUCUAGAGUUCUUUGGCUUCUCUCUAAGUGUUCUUCUUCUCUAUUCAUUUUAUUAAAGAACUGAGACCGUAGGAGUGAUCCUAACAUUGAGCUCUUCAAUUUAGACCGAUUAGUUUCUCCAUCUAAGUAUGUUAAGUUUUGACCCCUUUUCUUUGGUCCUUUCUUUAUCUGCUACAUGUGGGCCCCGCUUAACUUGCAUGUGUCAUUUGAGUUUUCUGUUUAAGUCUUUGUUGAUUAGUGGUUCUAACGGUGUUCCCUGAUCGUCUUUCUGUUGCUCAUAGGAGUAGAUAGAUCUUUUUGUGUGUUUGAGAUGUUUUAGGUCUUCUAGAGCUAUUUGGUCUUCUGUUAAGUAAGGGGAGCUAGUGUUUAUGCUUAAAUUGGUGAAAUUUAUAUAUGAUUAAUGAACUGCUAUGAUAAGAUGAUGAUUUAGUUGAAAUUGAGAUGAGUGACUUAUUGAUAAAUGAGUUUGAUUGGGUAAAUUCAGUAAUAUGAUGCUUGAUGCCUUCUAUGAAUUUGUGUUGGAUUGUGAUAGCCUUGUAAAUGAUGUUUUGGUGCAAUGGUGGUGUUAUAUUUGGUUGAAUUGUUUGUUAAGACAAAAUUGUCUAUACGUCUAAACGCUCUCAUGUUUUGAAGUUUAACCGAAUAACAUUAAACAAAACAAGAAUAUGAAAAUACCAUUGGUAGAAACAUAUGCAUUAGGUUUAAGAAACACAAAAACACCUAAGUCAAAAUACCCAAACGCAAUACUAAAUGACUAGUAUGUCAAAAACAUAUAAGAGAGUUAUGUUAAACGCUGAAUCUAUAUUGUACCCAAGGGUAUUCACUUGGACUCUCGGAAAACAAAAAGUAUGUCAAGACUAUGUCUUUUACAAAAACACCCAAAAAAGAUUAAACAAAAAACAUAAAAGAAAAUGUGACCUACUAAACGCUCUUGGUCCAAAAUAGGCAAUAUCACCAAAAGUGUUUACAUGAAUCUAGAUGAUACCAUGAGCAAAAAAUGUUUCUUUGUCCAAAGAUGAAGUUCUUACUCAAUAAUUAGUAUCUUUAGAGAAAAGCUCAAUUUAUAAACACUACCUCAACGGUAGAAAAUGUAAAAAAUACUUUGCUAUCACUAGUGGAAAAAUGUUGUUUAACGUCACCUCAUAGACGUCGGUUAGAAGUGCACUGACGUAAUAUGAUGACCAGUGGCAAAUCCAUAAAUAACUCAAACGAGGUGACGUCGGUUACCUGGCUAACCGAUGUCUCAAACACUACAGACGUCGGGCACACUGCACAUAGACGUCUAAAAGGUCUGCAGGAAGGUGAAUAGUCACCAUAUGGACUUCUAAUACGACCACACCGACGUCUACACUCGUCUUUAGACGUCGCCUGGGAACAAGAGACGUCUUUAGUUCUGCCAGGAAGGUCAAUAGUCGCCACGUAGACAUCGGUUAGCUGAGCGUUGAUGUCUCUAUCCUGACAGGUUGGUGCAUGUAAUUAAUGUUCCGCCAUAUAGACGUUGGUGUCCCUUGAGAACUGAAGUUUAUAGCCUGACAGUUAGGUGAAUUGUAAUAAUUUUCCGCCAUAUAGAUGUCGGCCAAACAGUUGGUGACGUCUAUAACAUUGUAGACGUCAGGCCGCCAUGCAAUGGACGCCUAAAAUCUGCGCCAUUAAUAGUAUUUAAAUCAUAAAGAGGUCAAAUUAGUGAGAGCACCGACGUCUAUAGCAUUAUAGAUGUCGGUGGACAAAUGUAACCGACGUCUGUAGUACUUUAUACUACAUAACGCGAAUCCGCAAGUAGUUACCAUUAUUCAUCGUCUUCUUCCUCGCGCUUUUCUCUUGCGGCAUUGUUUUCUAGGUUGAUUUUCUCUCUUUUGGACUGUUUAAAUUCAGUUUUACUCCGAUUAAGUUACUCUUUGAUGAAAUAUCUUCCAUUUGAACCGAUUAAAAUUUGUUUUCAUUGCGUUUUGGUGCAAUUUGUGACGUGUUCUUGGGCGACAUUUUUUACCCUUUUUGGCCUACAUUUUUGGGCGUACAAUCCUCCAUUUUUCUCCAUUGUUGUUUUAAUCUGCUAAAAAGAUUAGCUUAUUUGUUGAAAACUUUUAUUGUAUGUGUGUUAUUGUCUUUUGUGUAUGCAUGUUAUUGGCUUUUGUGUUUGCAUGCUUUUGGCUUUUAGGUAUGCAUGUGUUAUCGGCUAUUGAAUAUGCAUGUGAUAAAGUUUAGUUGUGUUAUUAUAAUUGGCAUGUUAGAUUAUAAGUAUCAAAUCAUUGAGUGAAACUUAGUUCCCGUUUGAAAUUUAAUACAAACGAUAAAUUUUUUAAUCGUUUGUAUUAAAUUUUGAAUUGUCUGAUUGGACAGUUUGGGAAAAUUAUUUUUCAUAAAUUUGCUAUAACAUGUACGUUGGAGAUUAUGCAUAAGAUUGAUGAAAUUUCGGUUCAUUAUUUGUGUUGUUUUGUCAUUCACAUGUUCCUUGUUAUAAACAGCUAAAAUUUGAUGUUCCAAACACACUUGACAUGAGGAAGAAAGUCUUAUCGCAGAUAUGUAAGAGAUGGAGGGAUUUCAAGACAAGGCUGACACGUCUGUAUGUGUUUGGAGACAGACAACAUGAGAAUCCAUCUCAGCAUUAUUCCUUCACAGAAGAAGAAUGGAUGCAGUUUCGUCAAUCUAGAGAGACUGAGCAUUAUCGUUUAACUUAUUCGGUAAAAAGAUAUUUGCCUUUGUCGAUACGGGAAUGUACGGGGAAGUCAUGAACUGAUAGAGAAUUCCUUUAUUAAGCAAUACUGCCUAGAGAUAGGGGUAGGAUGAUCAAUUGUAUUUUGCUUCAGUGUUCAAUGCAUUAUUAAUUAGUCAGGGAGACUAGAGAUAGUAAACUAGUAAUUAAUAGUAGGCUCUUUUCGCCAAGGAAUUGGGUUUAGGAUGGGCCAAGAAAGUGUGCAUGACAAUUAGAUAAUAAAGCGAAUUAAAUAAGAAAAGUAGAUAUAAGAGGAUGGAUAAGAUGAAAUUGUAAACCCCAACAACCCCAUUCAUCCAUAUCUUUUCCUUGUCAAUUGAUUCACUUGCAUUUGCAUGUUUAUUUUCUGUUUUGCAUUCAUACUACAAAUUCAUUCCUUUUCAAGUCUUAUAAGAUUAACUUACAUGAAAGAUAAGGCCUAAGAGUCCUUUGGGAGAACGAUACUCGGACUUACUGUUUAUAUUACUUGGUAACGAUCUGGUACACUUGCCAGGGGCUUAACAACCACCCCCCCCCCCUCUUCUAGUAUUUUUCAAGUACUUCAUUGUUGAAUGGUAUUGUAUUUCUCAAAUUUAGGAUUGCUGAUAGGGGGCAAUAUGAAUGCUUAACCCAAUUCCUUAUGCGGUUUUUGAUGAUGACAACACAUGUUUUGUUUUUUGAUGAUGAUAAUACAUAUGUUUCCAUGACUGCAACAUAUAUUGAUUAAAUUGGUUUAUUUGCAUACUUGUUAUGAUCAUACAUGUGUUUACAUCUACUAUAUGCAUACUCAUAUUUUAACAUGUGAAAACCACUUGUACGAUGCACUAUUUGUAUGAAGUAAUCUAUUACAGUGGUUAUGUAAUCAAUUAGAUUCAUCAGAUAGCUAUUGCUUGAAUUGUGGCAAGCUAUAAGUUUUAACCGAUUACAUUAUAUGUAUAAUCAAUUAAAACUUGUGCCUUUGCAAAACACCCUUCUGCAAUGUGCUGUGAUGAGUUUUAGAAAAAAAAAUUUUCAAAAUUAUCUAAGUGUAGUACUUAACCGAUUACAUUAAGUUUGUUAAACAUUGAAAACUAUUUUGAUGAUAAGUUUUAACUGUAAUAACGGUUAUAUUUUCAUAUCUUUUGACUUACAUGUUAUGUGCAAUCAAUUACAUUAUAUGCUUAAUUAGUUAAGUCUAUUUGAAUGUAAUUAUAGUGUAAUCGAUUAGAAUGUGUCUGACAUGAGAAAAUUACAUAAUGUCGCACUACACUCUGCAAUAAAGACUUUUGAUCAUUUUAAACUUUUAAAUAUGAUAUUAGUAAGUCAAGAAAAGAACUACAGGUGCAUUGAGUUGCUUUAAGAAUACAGAUACAAAGAAGUUGAUAUUCUUGAAGGAUUCUUGAAGGACAAAUUUAAACAUUUUACUUUCUGAUCAACUAAUGAACAAUUAAGUUGUUUUCUUUCUUGAUCAAAACUUUAGUUUGCAAUCAAGAGAUUGUGGUUUCCCUGUGCGUGUGUCCAAGAAGAAGAACGUGUGGUUCUUGUGACUUUAAGAAGGGUCUCAAAGGGGUAUUGUAGGGAAGAGGAUUAUUCUUUCUGUAGGGUGUGAUUGUUGUCUAUAUUAGAUUACUGAGUUAGAAAGGUGGUUACAUUUGAGAGGUGUUCUCUGUAAAGCCUUGUUGUAAAAACUCAAAUCUUUAUAGUGCAUUGGCUUUCAAUCUAAGGUUCAUUAGAAGGACACUGGAUGUAGGCAUUGAGGCCGAAAUAGUAUAAAAAUUUGUCUUUGUGUUUCUAUCCUUAUCUUUUUUACUUUCAUUGUUUUCUUUUAUUCCUGGUGAUUGAAGAUAGAUUAAAGAUCAUUCAAAGUUUCCAAAAUGAGAGAAAAAGAAAGCAUUUUUUAUUCAUUACUAAUUCACCCCUCCCCCUCUUGGUAAGGGAAUCAUACAUGCUUUUUCUUACAAGGAUUAUUUUGGUCAAAAUGGGUGGUGUUGGUAGUUGACUUAUGGAAGAAAUGGUAAAAUGGAAGAAAUGAGAAUUUGGGAUGUUUGGUAGUGUCAUUUGGGAUUAGUUUGGAUGAUGAUUGGACAUGUAGAUGGUUUAGAUUUGCAUAGUAGAUGAUGGGUUGUGUUUUUCAUUGACUUUUAAAGUGUAUUUUGAGGUUUUGAGAUGUGAAAUUUGAAGUAGAAGGUUUUAGGUAAAAUAGAGAGUUGGGGUUUGCUUUUGAGUCAAAUUGGGCUUGUUUAGACCCCUAAGUUAUUUAACCAAGAGUGAAAAUCGGUAUACUUGAGUUCUGGUCCAUAAACUAAGCUUUGAGUUUAUUUUUAGUUGAAAUUUCAUAGUAGAAGGAGUCAACACUGGUUUAGAUUGGAAUAUAUAUGUAUAUACAGGUUGGUUAUAGGUUUGAUUAUCAUUUACAAGUGUUAGAAGCUGGUAGAAAUGCAUGGGAGAAGACAUGAGAGGUUGGAGUGGUGUUCUUGGAAGUUUGGAAGGUUGUUGGUUUAUACAAAGGGUCUGGGCUAGCAAACUGCUCGUUGGGCAAGUUCUAGAGGGUUUUGGCAAUGGGUUUCAUAAGCUAGGCGAGCCAGCUUGCUAGGAUUAUGGAGCUCACUGUUUCUGCUAUUGCUGGGCAAGUGGUUAAGCUCGUUGUGCAAGUUUUGGGGGUCUUGGGUAGUGACUUUUAGGCGCUAGGCGAGCUCCCUUGUUGGGCUUGAGGAGCCCCCUAUUUGUGCUAUUAGAGGUAGAGGAGAGAAUGACACACCCUUAUACACUAGUGUGCUUGAGUGAAAACACUUUUUCUAGUGAGGAUUGGUUCCUUUGGUUGAUCAAUGAAAAUAUCUUUGCCAUGAUUGUUAAUCUCUCAUAAAGCAUGUACAUUCAUUCUUGUAAUAUUUGCAUUGUGAGCACCAUAGCUAAGGAUUUACAACGUUACACAUAUUCUCUUUGGAUUGGUAUUGAAAGAAGAGCACUCAUGAAUGUUAUCUAAUUUGAUUGUGUGAACUUGUUUCCUAGUUAUUUGACUUUUGUUGAGUAGAUGUUUUUCUUAGCCAAGUUACCUCUUGCUUGAGGACAAGCAAGGUUUUAAGUGUGAGGGAGUGAUAACAAUUGAUUUAACAUGUUUGUGUGUGUAUAUUUUGUGAACAAAUCAACUCCUUCAUAACUUUUACCUUGUUUUAUCCUCAAGUUUAGUGCGUUUCCUAGUUUUCUUGUGUUUUAUUUAGUAUAUGCUUGUUUUUACCUCUAAUAUCUUUGUUUGAGUGUGUGAAAUAAAUGAAUAGGAAGCAAUUCUAGUUUAGGAAAACAAGCAAGAACUCAAGGGAACAUGUUUUGGGACAAUAAAAGAUUAAUUUGAAGCAAACACCCAUGUUAGACACCUUUGGAAUUGCACAAGAACUUAAUUUUAGAAUGUUGUCAAAACAGCCUGUAGUUGAGCUGUAGCUGAGCUAUAUGUCUCUGGAAUGUUGCAGCUGAGGUGCAGCUGAACGCCCUACUCUCUGGAAUGCUAGCGCUGGGGUGCAGUUAGGGUGCAGCUGAGCUCUCUGUCACUGGAAAUCUGCCGCUAGGGUGUAGCUGGGGUGCAGCUGAGCGCCCUACUCUUUGGAAUGUUGCAGCUGGGGUGCAGCUGAGCGGUGACGAUGUUGAUGUGUCAAAAUAGGUUAUUUAAACAUGGGUCUCGCGAUUUUUUUGGCAUUCUUCUCCUCCUACACUUCAUUCUUCACCUAGAGAGAUUGGGAGAGACCCUUUGAGGCUAUUUGGGGUGUUGGGAAGCUCUCCCACUCCUCCUUGGGUCUUCAAGCUUCAUCAAUGGUGAUUUUGCCCCUUUUGGGUUGAGGAAGAAGAUGGGUCACAAAUUGGAGAUGGAGAUGCGAAGGGGAGAUGCAAAUGGAGCAUAGAGCAACUGCCAAGAACCUUAGAAAAGGCUUUGCAUCUUCUCUUUGGUUCCAAUUUCUUCCCUAUCUCUUCAAUUUUGUGAACCCUAAGUUCUCCACCAUGGAGAGUUUUUCCUAUUUGUUGGGAUUAGAUGUAAUAAACUGAAUCUUGUGUAUUUUGUGAUGUUAAUGCAUAUGCUUUUCCAUUUCAAUGUUAGUAUUUGAUUUCUAUGCUUAAUGCUUGCUUUGGAUUGAUCACCCAUGCAUGAAUUAUGGUUCUUGAUGUACUGGAAAAUAUGACUUGAACUUAGAACUGAAAUUGAACACCUAAUUGAUGAAAUUGAGUUGUUUGUAAAUGCAUGAGAAUGAAGUGGAUGAACUCUAGUCUUGACAAAUUGUAAAUACACUAUGUUAAAUUCCUUGCACAACAACUGUUUGAUAAAAUACCAAAAAGAGUCUCUUGUGUUGUUUUGUGCACUUUGAUGUCUAAUUUAGUUUUAAAAGGAAGAAUUGUUAUGUGAUGCACAAGUCUCUUGGGAGAGAACGAUAUUUAUCACUUGCUACGCUGCGACCGAUGCACUUGCCGUUGGUUUUGCAGCCAACAAGUUUGAUUGUCAAUAAUUUUAGCCAUAGAUGUUUAUGAAUUAACCUUAGAGUGUGGUGAUCAUUGUUAAGGAAGAUGUUGUUAUUCCAACUCAAAGGCAGGACCCCUAUAUUUCAAUAUCACUACAUGUAUCCAGAUAGUCAAGUCUAAAAAAAAAACUUUUUAUGACUUAGGAUUGAUUAUUUUAUCUCUACUAUAUCUUUAGUUCCAUAAACAUGAUUUAUAAUUAUUUUGAUACAUUAACUUACCCUUUCUUCUCUGUGUUGUUAAUUUGUUGUAUUUCUUCUAUUUUACAAUAAUCACAUUAUAAUAUAUAUAUAUAUAUAUAUAUAUAUAUAUAUAUAUAUAUAUAUAUAUAUAUGUGUGUGUGUGUGUGUGUGUGUGUGUGUGUGUGUGAAAAGUUUUUAACAACUUCAUUCAACUCUACCUUCUGCCCUUCCCCUCUCUCCCCUUUCUAGAAUUUUUCUUAUGUUUCAGUAUUGUUAUCCAAGUAAAUCUUCAACAUCAAUGGUAACUUUAAGCUAGUGUCAAACAUGAUUUUGUUUUGUUAAUGUUAAUCAGGUUUACUUUUAGUUUAUGUUAGCUAAGCUUUUCUUGGCCAACGUUUAACAAAAAUAUUUUUUGAUCAAUGUUGGUUGAAGUUUAUUAAUCAAUGUUAGUUAAAGAAUUUGUUAUCAACAUUAAUAUGACUAUUGAUUAAUAUAUGUCGAAUCAUUAUGACAUCAAAGAAAAAAUAACAUUGAUUUAAGUGAAUCAAGAAAAACUCUUGUUAUUAAUUAAAAGAGUCUAGCAAACCAACUUUAAAAAAGAACUUCAAUCAACAUCUACUACAAAAAAAAAUAUAUAUUAAUCUGGUAUUAUUGUCAGUCAAUAUUUGUCAAUAAUAAGUGAAAUUUGUCGGUAACAAGUGUUUUUAGGCGGAAUAUUGACUACACAAAGUUCAUUUUUAGUUUGCUUGUCUAUAAAAAUUCUUGAUGGAUUUAGAAAUCCCUUAAUAAUUAUCGACAACAUAUGUAUUGGUAAUUGUAUUAUAUACAAUCAGAGUAGAGUUCUUUAGUAUUUGCACCUAAACAAAACUUGCUAACAUAAUAUACACAGCUGAAUAAAUUAUAAAUUGUUGAACUAAUAAUAUUAUAUAAUGAAAACUCCUAUACAAUGAAAACUCCAAACAAAGUAAACUCUUAACAAAGAAAACUCUUAUACCAUUAAAAUUCAUAAUAAUGAAAGGAUUGGACAUUUUAACAUCUUAAAUCCAAUAAUGACAAUUCAAGUGUGUACUUGAUUAAAUGUUUUUAAUCUUUUCUAAAUAACUGCAGUAGUUUGACUUAUAUUGAGCUCCAAUCAGCUCAAUAUCACCUUCUUCCAAUAGAGUUUGAAAAGAGUAAUAUAUAGUAUAGAUCUUUUAAUCUUUAGUAGAUUACCAACUACCAAAGUAUCUUCGACAUUUGCUUAUGAGCAUGUGCUAUGUGCACUUUGAACUUAAGUUCAAAAACUUCUCGUUGGGCAAUGUGUGUUUGCAAUGUGAGUUCAAUGAGAAAUUGUGUAACUUGAGUUCCAAGUGCACAUAGCACAUGCUCGGAAGCCAAUGUUCGAAGGCAUUGCAAAAAGAUCUUUAUGAAUAAAGGAAUUGGAUGUCCUCUUUUGGUAAUUGGUAAUUUACUAAAGAUUAAAAUAUUUAAACUAUAAGCUACUCUUUUUAGACUUUGAUGCAAUAAGGUGAUAUUGAGUUUAUUGGAGUUCAAUAAGAGUCAAACUAUUGCAUUUAUUUGGAAAAGAGAGAAAAACAUUUACUUAAGUACAUGCAUUGUGAACUUGAAAUGUCAUUCGUAUUAGGUUUAAGAUGUUAAUAUGUCCAAUCCUUUUAUUAUUUGAAAUUUUUAUUGUACAGAAGUUUUCUUUGUUACAACUUUUCUUUGUUAGGAGUUUUCAUUUUUAGGGGUUUUCUUUGUUAGGGGUUUUCAUUUUUUAAGGGUUUUCUUUGUUAGGAGUUUUCAUUUUUAGGAGUUUUCAAGGAGGGUACUCUACCAAUCUCAAUCUCUGACACUGUUGGGGCAAAUUGGAAAGUGUACCGAGUCGCACAAGUAAUAUAAAAUGGUAAGACCAAGUAUCGUAUCCCAGAGGACUCUCGACGCUAAACAGUUGUAUGAAAACAAGAUUAAUUAAGACUGAAAAUAAAAGAGAUCAUGGAUUGUAUUGCAAAAAUAAUAAAAUAAAACAAAACAAAAUUGAUCAGUGGCAAAAGAGCUCAGAGAUGAAUGAAGGUUGAUUUAUAUGAGAUGAGUAUGUUGUUGGGGUUAGAUUUCACCAAGUUCCCUCUCAUGUAUAUAAGAAUUCUUCUUUAUUCCUUAAUGCCAACGCCCCUCACUAAAACACUUAAACCCGAUCCCUCGGUAAAUAAGUUUGUCCCUAAUUACCAGAUCAUACAAUUCCUAGCAUUCCUGGUAAAAAGAUGUGAAGAUCAAGAGGUUAAGACGACUAAGAUUCAUACCCUCAUCCCUGAGCAAUAUAACCCUUAGGAGUAAUUCAACAAGGACCUGAAUUGAAAGGAACCUCCCAGCACUCAUGCAACUCAUAGAUCAUGUUAUUGUAUAAGAAUAAAAAUAGAUUAAUUACUCUAACAAUUAAUGAAAAAGCAUAUGAAAUUAAAAAUCAAUUCAAAUACAUGAGAGUUCACAAGGUUACAUCAUUCCCUAACAACAAAUAGAGAUUAGUUCCCCAUAGACAUGGGGGAACCUAUGAACAAUGGAAGCAAAGAAAGAAUGAAAAGACUAAGAAUUGGCUAGGAGUGUAUUGUUAUGCUCUCUUCUGCUAGGGAUGCAAAACCUAGAGCCCCAAGGUCCUUUAAAUAGUGUCAGAUGCGUCCCAAAGUGCGGUCUGGUAAAAAAGAAUCAAAUCAUAGCAGAAUCAGGGCCCGAUCCACGUGAAAUCACGCUCAAGCGUCGCAGGGAGCUCGCUCAGGCGUGACAUGUUGGGCUUGGGCGUCAGUUUUGGAUGCCCAAGCUCGAGCGUCCGUCGCCCGGGCGUCGGGGCCGUCGCACGGGCGACCAGCGGUGAUCUUGGAUGCGCUGUUUUUCGUUCCUGUCGCCUGGGCUUCGGGUUUUCCCCCUUCUUGGUGCCUUUUUGACCCCUUUUGUGCUCCAUCUUCUUGGCUUUUCACUUCUUCUUCCAGUAUUGCUUCAAUCUCUGUCAAAACAAGGGGAAUUUGUUAUAAAAUUUUUAAAAUCAACCUCAACUCUCUUAUUCACACAAUUUAUUGAAAACACAUGAGUCUAAGAAAGUUUCUAAGUGAAAAAGGGUGCUUUUAGUAUCAAAAUCACAUAGCAAAUAACGGUGUUUCAACCCGUUAUCAGACACCCAUCAUAUGCAAGGAGAAUCUUGAUUCCAAAGAACUCAAAUCAUGAGUUUAUAAAAUGAUGACCAUGCAAAGAGGACACAUGUAUUGAACUGCAAAGUCCAAUACAAUUUCUUUUUCAAAUCAGCAAAAACAUAAACUCUUGAAGGAAAACUAGGGAUGAAACUAAGGAAAAUUGUAAACUAAUUAUCAAAUAUGGUUGCUAAGGUACAAAAGCACAAACUCUAGAAUCUUCCUAUCAGUUAAUUAGCAUCAACGUGAAACCUUGCUUGGUGGAUAUAAUCUCACACCUAGAAAAUUGCAGUAGAAAGGAAACUAAGGAUGAAACUAAAAAAAAUAAUUCCAAACUAACUAUCAAAGGUUGCUAAGGAUAAAACAAUAAAAGACGACCUACACAUGAACAAUACAGUUUUCAUAUUUUUCAUAUAGGCAAAGUGUAAAACUUUUAGGACUACUUAUACUUAAGUAAAGCAUGCAAAGGUCAACACAAGAAAUGAAAGAAUAAAAUACCUAAUCUACCAGUAACACAAAAAUGACUUUUAACAUUUGUUAUUUUAGGCUUUUGACCUCUGCUAAAAGUUUGAUGUUAUAGUUCGAGUCGUCAAAUUAGUGUUUCUUGUCCUUGAAUAAAUGUCAAUUAACGUUUUUUUGCAUUCAUAACAUUUAGAAAUAAAGUGCCUUGUUUCUCAACACCAAGAGGGGGGGGGGGGGGCUGAAUUGGUGAACAAUAAAAACAAUGCUUUUUAAAUCUUUUCGCAAACUCAGAAUGUUCUUUAAUCUUUCUUGUAAUCUAAGUAAUGCGCAUAUGCAAUGAAAGUAAAAGAGAUAAUGAAAGACAUACAAACAAAGGAUUUAUACUGGUUCGGCCUCAAUGCCUAUAUCCAGUUUCCCUUCCAAGAACCCCUUGUUCUUCUUCCUAUCACGCACGAACAGGACAGCACAAUCCAAGAUUGCAGAUAUAAAUUUCUGAUCAACGUAGAAACACCUCAGUUAUGUAGAGAAUGACCAACCAAUACGUACACAAAGUUCCUUUGAAGAAUCCUUCAAGUUUCUUCCAAUUCUUUGAAUCUUGAUUCUUGGAGCAUCUCAACAACCUCUAAUAAUUUUCCCAAAUCAAAGAAAUCAGAUAUGAAAGUUUACAAAUGAUCAAAAGUUACAGAGUUGUGUGUAAUUCUUCAAUGUAUAGUUUUCAUCAUGACAGGCGAAAAACAAUCGAUUAGGUUAGUAAUUUAAUCGGUUACAUUAAAACCAUAUGUAACAGAAUUACAACUAACACGAUUCUAAUUGAAUGCACAAUUAAUGUAAUCGAUUUGAAAUAAAUGUUAGUCAAAAGUUACAGAGUUGUGUGUAAUUCUUCAAUGUAUAGUUUUCAUCAUGACAGGCGAAAAACAAUCGAUUAGGUUAGUAAUUUAAUCGGUUACAUUAAAACCAUAUGUAACAGAAUUACAACUAACACGAUUAUAAUUGAAUGCACAAUUAAUGUAAUCGAUUUGAAAUAAAUGUUAGUCAAACAUAUCUAAAAAUAUGACUGUUAUAAUUGUUAUGACAUAGCUUGAAAACAAUUUUCAAAUAAUAACACACUUAACUGAUUACAUAAACAGUGUAAUCGAUUAAGCUCUUCGCUUAAACAGAUUUUGAAAAAAUUUUCUCUUUAAAACUCAUUACAGCACAUUUCAACAAGAUGUUUGCAAAGACAUGGGUUUUAAUCGAUUUAACACUUAAUGUAGUCGAUUCAAAACUUGUUGUUUUGCCACAGUUUAAAACAUAAGUUUUAUGAUGAACUUAAUUGAUUACAACAUGACUGUAAUCGAUUAUUUCAUACAAAUUUGCUCUGUGUUUAUGGUUUUAACACACAAAAACAUUCAACAUGCAUACAGAGAUAUAAACACAUCAUGAUCGCAAUAGUAUGCAAACUAAACAACAUAUCAACAUAUAUAUUAAUCAACAAUAAACAUUUACAUAGAAACAUAUGUAUCAAUCACAAAUACACAUUUCUGUUGUGCCAUGACAACAUCUAUGUGUUGUUACAAUCAAUGCAUUGUCAUCAUCAAAAAUAAACACUCCAGGGAUUGGGUUCAGCACUCAUAUUGCUCCCCUAUCAACAAUAGACGUUAAUUAACAUAUGUUGUAGGAAACACAGACACUAAUUUGUGAGGUUAUUAUUUUAAAAUUUUUCAUCAAUAUUUUCCUCCACUGAAACUAUGGAAAGUCAGUACACAAUACAAGAAUACACAACAAAAAUUUUAUAGUAUGGACAUCUAAAAUAAUGUGUAAGACAUAGAAAAAUUGGUGAAAAUAGGAAAAAAAAUAAAAUAUAUAUAUACCGUAAAUGAUGAAAUUUUUGAAAUUCCAAAGCUCUAAUCUCCUUCAAUUAUUGUCCGACGCCUUUGUCACCCCAUAUACAACAUUUUUCCUUUUUUAGAGCAUCUCCACUCAAGAUUUGUAGUAAAAGUUAUGACCAUUUGAAGUUUUUAACCACUAAAUCUUGACAACUCUGAAUUAGUGACCAAUAUUUCACAUUUGAACACUUUACAUUUGAAUACAACUAAAGAAAAGUUACCACAACCAAAUUUGAGUCAAAAAUAAUUUUCUAGCUAUUUUUAGUGAAUUAUAAAAACUCGAGAUUAAGCUAAAAACACAACAUUUAGGACACACAACAAUGGCCAGUGAAUGAAAAUAUCAACCUUAAUGUGAAAUGAAACUAGGGAAACAAAAACUUCAGCCCAAAUAAGUACAACGACAAGAUGGAGUGAAAUGGGUUGAAGAAUUUACUUCUAUGAGUUUGGCAUUAUCGUUACACUUCGGUGGGAGGUUUUGCGAAAACGUGACAGAGAAAAGUGAGGGCGCUGACACUGUUUUUGAAAUUUUAAAAGGCAAAUUGACGUUUGUUGUGACUGGCUCCGACAUCAAUUUGGACAAAAUAUUUACAAAAAUGUCAUAUCUCAAUCUUAACGUCGAAUUUUUCUAUUUACAAGAAAAACAUGGUGAAAUUAUAAGCUCUUUUUACACUAGUGUACAUGUUUCAAAUGUAAUACCAAUCAAGUUACCGUUUUUUGAAUCUUCUUUCAACUAUAUUAGUAUUAACAUGAAACCGUACUUGGAGGAUCUGAUCUCACACUUAGAAAAUUACAAACCGAACAACAAUAUUAAUGAAGAUUUCAAUUAGUCAAUUAUCAUAAAUAUAAAAAACACAAUGCAUAGGUAUUAUUGGUCAACCUACAAGACCCAAAACUUUGUUACAUGACUAUGAGAAAGAUUGAAAACCAUAAACUCAAGGAAAGUUUAGGCUAAUCAAAUACAGCCACAAAAAAGAGUAGGCUACAGUGUGAAACACAAAGUUUGUAUGAAUUCUCGUUUGAUAUACAUUUUACAUAAACAAGCUCAUAAAUCAAAAUGUUAAACUCUAAGAGAAAACCCAAUACCAAAAUGAACAACAUAGUUAUCCCUAAACCCUAAAUGAAAAACAAAAUAAGAACAUCUUUAUACCUCAAACCAAAAUGUCUUCGAUGAGGAAUCUUAAAUCGGGACAACCUUGACAAAAUUUCCUCCCUAGGAUGAUGCUCCAAUGAAUGAUCAGGUGGUGAAACAUUGUGAAUUGAUUAAUCAAUUAGGAAUACUAACAAAAAACUCCAACGAAAAUUAAUUUUUUUUUUCAAUAAGUAUGUAUAUUAUUAGUUUUUAAAUUAAAUUAUUUUAAUUAUUUUUUAUGUAGAUAUAUGUAAAAAUAUUUUUCAAUUAACUUUGGUUAAGAAUUUUUUAUAUUGAUUGUUGUUUUUUAAAAAAAAAAUCGAUUAGAGAUUUGAGUUCAACAAUGUUGAUAUCAUCUUUUAAUUGAAAAUUGGAUGUAUUUUUUCAAUUGUCAUUACGGUUAUUUGUCAAAAUUUAACUAAUCUUUUUCUAACAUAGAUUUAAAAAAAAUCUUACUAAUAUUAAUAGAAAAGUUGAAAAAAAUUGAUUUAAAAAUAUUACCAACCAACACAAAGUAAAAUAAUAAAAAGAAAACUCUUGACAAAACUUGAUUUAGAAGUAAUCUCUAUCAACAUUAAAAAAAAAAAAACUUAGACAUAGUAUUUUAAAAUGUUAAAUAUUAUGUAAUAUCAGAAAAGUUAUAUUAAACAAUAAAACCUUGUAUUGAAAUUUAAUAAAUUUAAAUUAAAAACAAUUCAAAUUGAAUAUAUCUUAAUAAUUAUUUUGAAUUUGUCCAGUUUCCUAUAAUUAAAGUUUAUAACUUCCAUUUGGUAUGAGUUUUGAUUAAGAGAACCAUAAUGGUGAUUCAUGACAUCUCAUUCUAUGAAGUCGAUUUGGACCACUUUGGUGUCUCAGUCUCAUCCUCUUUCAAUUCCACCAAGUUUUCCAUGGAUAGUGCUUCAAUGAAACUAUCUAUGGUGAGGGAGAAAGAUGGAUUAAUUGUGGUGUGGGGACAUGCAUGUUAUGAGGAGAGGAAUCCAUCAUUGUUCCAACAGUUGGAUGACAAAGAUGAAUUUAAUCACCUUAAUUAGCUUGUUUGCUUGCUUUUGGAACUUUGACCCACAUACAUACUUUAACAUGUCAACUCCCAUCCCAAAAUUUCAACUCAAUCUAUAUAAAUUAAAUGUCAAAAUAAAAAUACCCUCGUGUUGUUUUUUUUUUUUCAGAAUUACUUUAUUUAUAUUAGAAUUUUAUACACAUUUAAAAAUUCAUAAAAAGUUAGAAUAUUAGCAAUACAAAAGUAGUUUAAUUCAAUAUUUUUUUUUAAAAAUUUGGGUAGGAUUUCUUAGUAUUUCAAGAUUGUUAAAAAAAAAUUACAUCAUUUUAACUAUUAUUAAAAAACUAAAGAAUAGUGUGUAGUUUUUUUUUUUGUGCUGUGCAGUUAUGUGCUUAUAUUUGCUAAGUUACUCUUGGAGGGGGUUUUCUAGGGUUUAGGGUUUUUGCUUUCUUAUUAUUUCUCCCUCACUAAUUACUCUUCAUCAUUCUUCUUUCUUCUUUCCCUUUUUUUAUAAUAAGAAGGUAUAUUUAGUUUUAAGUCUCAUUCAGAAUAGUCUAAGAUAAAAUAAAAUGUAUAUAUAUAUAUAUAUAUAUAUAUAUAUAUAUAUAUAUUUAAAAUGCAUUUAAUAGUAUUAAUUGAGUUAACUAAAUUUUUAAUCUCUUUAAAUUAAUUAAAUUAUUAAUUAGUUGUAACAAAGCAAAGAACAAGCAAAGCUAUGCCAAAGUUUUCUUAAGAUGCAACUUAACAAUUAAUAUAUUUUAUUAAAAAUCACUCAUUUGAUCCUUAAUAUCAUUAGUGCAUUCUAAAUAUGAAUUCUAUAACAAAUAAUUAAAAAAAAAAAAACUAUUACUUUGAAUGUCUUAAUUCUUGAAGACACAAACCCUAAAAACAUAGACUACUAUAGUAUUUAAAACAUUUAAAGAUGUUCUGUUGUAAGGGCUGACACAGCUCAAAGCUAAAUUCACAGUGCGGUUAUAGGUCGUGUUUGGAUGUUAUGGUCCCAAAAGCAAUAUUGGUGGAAGAAACGGUGAAUGAAGAAGCUUUGUUCAUAGUAAGAAAUAAAAGGAGACAGAGUUUAUAGUUAUUGAGGAGUACUCUAAUUCCGAAUCCAAUCAUGAUGCUUCUGAGAACCAGAAUCUAACAGCAUUGACACCAUUUCUCAGCAUCUCUGCUUUUUCUUCACGAAAAUCCAAGUGUUACUGAUAAGCUUCCCUUUCAUACGAGACCAUUUUAAUGCAGAUAAACGCUUUUUCUCAUCGGAUUCCAUCUUUCUCUCUGCACUUCAUCUCAUUGGAUCUAUGUAUGUGUGCCCAGUUGCUUGGUGACAACUCUCGUAUACCAGUAUCAUGCUUUUUCCUAUGAGGGUUUUCCGAAAACAUCAUGCAGCAACAACAAUGUUUUUGUGUCUUCUCUAAUUAAGAUUGUCAACACUACUUUAAAUUUCUCAACGGCUACAAAAAUUUACUUUUAAUGUUGUAUUUUUUAUUAAAUAAAAUUGUGUUAAUAACUCUUUCUGCUGUAAACUCUAACCCUAAACUUAUCUCAGCCGUGUUUGAAAAUUUUAAUUUCAUUUGGACAUUUUUCAAUUUAAAAAUGCAUUAAAAUUAAAAUCUUUAUUUAUAUUCCUCAUAGAUUCUCUUAGAAAACCAAAAAUUAAGCCACAUUAAAAUGGGGUGAAUUAAUUUGAUAGAUAAAUUAAAUUUUCUUGAAUGGAUAAAAAUGAAUAUAGGUCGCUAUAUUCAAGAACUUUUUUGAUUAAUUGUUUGUCCAUAGGCUGUCUUUCAUAGUGCAACUAAAAUCAUGUUAUAUUUGAAAAUAAGAAAUAUUAUUGUAUAAGUUAUAAUUUUUUUUUCUAAAAUAAUUUAUGCAUCUUUACAACAAUAACAAUAAAAGUAAUGAAAUUUUAUUAUUUUUAUGUGAUAUUAAAAAUAAAGAACAAUCUCAAACAUCUUUAAAGCAAGAUUAUCUUAAAACAAGAUACUUUGCAACAAAAAAAAAAUGAAAUAAAAUGAACAAAAAAUAUAUUUUUUAAUUUUUUUGUAUAUUUGAAAAUAUAUUGAAAAUGACAUGUUUAAAGUAACUAGAUUAAAUAUAUUUAAAUAAGAUUUAAUGGGCUAUCCUUACUUUUACUGAUCAUUUAAAAAAUGUCCAAGUUAGUAUAUCUAAAUAUAUAUUUUGUUGAAACAUCCCCUUAUUUUUAUGUUGAAACUAAAUAAUAUUUAGAGUUUGAAUGAAAUUGUUUGAUGAAAGCUUUCUAAAGGAACUCAAAAUUCAUAGGAAAAUAAAAUUUUAACACCAUUUUUUAACACCAUUUUGACACUGCACACGUGUCAAAAUGUGGUUGGAUGAUUUCAAAUUAAUAAGACAAACUUUGGUUUUUUUCUUCCAAACAUAUCCCUGUCUCAACUUUUUUAAUUUGAAAUUGUCUAAUCACAUUUUGACACGUGUGCAAUGUCAAAAUAGUGUCAAAAAAUGGUGUUAAAAUAUCGUUUUCCAAAUUCAUAAUAUCUGAAUUUAGUUUUUAGGGUAAACUUAAGAAGUUAUACUGUAAAUAUUUUAAGAAACUCAUAAAUUCAAGUUUCAAGUUUAAUUAAUAAAUAAAUUCUUGUUAAAGUAAAGUUGCCUGAUAUGAUGACAUGAGUUAAGAUAUAAUUUUAUAAUAGAAUAUUUUUAAGUCAUGAGUUAUUAAAUUUUUAUAAAUAUAAAUAAAAAAUCAUAAAAAAUAGAUUUUUAUAAAAUUUUGUGAUUGACUAGCAGAAACAUUAUGUACAAACUCACAAUGAAUGAAACCUUACCAAUAAAAAAUAACAAAUCUGUCACAUGAAAAUUAUUUCAACUUUUAUCAGAACAUGAACAAUAGGAAAUCAAUGGGUUUGACACACCCGACAAAGCAAAUUCAAGAGACCGAAUUGUGCCAAAAUACAAAUAGUAACUAAUCUAUUGGUGAGAACCUAACUAGAACGUUAUAGGAUCAAUACUUCAUAUCAAAAAGGAUUCUUGUCUCCUCUAACCCUUGUCCUCUUCUUCAGGGUCAAACAAAAAAUAAGUUAUUUUUUAAAAACUAAAAUUAAUGUGUCUAUGAGUAAAAAAUUAAUGACAUUUUUUUCAUAUUAAUUUAUAUAAAGAGUAAACUUUAUGAAUAAACUUCCUCUGAUUUUAUUUUUAAUUCAUUCUUCUAUUAUUGUAUAUAUGGUUUAUCUUAUUUCAUUUAUCAGCCUGAGUGUUUUAUGAAAAUGAUAACUACACCAUAUUGUUCAUGAAAUCCUUCAACUUGAUAUAUUUUUUCUAUGAACCUUUAAUAAAGAGAGAUUUGAUUUUUUCUUACAAAAGGAAACAAUAAUAGUUGAGGAUUAGUCUUGUAAUUUACAAAUAAAUUAUCAAUUAUAAAAACUGUUGAAAGUCUCUCACCGACUAGAAAUAAAGCAAAUUUAUGAUAUAUAUAUAUAUAUAUAUAUAUAUAUAUAUAUAAACUUUAUCUUACAAGUUGGUUUUGUAAAAUUGAGUUAAAUUUAAAUCCAUUUCUUAACAUCGUAUUAUCCCAAUGAUAUUUGUUGUUUGUUAGGCAUAUUGUAUUCAAGUCUUUAACAAAAUCGUAAUUAUAAAUAUAAUGGUUUUGAUUCCUCCCAAAAGAUCAAUAAACAAACUUAUUUAUUUUCAAUUUUAUUACAUUUUAUAUUUUGGUUCCUCAAUUUUAUAUAUAUCUAUAAAAUAAAGUUUUGAAACUCUCAAAAUUUGUAUAAAGAUCCAUUGAUCAAACAGAUAUAAAUGACAUAUAUAAUUGAAUCUUACUAGAAAUACAAGUAUGAGUUUAAAUAAGUCUUAUUUUGAAUAAAGUUUAAAUCUAAAUCUUACAUUAAAUAAAAAUGAUGAAGUUGAUAUAAAAAAUAAUAUUCAUAAGUCUAUUAUCUUAAGGUUGAGUUGAAGGUUGUGUCAUUCUUUUGUAUUAAAUAUAUUCAUGUUUUAUUGGUGUUGAAUCUUCACGUUAAUUAUUCUUCAAAUCAAAUCCAAUUACAAUUAUAUAUAGAUGUAUUGAAUAACUUAGUGAAUAAUUUUUUCAUUUUACUUAUGUUUAGUAUAUACCAAUAAAUUAUGUCAAAUAUAAUAUUUGUCCACCAUAGCAUAUGAAAGUCUCUUGCAUUAACAUAAAUAACACAAAUAUAUAUUUACUGAUAAAACAAGUAAUUUAGAGAUAUACAUGGUGACAAUAAAAGAAGUACAGGUGGAUUUAGCAUUCCAAAUUAUUCAUCAUCUUCUUAAUGUAUUUAUAAUGAUAAAAGAAAAGAUCAAUUUAGGUAAAUUGAAUUGGUGCCAAAUAACAACUCUAGUUAUUGAAUUUUUGAGUUGUUUUCAGAUGCAACGAAUGUAGGUUAUCCACACAAAAGUAGAUAGAUCUAUGAAUCAUCUUUUACCUUUCUAUAAUAGACACAUGGAUAAUAUUAUCUUCUCAUGUUUCCAUUCAUACAUAACUAAAUUCAUUAAAUCAAAAUUUCUUCUAUUAUUAUUGGAUGAUUGUUUCAGUUCAUGGGGGAAUCUUUUUGAACUUAGAAAACGUCUUGUUUGUAUAUGUUAAAACCGUUUGUAUAUAUAAUACACUAUUACCAGUAAAAAUAAAUAAAUAUUUUUUAGAUGGUUAUAUAUGUACUUUCUAGGGAUAAUAUAGUUUUAAUCUCUUAUUAAAAGUUUAAUUAAGUCAAGUUUUAACGUUCCUCAUUAUAAAAAAGCACUAUGACUCUUGAGUAAUUUAUCUCACUUUAUAUUAAAAAGUAGAGUCUUCAAAAUAUGCAUUUGUCAGUUUUUUUUUUUUUGAAAUUUCUUUAUUUUUGUUUUAUAACAUCUUAUCUCAAACAUAUAUUCCAUAUUAUAACUUACUCGAUGAAAAAUAUUAUUAAACUAUUGUGAAUUUUUCAUUUUAGAACAUCCUAUAAAAGAUAAUUUUAAAGUAAACUUUUAGAAAAACACAAAAGUAUGAAUUGGAAAUAUAAUGAAAAUAGUAUUUUUGUAGUAUUCCAAUCAGCACGAGCUUCACAAAAGAUAAAAGAGCUUAAGAAAAGAAUUAUUAAAAGUUGAAAAAGGCAAUACUUAUUGAACUCAUAAAAAGAAUGGGAUACACUUUUUGUUUGUAAGUGAAGGAAAGAGAUUUUAAAAGUGUGACCCAAAAUACAAAUUUUAAGGUCCAAAUAAAGCAUCAUCAUAUAAAAUGCAUUCAACAUUAAUUAACUUUUGGGACCAAAAAAUAACCUUAACUUUACAUAUUAUUUUUUCAAUUCAAGAUGGAAUAAAUCUACAAAAUUCCUCAAUUCUAACGCAUAAUAACUAACAAUUAUGUUAAUUAAUUCACUCACUUUAUUAACCGUUUACUUCUAACCAAGCAAUAAAUAUGCAUAUAUAUGUAUGUAGAGUAAACUUUUAAUAUCAUAAACCAAAAUAGAAAAAACAGCUUAAAUUCAUGAAUGAAAGAGAACAAAAGAAUAUAUAAAUAACGAAGAUUCAUCUAAAAUUAAUCAAAAUUGAGAUAGAAAUGAAAAAAAAAGGCUCUUAUUAAUUUUGAACAAAACAUCUUUUAUUAAGAGAAAUAAAAUACAAUUAUUGUUUUCCCAUCCUUGCAAAUAACUCAUAAUUUUAGCCUAAUAUAUUAGAAUACAAAUAUUGAAUUGUUCAAUUAUGAAAAAAUAAUUUUUAAAGAAAAAAAAACAUAAAUAAUAAAUUGAAGAAAUAAAUGCAUUGGACAUAAGAGAGAGAAAGAGAAAGAAUGUGCCCCUAAAACCCCAAACUAAGCCCCCAACCCUAAAAUAAAAGCUCUUCAAUCUUUCCCUUCCCUCUCACACACACUUACAAAUUUCCCUCUUCACUUUCUCUCUCUUCUUUCUCUCUCUUAGCCUAUGCCACUUUCUCUUUCACCCUGAAUUUUUUCUUCCUUCACCAUUUUCCCUCUCAAUCAAAUGGGAAAGUACAUGAAGAAAUCUAAAAUCUCCGGUGACGUCGCCGCCCUAAUCAUGGAGUCACCGCCGCCGCACUCGCACCUUGGCGUCCGUACGCGCGCCAAAACCCUCGCGCUCCAGAACUCGCCCCAAACUCCCGACUCCGCCGUGUACCUCCAGCUCCGCAGCCGCCGCCUCCUCAAGAUACCCCCUCCCAUCCCGGAAAAGCCCCGACGUUGUGCCGCCGCCGAUUCUGCCCCCAAUUCCCGCCUCUCCCAAACUGCGCUCUCCAAAACGCCUUCGUCCCGCUCCGCUGAAAAGUUCGCGCCUUUAGAUGACGACAACGCUGAAUGCUCCUUUGGUCAAAAUUUCCUAGACGUCGAAGGCAGAGACGAAAGGUAUAUUCUCUUUCUUCAAUUUCCCCCCUUUUUUUCUUCCUCGGUUUUUUCCCUUGAGUUUUUGGAUUUUGUUUUCUUCGUGUGUUUUGUUAAAAUUUCAUCCUUUUUCUUUGCAACGUGAUUCUGAUACUUUUAUUUGAGUUUUUUUAAAUAUUUUAUUGGCAUGUUUUUCUUUUAGGUUUUUGCUUCAGAAUCUUACUGGUUUUUUCUUCAUGCAUUUGUUGUUGAUUUUUUGGGGGCUAAAGUGUGUAUUUGUAAUAAAAAAGAGUAUUUCAAAGUUCGAUUAUAGUAAAAUUUAGAGAUUUUAAAGAUGGGUUUACUCAUGAAAUUUGACAGGAAAAACAUAAGAACUUUUUCUAUAAGCAUUAUUUUUAAGACUAACAUCUUAAAAUGAUUUCAGGGACUAUUUUAUCCUUUUUCAUCUGUUGCAUGCAACUGUUACCUUGAUUUUUGUGACUUUUCACUAGUGUGUUUAUAUUUUCUUUUCAUUUUUUUGGUAUUAUUUAAUCUUCUAUUUUCUCCCUAUUGUGUUUUUAGUUUUUGAAUUUUAGUUUGCUGAAUUCUGGUGAUGCUAAAAUUGUUGCAUUCUAAGUGGAGCGGGAACCAUGUGAGUUGGUGGAAGGAUAUUAUUCAGUAAAAAAAUGAUAUUCUGUAUUGAAAUUUACCAUUCUUUUGAUUCUCUUGUGUUUUUAGUGUAGUUUUCAUUAUUAACCUUCGUUCUUGAACCUCUUGAGGUCUUGGUCCCUUAAUUUUGGGUUAUUUAUUUCUAUGAUUUGACUCUGUCAAGUCUAGGCACUGAGAUAAAGCUCUGUUUGUACAACGAGUCGCUGAGAUUUGAGACUUGUGUGUGACUUGUGAUGGGUUCUGCGGCAUGCAUGUCCUCAGGAUAGUAACUGCAACUUGUAUUUAUCUGCAGUAUUAAUGUGUGUAUGUCAUUCUUUAAUUUCUACAACUAUCCUGCGUAUUGAAUCCUUCGAACCAAAAAUGUUGUGCAUUGAUAAAUUUUCAUUUUUUUCCAGGAAAAUAGAACCCACUAAGUGGAAAAUAAGUUUCAUAAAUUGAUUAUAAAAGGAAGAACAUCUCCAAACUCCAAAUUGAGUGCAAUUUGAUGUUACAUUAAUUGCCUCUGCAGAUCCAGUGUGAUUUGACAAUUUUCAUGCAAUUAUGUUUCGACUCCCUUUGUUGUUUCUACUCCAUUUUUCUCAACAUUUUGAUGAACUUAAGAGCUUAGUAAUUAGAUAUGUUUCAGCAGUGACUCCAAAAUGCAUUCAGGCUUGAUUGUCCUUGUUUUACUUUUGAUCUGCAAGAACCUGCAUGACCCUGAAGCUUAACCCUCUGUAAAUGGUCAAGUUGGAAAAAAUUGGAUUUUAGUAAUAGGAGCAGCCGUAACUCUUAUGACUCGUGUUAGCAAUGAUGUGUCAUUUACAUGGGGCCAAGCAGCAGAUUGAUGUUUUUUUGGAUUCCUAUUUGGGUUUGCGGUGAAAUGAGAAAGAUUUGGCCGUCUCUUUCUUUGUAUUUUUUUAGUGCAUGAGCCCACCGAGUCAGAACUUGUCCCAAUAAAUGCCAGUUACUUUUUCAUAGUAGAAAAUUUUGUCUCUAGUUCCAUACUGAGCUGUAGGAGAUUGUUGGAGAAAAAAUGAUCUGUUUUUUCUCUCACUUAUUUUUUCUGUCAGCGGUUAGCAUGCAAUUUCUGGUGUAGAAACUUUUGAUUCCAAGUCAGCAUUUGUAUUAAUAUAUGGCUGCUAUUUUGUUUAUCUAUAAACUUAUCUUUAUUAACAUUUUAUUAUGUUUAAACAGAAGCACUAGGGAAAGCACACCCUGUAGUUUAAUAAGGGACCCAAAUGUCAUCCAUACCCCCGGUUCAACUACAAGGCAAAGGACGCUCCAAAAAAAGCAUGAUCACAUACAAAGGAACAUUCCACCGGCUCAUGAGUUGGAGGAGUUCUUUGCUUAUGCAGAGAAGCAGCAACAGAAAAUGUUUAUGGAAAAGUAUGUAUUCUUAUCCCACAAGUCCUUUUUUUUGUUUUUUACUUGUGGUUUUAUUUUGAUCUCUUAAUUGAUUUAUCAAUGUAAUUAUGUAAUGUGCUUAUGUCUAAAUGUUCUAUAUUAUGCAGGUACAAUUUCGACAUUGUCAAUGAUGUACCACUGCCUGGACGGUACGAAUGGGUCCCAGUACUCCACUAAGAUGAUAAGCUUCAGUGUCAUAUGGUGAUAAUAUGGAUUUCAAGGAUAUCUGACAUGUAUUGUAACAACUAGAAGCUGUCACUAACCAUUUACUUUGCUUGAGGUUAUUGUUCAAGUAGCUACUAGGGAAAGGAUGUUUAGGAAUUUAUUAUAUCUGAGUAGUUUAGAGUUUUUAUGUCUUUCUGAUUUGUAGGGGGUAGGGGGUAUAUGGUAUAUCUAGUUGCAGCUCUUUAAUGUAAUUUCAUUUUCUUGUGUUUAUAGUUCAGUGGGGAUCAGAUCAGACAUCAUGUUACUUUAAAGUGUUCUCAUCAAUUUAAGUUCCUCAAGUUUGAAAUUUGGAAUACUGUUAAAUUUUAAUCUUGGGGACCAUCUACUUGUUCCAUGGUCCCACAGUUUCAUGCAACCAGUAAAAAGUUCUUCUGCAUAGCCUACACUGGUGCAUAAAUUAAUAUAACUUUUUAUUUUGAAACAGACAUUGAUAUAAUAAAUAGCUUUACCAGCAAGCAGAAGAGAGAACAGUAAGGUAAAUAUAUUUUUUGGUAGUAAUAUAAUAAACUGUUCUUUAUCUUUAAUAACAUGAAUUAAUAUUUUAUCUUCACUAUGCAGUGGUUGUUUAGUAAUGUGUUGUAGUCAAAUUCAUAUAUGGGUAAGAUUAAAAGGGACAAUCAAAGGGUAUAAGCAUUUAUGGAGAUUGGGAACUGCUUGUUUUGUUUCUUCCAAUGUAUCCUUUGCUAUAACAUUUAUUUUAAGAAUUUCUGCAAAUUUAAUGGAUAGACAUAUUUUUUAAAGGAAGAAAAAAAAAACUAAAAUUAAUUCUUGUAAUUUUUUUUUUAUUCUCUCUAAAUAUGAUUAUAUUCUUUAAAUGCUUUUACGGAGAGUUGAACUAAAUUUAAAUAAAACUAUAUUUUUUAUUCAAUAGUUUGAAGUAGAACUGAUUUUCAAAAUCCAAAAUACUGUCACCUUUUCUUUUAUUUGCAUUAGUGAUUAAUAAUAAUAAACUUUUAAAAGAUUAAGUAUAAUUUUAGUCUUUAAACAUGAAAAAUUACAAUAUUUUAAAAAUUUUAUAUAUUUUGGUUUUUAUAACUUAUUAAACAAUGUUUUAAACUCAUUUUAAAUUAAAAUGAUACAAACAAUUUAAUUAACAUUGACAUUUCAACAAAUUUAACAAAAAAAUUUAAUAUAAUAGAAUUAAUGUAACAUUACAAAAAUAUAGUAAACAUAUAAAAGAGUUAUCAUAGAUCUAAUAUGAUAGAACAUUUUUUAACUAUAGUAUAAAGUAUAAAAUUACACUUAUUCAAAAACAAUAAUAAAUAUUGUUCCAAAGAGGCCUUGUCUUCUUCUAUUCACACCCACAGGAUGAUCAUUGCAAAGAAAAAAAAACCGCACAUACAAAACACAAUCACAAACAACAUGAUAAGUUAGUUUAAAAUAAAAGAACAAUUAUUAUAUUCAUCAACUAUAUUACAUACAGUCACACAUAGUCAGUCAUUCACCGACACAAAACACUUUAUCAUGAUAUUACAAUGAAUUGACCGUCCGGACUUAGAAUGAUUGUCGAGCUAUGGUGGGUUGUGCACUUAUAGUGGCUUUUACUACUUUGCAAAGCCAUUGCCAAUGAGUUUCACCCUACCACACUCACAAGGUUAGUCGGUUCCACGCCUUGGAGCAUACUAGAAGCUCCCAAGACUAACAUCUCCUGCUACUCCUCACGACAUGGAUCAAUCCUCUCUACUUGAAAAUGAAAGACCAUUGGAGUUUCAGGAUAAUCCCCAAGAUUGAGCUCCCGCAUUCAUUCUAAACAUACUUGAAUCUCACCAAGAGAUCCUACUAUAUAACUUACUUUCACCACCUUGAAACCAUACUUUGGAACUACAUACUUUCACUUUGAAUCUCAACUCAUAACUUUUAUACUUAGAUUAACACAUACAUAAUCAUACAUCAACCACAAUGAAUCAAAGUACAACUCAAAUCAAUUCAAGAACAAAGAAGUAAAGUGUAAACAAAAACCUGGACCAGUCGCUCAGCGACCACUCUUGUUAGGCGACUACAGAGUUCUCUCGCUCAACGAUCUAGUUCGUUGUGCGAAUAAAAUGACAUUAAUCCUAGACCCUAACCUCUAGCUCACCGUCUCAGCUCGCUAUGCGAAUAAAAUGAUAGUGGUCCAAACCCCCAAACCUCUCGCUCAGCGACCUUACUCAUUAAGCGAGUCUAGAAACAGUGGUCUAAACCCUACAACCACUCGUCCAACGACCCAACUCACUAGGAAAAUCUUGAGACAAUAGUCUAGACCUCUCAACCACUCGCCCAAUAACCCAACUCGCUAGGCGAAUCCUGAGACAGUGAUCCAUACCCUUGACCUCUCGUUGAGCGACUCCACUCGCUCAACGAGUUUGCAUAAUUCUACAGCAUGAAAACUGUAGAAUUUUCACCUUAGACCACUCUUAACCAGAUUUAUAUAUUUUUUCCAACUUCUAACCCUCCUAGAUCUUGUUAUACAUUUAAUUAUACUCAACCAAGGGUGUCUAAACCAUUCUAAACUCAUUUUAAACAAGUGACUACAAGAUUUCAACCAAAAACUUUUAAAACUUUAACUUAGAGACCCAAAUUAAAUUCUACCAUUUGUGACACAAUUUCAAGCAACUUAAAGACUCUGACAAGUCCCAUAUGAAUUACCAAGACUUUCCAAACUGACCAUUUGAGCACAGGACACCCAACUCAAGUUUUCACUAGUUCACUUCCUCAAAAACAAGCUUUAAUCCAAGGUAAACUAUAUACCUAUAUCUCACCAUACCUUCUUAUCACAUAUUUAAUCCAUUUCAACACUUUAACAACUCAUAAAACAACUUAUAAUAGACUUCACAUGCUUUAAACCAGUUCACAACACUUCUUUCACAAUUCCACUACCUAAGACCUCAACUUUAGACCAAAUAACCUACAACCAAGAUUAACCCUUUUCUUCCAACAAUUCAAUCAGCACAACUGACUUCACUGACAUCAAAUCCAACAUCACAAAUACACAUACAAACAGAUUCAACAUGUUAUACAACAUCCAUCUUCAUACAAAGCAUCAAUUUAUCCUUUUACACAUAAUUCAAGUCUCAAUUCAUACAAAGUCAGAAAAUUGAUAUUUUUAACCACAUUCCUAUAACCUAAUUAAUUCAUCAACUAAUCUAAUCAUCAAGACAGAGUCACUAGCUUUUCUUACCUCAAUAAGACUUCACAAUCCUAGAAAAUACUCUAACAAUUGCUUCCACCACAAGGAACCUUUAGAACGACCUACAAAUCAUCGAUUGACGAUUGGAGACAAACCUUAGAACCUAAAUUGAGUAAAUAAUUGAAGAAGGACACAAAUUGACACAUACAACAGAAACUUCUUUCAUGAUCAAGAAUCAAGAAAAUAUCACGAAAAAGGAAACUAAACUUACUUGCUCUAAUCACCAAGCUAAUCGGUCAGAUAGGUAGCUCUUGACAUAAGGAUCAUCUAAACACCUCCUGAUCAUCGAAUAGAUAACUUAGGAACAAGAAAUUGUAGAAAGAAGUGUGAAGAAAUGAAGAGAACGAGUUUUAGAGAUAUAUACGAUAUUUAAGAUAAUGAGACAAGCUUAGAAAAUCUUAUUUUAUAUUAUAAAGUUAUUUUAUAAUAAAACUUUCAGUCUCAUUAUUUUAAUACAUUUAUCAACUUUAAUACUCUAUUUUUUUAAGGUUCUUACAAUUAAAAAUGUUAUAUCAUUUCUUUUUUAAACUUAACAACUAAAAUAUAUUAAAAUUAGAGAAAGAAUGAAAUUUAAAUUUCGAUUGAAAAAAAAUUUAUUUUAUUUUAAAAUGUAACAGAAGAGGUUAACUUUUUGUUGUAUAUUGUCGGAUAUAUUUUUCUCCAAAGGAAAGAAUAUACUAACUAAAUGCUGACUAACAACUCAUGAUUAAGGGUACGUUCUUUAAAUUCUUUUAAGAGAAUCACAUUUUUCAAAUAAUAACCGGAAUAUUUAUAUAGUUUUCAUGUGUUUGUUUUAGCAUUUUAAAAUAAUUAAAUUUAUGUUAAACAAUUUCCCAUAAAAUCAUGUUUCUUAUAAAAAACAGUUGUCUUUUAUAAUAGUAAAAAAAUAAAGUAAAAUUUGCUCAUUUCUAGCUGGUUUCAGUCUUUUAAAAAGAAGGGUCAUACAGAAGGCUUAAUGAUCUCAAAUAUAAAUUCAAAAAUAGUUUAAAAUUAUCAUGAUAUGAAUUUUAAAUAAUAAUUAUAAAAGUUUGUUUUGCCCCUCUAUGCCUACUGGGAUGAGAUUGAAUAAGAGUUAAAUUUCCACAAACACAAAAAGCAUUACAUGAUUAAUCACUUAUAAAUGGUAGUUAUUUUUAAAAUAAAAAAGAGUAUUAUGUAUAAAAAAAUGAAAUUAUUAAUGAGACUCUAACAGAAAACAGACAAGAAUGACAGUUAAAGGACCCAUUCCAAAGCAUUUAUUUAUCUAUUUUUCUGAUCUCUAAGUUUUGACUAUGAUUUUUCAGUAUACUUUCAGAUAUGUUCCAUUCUUUUAAAUAUUUAUCUAUAAAAGAUAAGAGCCACAAAAAUAAACACUUGAAAAGAAAGAGAAAAAAGAAAAGAAAAAAUUGGAAUUGAAAUCAUAUGGGUUUAUUUUAAGAAUAUCCAUUGGAAUUAGAUAUGGUCACAUGUCACAUGUGGUUUUUUGUAGCAAACAUCAUUCUCAAAUAUCAAACAAUUAUUAACACCACAAUCACAAUCUAUGUCACUAUCUUUGUAAGUAUUUGAAAUAUGACAAGGACCCAUUAUUAGAGUCACCCAAAUCAUUUUCUAGAUUUGGAUGAGAUUGCAUCCAAUAAUAAUAAUAAUAAUAAUAAUAAAAGUGUAAACAAAUAUAUCAAAGAAUAUAUAUUAUCAAUAUUCUUUCAUUAUUGAAUACUUUAGUAACCAUUCUGUCCUUCUCUAUCAAACUCUUUUCUUUUCUUUUUUUUUUUCAGUAAGAAAAAUAUAGUUUCACAUUAAUAAGGACUUUAUAAUAUGGUGCAUACUAAUUUGUUUUCUUGCAUUAUAAUUGUUAGAAAACAGAUUUUCAAUGAAUUAAAUAUCAAGGGUGUCAUUUUUUAAAGUAAUUAUCGAAGUGAGAGAUCUUAAAAGGACGAAGAUCUAGUUUCAACUUCCUCAUCAUUUUACACUUUCUUUUUAAAAAGAAAAAAUUAACAAAAAUCAAUAUUGUUAGUGAUUAAAAAUGUAUAAUUAUUUUAUAUUCUUUAUUCACUUAUAAGGUAAAAGUAAUAAACUCGUCCAUAUAAUCUUAUGACGUCUGAAAAAUAGAUUCUGAUGCCUUUACAGUUAAAAAUACUUUUAGUUUUAGUAAGUUAUUUUAGCCCUCCAAAAUUAUUUAUCACAAUUCUGUAAAAUUUAAUAAUUUUAUCAUUUUAUAUGAUAGAUUAUAAUUAGAUGAGAGUGCAAUUUAUUAUGGAUGUGUUUAAAUUAAAUUGAAUGCAUUAUAUAAAUUAAAACUCAAAUGCUUUAAAUGGAAUUAACCAAUACUAAAGUUGAAUUCAGUGAAGAAAUUCUUUCAAGAUUUCCAAUCUCCCAUUACUUUUUCCCUAAAGUCUUUUCCUAUUUUUUUUAAAUUUAUUUUCUUUUAAUUCCUUUGUAAUAUAUUUCUUAUCUAUCUUGCCAAUUUAAUUUGUUAUUUGCUACAAACUUCAAAAGAAGUAGCACUUUUAUGUUCUGUAAGCCUUUUCCUUCAAGAUGCACAUACCAACAAUUUGGAUUUAAUUUGGUUUAGUACACAAAUACUAUCUGUACGACACUUUGGCACAUCUAGUAAGCAACUUUUUUUUUUCCUAAUAACACAUAAGUUUUCAUUAUUUUCAAACAAAAUAUAUAUAUAUAUAUAUAUAUAUAUAUAUAUAUAUAUAUAUAUAUAUAUAUAUAUAUAUAUAUUGUACCGGAUGAAUCGGACAGCGAGACGUUGUACUCAGGACGGACGGUCAAGCAGAUAAAAUAGUCUGAACUCAAGUCGUGCUUGUCUCUCGACAAAGCUCUCCAGUGGAGCGGGCGGUAUGGGCGCCCGGUGGAGGUCGCCGAUUAAGGUAUAGUAAGCAUUCAAGAUUAAGGUAAGACCAAAUCAACCAUGGUGGGUCUAUGAUUGGGCCGUAAUUAAGGUUCCACUAAUCAUCGGCCCAUGAAGAAAACUAUAAAUACGAGUCAAAGGUGAGAGGUAGGUAGACACAUUAAUGCACAUUUAUUUCAUUCUCUUUCUAUCUCUAUCCCUGAUAUUAAAAUACCGGACACUGACUUGAGCGUCGGAGUGCCAUUAGCAGGUACCCGACCGGAUCCAACGGAAGACGUAAUAUUCUAAAUCAAAGGACAAUUGAGUGGGAAAAGUACAAGACCGAACGACUGACGGUGAGAAAUAGUGUAGGAGGACCCGAAGACACUCACAGCAAGAACAUUUUGGUGCCCACCGUGGGGUCGGAGGAUUAUAACCAAUGGUGACCACGAGAAAUACGAGCACUGACGAGGCGAGUGGAGUGAUUCGAGCUCUAGAGAUGAGGAUGGAGGAAAUGCAGAGAAGGCACGAGGAAAUGCAGAAGAAACAUGAGGAGGAAAUGACGACGGUACGAGCCGAAUGCUUAGCUCAUCUAAGAGGGGGAGGGGAGAAGGAGACUGGUGAAGGUGAAAGAGAGGCUCAUAGUAGCGUCCGGGGCCAGGAGGACCGGCGUCGGGAGGAGGAGAAGAAGGGCACGGAGGAGGAAAAGGAGAAGGGAGAAGAAAGCUUGGUGCUGAUAAAGCCGGAGAUACCGUCGGUCCCGGUACCCUUCGUGCAGGCGGUAAUGGAUGUGCGUAUAUCAGACCAGUUCGUCCCCCACAGUUCAAGACGUACGACGGCACCACUGAUCCUGAGGCGCACAUCAAGUCGUUCACCAACGCCAUGGCGUUUCCUACGGGGUGCGAUGCUAUAUGGUGCCGGGCGUUCUCCCUGUCCCUUGAAGGAGAGGCCUUGGAGUGGUUCAAUUCCCUCCCCAACGGCUCGGUAGAGAAUUUUAAAAGCUUGAGUGGCAUGUUUAACGAGCAGUUUGCCGCGUGCCGAGUACAGGACGUCACUCUGGUAGACUUGAUGAAUCUGAAGCAAGGAAAGGAUGAACCACUCAAAAUCUUUAUGGACCGGUUCACGAAGACAAUCCGGCGGGUUAGAGGCCUAAGCUUGGAGAUGACCAUACAGUAUGUGAUGCCGGCUUUGAGGCCGGGACCGUUCAAGGAAAGCGUCUGUCGUACUCCGCCCAAAACCCUGGAGGAACUACGCCAACGCGCGGCAGAUGAGGCCCGGGUAGAAGAAAUGAAACAGAAUUACCGAAGAGAGGUACAUGAGGCGAAGGACAAGGGCGAGGGGAAGCGAGAGGGACAAUCCCACCGCCCGGGCACUUCGAAGGGGCGAGAGGGGCCCAGAGGUCCCCGCUUUCCACAGUAUACCCUCUUAAACGCCCCCCGAGCCCGAAUAUUGCAAGAGGCUCUGAGCACGCAAGUAAUGCGGGCCCCGCAGAAACGCCCUACCCCGCCCGGUGCCGACAACAGUAAGCAUUGCCUAUACCACCAGAACAUGGGCCACGACACUGAAGACUACAUGACCCUAAAGGACCGAAUAGAGGAACUAAUCCAAGCCGGGCACCUGAAGCAUUACAUCCGGACGUAUCAGCACGAAACAUCUCUUGCUAGACACCCUUGUCUGCAAGAGAGGAGUCCGAAAAACUUGCCGCAGGCCAGAAGGACCUUUAAGGGGCACGAUAAUCGUUACGACCACCGGAACGAUCGCCCACCAUACCAACAAGGACAGACCGGUAGAACCAGAAGUCCCGAAAGGAGAAAUAGAGAUCGAAGCAGAAGUCGAAGUAGAAGCCGGGAAGUGGGGAACGGUCGGCCGUUGAGAGGAGUGAUUAACACUAUCUCAGGAGGAUUCGCGGGAGGGGUAGCGUCGUCGUCGGCACGUAAAAGAAGCAUUCGCCACCUGCGAUCUAUUCACGCAGUGGAAGUUCCCAGGAGGACGAUGCCCCCUAUCACUUUCUCCAACGAAGACUUUCAUGCACCUGACCCUGAGCAAGACGACCUGAUGGUCAUUACGGUAGGGAUUGCCCGGUACGGGGUGAGCAAGGUGUUGGUGGACUGUUGACGGAUUGGCAAGUGUACCAAAUCGUACAAGUAAUAUAAAUGGUAAGACCAAGUAUCGUUUUUCCCAAGAGACUCGUAUGACUUUCUCUUUCGCGUGAAUUAAAAUAAUAAGACUUGAAAAAUAAAAUUUAAUAAAUUGGAUUUGAGGAUAAAAGUAUUAACAUGCAAAAUAAAUGUUGAUUCAAUUGACAAGUGAAAACAAUGGAUGGAUAGAUGUUGUUGGGUACUAACAAUUUCAUCUAUUCCACUCUCUCUUACAUACUACCCUUGAUUAUUAGAUUGAUUAAAUUGUUAUGCGACUUUCUUAGCCUCCUUUUUAACCCGAUCCCUCGGCGAAAAUGGCCUAAUAUCAAUUACCGGCUUGCUAUCCCUAGCCUCCCCUAGUAAUUAAUAUCGCAUUAUAAACAGAAGUUAACGCAAUUGAUCGUCCUACCCCUAUCCCUAGGUGGUAUUGCAGAAUCAAGAGAUUACUCACCAGUUCAUGUCAUUACCGCACGUCCCCAUGUCAAUAACGACAAACAACGAUAUACCGAAUGAGUUAAACGAUAAAAGCCUUAAGCACAGAUGAUAACCCAACAAUAAUCAAUCAAAACAUAUGGAGACCAUAUAAAUAAUCAAUAGUUUCAAUAAAAGAGAGUAUCAAAAGAUUACAUUGUAUUCCCCAACAACAAUAGGGUUUAGUUCACCAUGGACAUAGUGAAACUAGAUGAAAAAUGCAAGAAGAAUGAAAGAGCAAACCCUAGAAAAUAUGAAAAGGAGCCUAAGCAUCCAAGAGAUCCUCUCCAGAGAGCAAAAUUAGGUCUGGUCGUCUUCCCCUAUCAAAAGAAUGACUCUGAAUUCGUAGUAGGGGUAUUUAUAGGUAAGGAGUGCGUCAAAAUCAGGCCCAAGUCCAGCGUGCUCCCGUCGGGCGGUUUGAGUGUGCCGCUCGGCAGUUUGCCACAACCUGCCGCCACCACCCGACGGUUUCCCACGCCACCGCCCGGCGGUUCCCCUCACCACCGCCCGACGGUAAUCGCCAGCGCCCGGCGGUUUCUCUCAGCUUGAAAUGCUGCCUACUCCUCGUCCUAGACCGCCCGACGGUUUAAGUGUGGCGCCAGGAGGUACGUCGACUCUUCAAAACUUCAUUUUUCUGUUCUUUUCUUGAGUCAACGACCUGUAUCUUCAACUCCAUUUUCUACUUUUCUCAAAUUAGCUUCAAAACAAUGCAAAACAAGCAUAAAAUCGCUAAAAACAGCUUUUGACUCUCUCCAGACUCAUUUAUUGAGUUUUGCUUGAUUCUAAGCUCGUUCCGAGUAGUAAAGGGUGUAAUUUGGUUCAAAUUGACAUAUGAAAAUCACUGUUUUUCAACCUUCAUCAACACCCCAAACUUAGAAUUUUGCUUGUCCUCAAGCAAAACAAAACAAAACCAUCACACAAAACAAAACUUGGCUUUAUACUGUUUCAUCCAAUGCCUCAACAAUUCCAACGUACAUGACAAAAUCACUCAAAUCAAUAUUCUUAGUGAAAUCCAAAAUAAUAUGCAUGCAUGCUUUCAAUCCAGAGAUUGCACAAUAGAUGUUAUACACUAUGAAUGAUCAAUCCACUAAGCAAGAAUGUACUCAUGAAAUUUAACAAUUCAUACCAAGCAAGUGUUUCACUCAAUCACUCAAGUGUUUAAGGUGACACUCCAACUCUCUAUUGUUCACAAGUCACAUGAAACAAAAUUGUCAUUCAUAUCAAACAAUCAACAUCUUUACAUGCAAAUGCCAUCAAAAGGACUUUUCCAAGGCUUGUAAUGAGGUUGGGCUAACAAGAAAGAAUUGGUUUUUCUAGAAUGCAAAAUCCUUAAGUCAAGAGAGCUAUUAAAAUAUUCAACAAUUAAGCACAACUCUCUUCCUUACCAAUCUCUCUCAAUCCCAACUUUUCCCUUUUAUUUUUGUUUUCUUUUGCAUUGAGCUCUUCUUCAUGCUUUUCUUCUUUUCUUUUCUUUUUCUCAUGAAUUUUUCUUUUCACAACAUUUGAGCUNAAUGCUUUUCACUUGCUUUUUCAACUUUCCCCCAGCAACCCCAAACUUGAACCUUUUUAUCACAUACAAUUAAGCUCAUCCCAACUCAAGGUAAAGAAUUUCAAAACAAGGGUUCACACACUGUUUAAGGCUAAGGUUCAAAAAGGGUAAAAUAUUUUUAAGCAGAUUGAGUGAAAAUUUGGCUAGAGAAGGGUUUUCAAAAUGGCCUUGAUCAUAUGACAUUCACAUGCAAUUCAAUCGAUCAUCAAGAUUAGGGCAAUAUCAUCCAUGUUUUCCUGCGAACAAUACAUGCAACAAUAAAAACUCUGGAGCUCAAAAUCUCACACACAUGCUUCCUCACACACAAUUCAUUCAUACACCAUGCCUAGCAUNNNNNNNNNNNNNNNNNNNNNNNNNNNNNNNNNNNNNNNNNNNNNNNNNNNNNNNNNNNNNNNNNNNNNNNNNNNNNNNNNNNNNNNNNNNNNNNNNNNNNNNNNNNNNNNNNNNNNNNNNNNNNNNNNNNNNNNNNNNNNNNNNNNNNNNNNNNNNNNNNNNNNNNNNNNNNNNNNNNNNNNNNNNNNNNNNNNNNNNNNNNNNNNNNNNNNNNNNNNNNNNNNNNNNNNNNNNNNNNNNNNNNNNNNNNNNNNNNNNNNNNNNNNNNNNNNNNNNNNNNNNNNNNNNNNNNNNNNNNNNNNNNNNNNNNNNNNNNNNNNNNNNNNNNNNNNNNNNNNNNNNNNCAGUUAGUCAAACAUUUUCAGAACAAGUAAUAAAGCCAAGAAUACACACCAAGAUUAAAAUUCAACCUAUUCUAGGAAAUUAAAAUGCAAGAGUGUAAGAAGAAAUUCUAGGUUGCCUCCUAGUAGCGCUUGUUUAACGUCGCGAGCCUGACCCGAACCUGGAUGGCACUCGUCAGUAAGUGCACUAUCUUCCACCACCCAUCAGUAGGUGUACCGUCCUGAUAUCCAUCAGUGGAUACCAAAAAAAAAUUUAGCAUUCCUCAGUAGAUGCUACCCAAAAAUUAUUCAGAAAUUUCAAAAAGUACAGGUUCCAAAGAAAAUAGAACCAAAAACCAAAAAAGAAAAUUGUUCCUAAAAAUACAAAAUUUUUCCAACAAGUUCAGCCCUUCUUUGCAUUGGGAUCUUCAUCAUCCCACCAGCUCACUUUUCUUCGGUCCACCUUUUUGGUCACUUUUGAAUAUGGUCUUUGAAUCUCCACCAUUCCUUUUUCCUUCAGCUCCUUGACCAUCCAUUCCUUUCUCUUAAAUCUCACCUUGCUCCCUAGUAGGAGUGAAUCUUCUUUUGCUUUUGGAUGAAUGGUUCUUCUCCCUUCAUUUUCAGGCACCUGGAAAACACAACAGCUGUCAAAAUAAUCAUCACCUGUUAAGCUUUCUUCUUGUUCUUCAUUCACCUCUGGCUUCUCAAAUGUUGUUCUUUUCAUUGUCUUAAUCUCAUCCCCUUCACGACCAAUAUAGAGAAAUAAAUACUUCAAAUCUCUCAUCAUUAUUCUUCCAUUAUGAACAUCAAUAAACAUCUUUGAUGUUGCCAUGAAGGGUCGCCCAAAAAUCAUAGGAUGCUCAUCUUCUGUUUUAACAUCCAUGACAAUGAAAUCUGCUAAAAACUCAAGACAGUCUAUUCGUACAACAACAUCUUCCACCAUUCCUACUGGCCUUUUUUUAGAACCGUCUGUCGUUGUUAUCGUCAAAUCAGAGGGUUUCAACACAAGUCCACCGAUUUCCUUCAAAAGUUUCGUGGGUAUCAAGUUGAUGCUGGAUCCAAAAUCUAUCAUAGCUUCCCCAUCCCAAUCAUUCAAGGAACAUAACAGUGUUAAACACCCAGGAUCUUUAGCCUUAGGAGGAUAAUUACUCUUUUGUGGGUGAAAAACAAGAUCAUCUUCUUCAUCAGUAAGCUCCAUCUCAUCCUCCUUGUGAUUUUUGAUUCUUUCUGAAUGGGGAGGACUCUGCUCAUUUUCUAAAGGUGACACCGUCACUUCACCAACUUCUUUUUCCUCAAUAUUUUCCUCUCCUUCAUCUUCACUACUCAUGGGUUCAAAGAAUUCACCCAUUAACGUCUCUUCUUCUUCACUGUUAACCACAUGGAAUGGUUCAAUAUCUUCCUCCCAACCAUCUCGACUGUCUUUGUCCCAACCACUCUGACUUGUCAUAAUCUUGCACUCCCUCUUAGGGUUAGCCUCAAUGCUGGCCCUAAACUGAUUUUUUUAUGUAAUAUCUAUCCUUGUUGCCAGCAACCCAAAUUGUGACUCCAGUGAUUUAAAGUUGGCCUGAUUGUUAUUUACUUGCUGCUCAUAUCUUUUGUAGAAGUCAUCAAAUCGAUUACUCAGGGCUUUGACAGACUCAGUCAAAUUACUUACUUGCUGCCACAGAGGUAAUGGUUGUUGUUGUUGGACGUUUCCUCCUUGACCCGAAGAAGCAUUCUGGCUUUGCCCAAUACUUGGAUGAUUUUUCCAACCUUGGUUAGAGUUACCGUGGUUGAAAUUUCCCUAUUUGUACUGAAAUUGGGCCCCCAUAUAAUUUACGUCCUGCUGCAUCUCUUCUGUAAAAGCACAUUGACCAUUAAUAUGGUCACCACCAUACAAAUCACAUAAUUGUUGUGCCUGGGAAAUAUUUCUGAGUCCCCGAGGAAGUUCAGAAACGACCUUUAGCAACUUGCCCAAUUUCUGACUGAGGAGGUGAUUUUGUGCUGUUGCUGCGUCUUCAGUGGGAAAAUGUAAAAGUCCUCCUUUUUGCGUGCCUCUUUCAUUCUGCAACACUUCAUUGAGAAUCAUCUCUUCAAUUAAGUUGUACGCCUCAUCCUCUGUCUUUCUAUUAAUGCUACCUCCAGCCGAGGCAUCUAUCAUCAUUUUGGUCUGAGCGCGCAAACCUCUAAGGAACGCUAGCAAAUAUGAAACUUUAUCAAACCCAUGAACUGGGUUGCUCUCAACAAUCCUUUGAAUCUAUCCCAUGCUUGCCCUAGUGUUUCUUCCAUUCCUUGUUUAAAAGAAGAGAUUUCUAACUUCCCCUGAUUGAUCUUUGGUGGUGGGAAGAAUUUAGUAAUAAACUGUUGGACCACUGCUUCCCACGUCCUGAACGUUCCCUCCGGGAAAGAAUUCAACCAGUCUUUUGCAUUUCGUCCCAGUGAGAAAGGAAACAAACUGAGUCUGAUUCUAUCAUCCGUCAACAACAACAAUAGGGUUUAGUUUACCAUGGACAUAGUGAAACUAGAUGAAAAAUGGAAGAAGAAUGAAAGAGUAAACCCUAGAAAAGAUGAAAAGGAGCCUAAGCAUCCAAGAGAUCCUCUCCAGAUAGCAAAAUUAGGUCUGGUCGUCUUCCCCUUUCAAAAGAAUGACUCUGAAUUCAUAGUAGGGGUAUUUAUAGGUGAGGAAUGCGUCAAAAUCAGGCCUAAGUCCAGCGUGCUACCGCUGGGCGGUUUGAGUGUGCCGCUCGGCGGUUUGCCACAACCUGCCGCCACCGCCCGGCGGCAAUCGCCACCGCCCGACGGUUUCCCUCGCCACCGCCCGACGGCAAUCGCCAGCGCCUGGCGGUUUCUCUCAGCUUGAAAUGCUGCCUACUCCUCGUCCUGGACCGCCCGCGGUUUAAAUGUGCCGCCGAGGGGUACGUCGACUCUUCAAAACUUCAUUUUUCUGUUCUUUUCUUGAGUCAACGACCUGUAUCUUCAACUCCAUUUUCUACUUCUCUCAAAUUAGCUUCAAAACAAUGCAAAACAAGCAUAAAAUCGCUAAAAAUAGCUUUUGACUCUCUCCAGACUCAUUUAUUGAAUUUUGCUUGAUUCUAAGCUCGUUCCGAGUAGUAUAGGGUGUAUUUUGGUCCAAAUUGACAUAUGAAAAUCACUGUUUUUCAACCUUCAUCAUGGACCAGGGAAGCUCCGUUAAUAUACUCUAUUGGAAAACAUUCAGGCAAAUGGAUAUUUUGGACGACCUCAUAGUCCCCUACGAUGAACAGUUAGUGGGCUUUGCCGGGGAAUGGGUCGAUACCAAGGGGUAUCUAGACUUGUGGAUGCGUGUGGGGACAGGGCGAGAAGGUGAGGAGAAAAGAAUAAGAUACUAGGUGGUUGACACCAACACAUCCUACAAUGUAUUGUUGGGACGCCCAUGCCUAAAUUCCUUUGGCGUUAUUGUUUCUACCCCCCAUUUGGCAAUGAAGUACCUUACCAGCAGGGGCACAAUUUGCACCAUCCGAGCCGACCAAAAAGUAGCACGGGAAUGUUACGCCGCAGGGCUUAAGAUGUAUCCUCGGGAGAUAAGAAGGACAGGUGUCACGGACGUCGCGAUGGCCGAUCUAGAUCCCCGGACCAACACGGAAGAUCGCCUUGAACCACUGGGGAGACCCAACGUGUAAUCGUGGGGAAAGAUCCCACUCAGGUCACCACCAUUGCCCGGGGACUAGAGGAGGAAGUGGAAAAGAAACUGAGAGCAACUUUGUGGCGCAAUAGAGAUUUGUUUGCCUGGACGGCCGCCGACAUGCCAGGGUUACACCCCUCCAUCAUGUCACAUCGCUUGUCGUUGUUUAGAGAAGCCCAACCCAUAACACAAAAGAAGAGGAAGAUGGGCGAGGAGAAGAGAAAGGCGGUGCGAGAAGAGGUGAGGAAGUUAUAGGUGGCCAGCUUCGUCCGGGAAAUAACGUAUACCACCUGGUUAGCUAAUGUGGUCAUGGUCAAGAAAGCUAGCGGCCAGUGGCGAAUGUGCACGGAUUAUACUGACUUGAAUAAGGCGUGUCCGAAGGACUCAUACCCCCUGCCUAGCAUUGACGUCCUGGUGGACGGGGUGUCCGGUCACUGAAUUCUGAGCUUCCUGGAUGCCUAUUCUUGUUAUAAUCAGAUACCUAUGCAUGGACCGGAUAGGGAGAAAACGGCCUUUAUGGCCGAUCAAGGCAACUUCUGUUACGAAGUCAUGCCCUUCGGUUUGAAGAAUGUCGGCGCAACUUACCAACGACUGAUGAACCGUAUAUUUGCCGAGCAGAUAGGUCGCUGCAUGGAUGUCUAUUUUGACGACAUGGUCGUACGAUCAGCAGAAGGGAAUCAACACCUGCAUGACUUGCAGGAAGUCUUCAGGCAGAUACGGAGGUACGGGAUGAGGCUCAACCCGGCUAAGUGCACAUUUGGUGUGGCGGUCGACAAAUUUCUGGGUUUUAUGCUAACAUCCCGCGGGAUCGAGGCUAACCCAGACAAGUAUGGAGCAAUGUUAGACAUGCAGAGCCCUGACACUGUGAAGGGUAUUCAAAGACUUAUCGGCCGUCUUACGGCCCUAUCCCGUUUCAUACCAAAGCUAGCCGAACAAGCCAGUCCGAUACUGAAAAAGAUGAAGAAAACGUCGACCAACACAUGGGAUGAAGACUACGAAGCGGCAUUUCGCGAAAUCAAGGGCAUUCUCACCCAGCCCCCGAUCACGAACCGACCCACUCCGGGGGAGGAGCUGCAGGUUUACCUAGGCAUCUCCGACGCCUCCGUGAGUGUCGUUCUCUUGCAAGAGAGGCCUCUCCAAAGCUGGUUUACUUUGUCAACCGGACGCUUACCGAGGUCGAAACGUGGUACCAACAGGUAGAAAAAGUAGCUUUGGCCCUUUUGCAUGCCUCCAGAAGGCUCCGGCCGUACUUCCAAAGCCACCAGGUGGUGGUACGCACGAACCAUCCUAUCUCGAAAAUAUUGAGAAAACCCGACCUGGCUGGAAGAAUGGUAGGAUGAGCGGUAGAGUUGUCUGAAUUCGGAAUAAGAUAUGAACCGCGAGGAUUGGUGAAGGGUCAACAUUUGGCUGAUUUUGCAGCUAAAAUACCUCUGACUGGCCAAGAAUAGUGGAACUUGUAUGUAGAUGGUGCGUCCGGCCGAACGGUCAGUGGGGCUGGAGUAGUCCUUGAAGGACCAAAUGGAUUUUUGAUGGAGCAUUCCUUGAUCUUCAAGUUCAAAGCGUCAAACAACCAAGCAGAGUACGAGGCGUUAUUGGCCGGUUUGCAACUGGCCAAAGAUAUGGGACCCGCAGAGUGACAUGCCGGCCCGACUCACAAUUGGUAGUGGGACAGAUGAACGGUGAUCGGCCAAAGAAAAUUUCUAUUAGUGGCCGUCGACUACUUUACCAAAUGGGUGGAAGCGGAACCCUUAGCCACCAUUACAACCUCUCAGGUUCAGAAGUUUUGCUGGAAGCUGAUUUGCAGACCCCCUUUAACUUAACCUACGGAACAGAUGCCAUGUUGCCAGUAGAGUUAGGGGAACCCUCUUUGCGAAGGAAUAUGGAGGACCUCCAGCUGAAUGACCAGGAGUUAAGAGUGGAGCUAGACACAGUCGACGAACGGCGUGAUCGAGCGGUCCCGAGGGCCGGGUGUCACAUACCGCAGAGUGACAUGCCGGACCGACUCACAAUUGGUAGUGGGACAGAUGAACGGUGAUCGGCCAAAGAAAAUUUUUAUUAGUGGUCGUCGACUACUUUACCAAAUGGGUGGAAGCGGAACCCUUAGCCACCAUUACAGCCUCUCAGGUUCAGAAGUUUUGCUGGAAGUUGAUUUGCAGACCCCCUUUAACUUAACCUACGGAACAGAUGCCAUGUUGCCGGUAGAGUUAAGGGAACCCUCUUUGCGAAGGAAUAUGGAGGACCUCCAGCUGAAUGACCAGGAGUUAAGAGUGGAGCUAGUCACAGUCGACGAACGGCGUGAUCGAGCGGUCCUGAGGGCCGGGUGUCACAUACCCACCAGCUUCCGUCUGGUUCGUCCUCGAACCACACCGUACUGGGAGAGGCUAGGCUCUGAUACCAUUUGCAACGCCCCGACAUCUUACAGGGACUGUUGACUGCCCCACACAUCACCACGAGACUUUCCAGUGUGCUUUGUCCUUACUCACACACUUUCCGAGAAAACUUCCCGGAAGGUCACCCAUCCCAUAAUUACUNUAGNNUAAGCANGCUUAACCAUGNAGUUNUUAUGAGUUAGGCUACCGAAAAGCAAAUGCAUUUGUUGAUAUGAGUAGUCAAAUCAAUUCCUUUAAGCUAUCAUUCAACUGUAUAGUCCCAUACCUAUACAAUCUCCAGAUCCCUCUCAUUCCGAUGUAUGUUCGAUUCGUCCAUGUGCCCCUUCCACUCGAAGCCUGCCAGGAGCCGCUCCUUGUCCGUGCCCCCUACACCAUGCUUCUUGCACCGACGAUCAUUCCCCGCCCUCGUUAGUGCCCGGGUGUCACAGACGGCCGCCACAUCACCAAUACUUGGAAUGCGUCUCAUCUUAAGCUUUAUUUCAGUUAAUAAUGUCUUUCAUGUAGCUUCUCCAGUACUUUAAUGAACAACAAGACGCUUCCACAUUAUCCAGUUAGUUCGCAUUCGUUCGUCAGUAAAGGCCAAGUUAACGAAGGGAAUUAUCCUAUCAACUUGGCUGGGCGGUAAAGGGUACAGCCCGCCGUCCCCCAGCAAAGGCCAAGUUGACGAAUGGAAUUAUCUUGUCAACUUGGCUGGGCGGUAAAGGGCACAGCCCGCUGUCCCCCAGCAAAGGCCAAGUUGAUGAAUGGAAUUAUCCUGUCAACUUGGCCGGGCGAUAAAGGGCACAGCCCGUCGUCCCCCAGCAAAGGCCAAGUUGACGAAUGGAAUUAUCCUGUCAACAGGCCGGGCGGUAAAGGGCAUAGCCCGCCGUCCCCCAGCAAAGGCCAGGUUGACGAAUGAAAUUAUCCUGUCAACCUGGCCGGGCGGUAAAGGGCAUAGCCCGUCGUCCCCCAGCAAAGGCCAAGAUGACGAAUGGAAUUAUCCUGUCAACUUGGCCGGGCGGUAAAGGGCACAGCCUGCCGUCCCCUGUGAUGAUGACUGGUCUAGUCCACGUCAGAACAUAAAUGACAGUUCACUCUCUAACUGCACAUUUGGACAUCUCACCGUUAUCAAUUUAGACGGAGUUAGUGAAAAGGACUUAAUUGAACACCAAAUACGUUCUUUGGGACUAAAUUGAACACAAAAAAAACAUGGGGACCAUUUCGAAUUUUUCCAACCAAAAUUGGGACAAAAAAGAGCUUUUAACCUAAAAUAAAAAUACACCUAAUAGCGAGAAGUAAAAGAAAUUCCAUUCAUAAAAAAGGAGGGGAUACAAAAAAUCAUAUAACUGGACGGAAAAGUAAACAACACAACACGCUGUUUACCGUCCGGCCGGUAGGAGAAUGAAUUCCCAAUCCAAAAAAAACAACAACUUAUACUUAAGCCUAUAAUCUAAACCCUUGCAUCUUUUAGAUUAGUACCGCUAGCUGAACCGACAACGACCUCGGCCGCACCCUCAAGCUCAGCGGCUGUCUCACCCGGCUGUUCGAUAUCCAUCAGAACGCCCCCAUAAACGUCCUUGUACAGGUCAAAGCCAAGCUCAAGAGGCUUUUUCACAUUGAGCAGCACUUCAGCCUGGCGGAGGGCUUUGUAGAAACCAUCCUCAUGUUCGGCCACCAAGAUGUCAUUUAGAGAGGAUAUUUUCUCUUAAGCGAUUUUCAACUCUGCCCGAACGGUUUUCAAUUCGUUGUGCAGCUCCACAGUUCUCCCCUAAAGCCUUCGCUCAAUCUCCCUCUGCUCAGUGGCCGCCAGCUUCAGUUGUUUACAUUCCUCCUCUAGGUUGGCUUUGACGGUCUUUUCUUCUUCUAAGUGUUUGGCCGCCUCUUCGAGCUUCGUUGCACCCUCGGCCACCCGUUGCUUUUCUUCCUCCAAGGCUUUCUUCGCACCCGCCAGCUCUACCUCUAAAGCCUUGAUUUUUUCCUCCCCCUUCAACAAGAGGCUCUUCACUUCUCUGGACCCUCGGAUGUCGCCGAACUCGCAAAUAUAUUCUACCAUAGAGGCCGUUCGGGAGGCCAUCUCGAAUACGGAAUCCAACAUGGCACGGCCCGGCAGCGAUUCCAACAUAGUAAGAUAGGCCCGUCCCCUAUGGAAAUCAAUGAACCGACUCACAUUGUACUCAGAGCUAAAGACACCACCUGGGAGAGGAACGGCCGACUCUUUGCCCUCACGGCGACAUUUCUUGGAGGAAGACUUGCUUCCUUUCCGAGAUUUCCUCUUCUUGUGAGCGGACGCCGUGACUGGCGCCGACUCAGAAGCCACUUCGAUCACAGGGUUGUUGCUAGCUGCGGUCGACUGAUCGACCAGAGGGACAACAGAGUGAAUUUGGACGGGAGCGGAGCUACCUUCCCCAAUUAGGAUACGGGUAGCCUUGGGCAAAUUGGCACUACUGUUCGCGCCCGUCUGGAGUCUGAAGGAGGCAACCGUCACCCGGGCAGAUGGAGGAGGACGCAUAGGAGGAGGGAUGGCUUGCUCUUGGCCGGAACUAGCGGCCCGAGCCGAGGCCUUCUUGGCGGCCAGGAAGUUGAAUUGGCGGGGUCCAGGAGUAGCCAUACAAUCUGAAAGAAAAUAGAAAAUUCAGCUACGUUACGACCCCACUAAAAACGGAAAAUGGAAUGAAUCACAUACCGAGCGCUCUCUGAGCGCAAUCCUCGAAAGGAAUGCAAUCGACCAGUCAACGCGCUGGGACGCGGCGUGAGAGGGUGUCAAUAAUGUCUACCACACAGAAGUCCUCCAUUUCCAACUCCCGCUUAGCAAGAGCCUUCAUCUUGCGAGGAUUCUCCGUCCAAUACAGGGGAAACAAAGGAGAACCCUCCAGGUCAAAGAAAUCCUUACGGUCGGCUUCGGUGAUAAUGACCUUAAAAAACUGGUCUUUGAAGUUCUUGAAUGAUUCGGCAUAAGGCUUGAAUAAAGUACGACCCCCCACCGAAGACAAGGAAACCCAACCCCCCUUUGGGGGUGGACGAACAUCGAAAUAAUGUAAGUAAGAACGGACAAUUGGAGAGACACCGGCCACCAUGCACUCUACGUCGAAGGCUUGAAUGACCGCCUAGGCAUUCGGGUGCAACUGUGUAGGCGCUACGUUCAACUCCUGUAGCAGAUCGGCUUGAAAGUUGGUAAAAGGGACACGGAUAUGCAACUGAGUAAACAAGUUUGCAUACAUGAAGAAAUGAUCUUCAGAACCGACACCCUUCCCGUGGCAGACCCGUUCGUUCUCCCGGCUAAUCGCCGCUCUUAUCAGCUGAGCGUCUGCCGUAUCCCUAACCAAAUAUGAUCGGUCUAUAAAAUCUUGGAGACUGGUGUAAGAAAUGCUAGACACUUGGGUAUUUACAUCGAAGCCGGCCCAGUCAUAACCGUCGAUCUGAGGUAGGCUCCCGACUGGAACGAGGGCGACCGGAUCCACAGUGACACCCCCUUGCAAUAAAAAGAGGGGGGCCCCAUAGAAGAUCCAUCCACUCGCAGUCGCCGGGGCGGACCCCUGAGCUACAGUCCCAACCUCCUCCAACACCGGCGGAUUAGACGGACCCUCGGCUUCCCCUGAAAGUCCCUCGAACGACAAAUCAUUGUCAGAUCCCGACGACCCAACUAACGACGAUGCACCGCUACUAUCACCGUCACCCAUGCCCCUACCGUCUCCGCCGCGGCCUGACGACUCUAGAGAUGACUCAACACACACAAUCACCAUUUUAUUACUUGUGCAAGUGAAAGAAUAAGGGAUGAAGGUAAGGAAAAAAGUAGCCAUAGUACAUUCUCCACCCCUAUUUAUAGACAUUUUUUCUGAAAAACCGCAACAAAUCCCCACCGUCCACAGCCACCACGAUGAACGACCCAGAUCGAGAGACGUUACGGUUACCAUACCUACUUUCACGCCACGUGUCUUUUCCCGCCUAAAACCUCCUCAGUCUGACGCGACGGUUCAAGGAGAUGUCUCCCGAACGGGAUGCCCGCCUUCCCAGCACCGCCACUUCGACGACCAUCAACAUUGAAACCCUACGGCGAACCAUUGCCUUGGGCUUGGGGGGCUUGUGUACCCUAGGUAACCGUUCGGACAUCAACCGAACACAUAGAGAUCCGACAUGACGAACAAACGUGAUCCACAAAGGGUUGCCAUCUUGGCGAUAACGACAGAUCCGCGCACCCUUGGAAGGCGGGCGGUAACCGAUCAAACCGAAGGGUUUUCACAUAUCGAAACACCCUCAGUCCGUCACACAAGCUAAGACGCUGGGCAGAAAUCGAUAGCGACUGGUCGUGUCUGCAUGACUUACCCGCCACAUCGCGUGGGCCAAGGCAUUGGGCGGCAGUCACCCGUCCCUCAGCCUUUAAGGAACAAUGUCGCGUGGUUAUUGAGAUUCUGAAAGCGAAUGUUGUUAAGCCACGACAGAUUCCAUGACCACGCUGAUCAGAAUCUUCUUCCAAUAAUAGCAAGUGCGAGGCCGAUUCCCCGAGUUCAAGAAGCAACUUUAUAUGGGAGGAAUCUAGUGGAAAACUAUGAUGGUGCCCAAUAAUCACAAUCGGGCGCAACCUCCGUUUGUAAGAAAAACUUUGAAGAAUUCACAUGGAUACUGAUUACCGGGAAAGAAUCACGUGACCUCUGCGUCAAACCUUUUCUUGUCUUAUACGUUAGGUAAACCUUUAUGUCUCUACAUAAAAGCCCUACAACAACAAAGUCGCUGAAGGUCAAGCAGAUAAAAGAGUCUGAGCUCCCGGAUGAACCAGACAGUGAGACGUUGCACCCGGGACGAGCGGUCAAGCAGAUAAAAGAGUCUGAGCUCAAGUCGUGCUGGUCUCUCGACAAAGCUCCCCAAUGGAGCAGGCGGUACGAGCGCCCGGUGGAGGUCGCCGAUUAAGGUAUAACAAGCAUUCAAGAUUAAGGUAAGACCAAAUCAACCAUGGUGGGCCUAUGAUUGGGCCGUAAUUAAGGUUCCACUAAUCAUCGGCCCAUGAAGAAAACUAUAAAUACAAGUCAAAGGUGAGAGGUAGUUAGACACAUUAAUGCACAUUUAUUUCAUUCUCUUUCUAUCUCUAUCUCUGAUAUUAAAAUACCGGACACUGACUUGAGCAUCAGAGUGCCAUUAGCAGGUACCCAGCCGGAUCCAACGGAAGACAUAGUAUUCUAAAUCAAAGGACAAUUGAGUGGGAAAAGUGUAAGACCGAACGGCUGACGGUGAGAAAUAGUGUAGGAAGACCUGAAGACAAUCACAGCAGGAACAUAUAUAUAUAUAUAUAUAUAUAUAUAUAUAUAUAUAUAUAUAUAUAUAUAUAUAUAUAUAUAUAUUCUUAUAUCAGAAUAAUUAAAUCGGAAAAAAAAAAUUCUAUUAAUUUUUUCAAAAUCAAAAUUUUAAUAUUCAUAUUUCAAAUAACUUCUUCCACAUUAUAUAAAUAUUUUAUUACAAAAAGAAAAAAAAAACAUGAGAUACCAUACUAAAUCUAUGCUAAAACUAAUCAUACAUAAAGAAAAAAAAAAACCCUAAUAUAAAAAUAAGUCUAUGAUUUCUCAAUCCUUUUUUUUUUUAAUUUUUAGAUAUUUAUGCUUUAAAUCGUUAUUAGGUUUUCUUUUAAUUUAAACUUUCUUUGAUGAAAAUCUUCCUCCUCUUCAAGCAUAUUAAUCUAUUUGAGUUACUUUUAGUUUAUGAAAAAGUUUGAUUCAUUUUUCUUAAAUUUUCUUUUUUUCAUUCUUAUGAAGAAAUCUAUUCAACUAACUCAGCUGAAAUCUUGAAACCUAUUUAAAAGGGUGUUUUUGUCAUUGCUCAUCUCCUCAAUGGGCUAAGAAGGCUUCAUGGGGGUUGAAGUUUCAGGGCUUCAACGCAAAUGCUUUCACAUAUUGAACAGUUGUUUUUUCACCUCUAUGAUUUAUUUGUUAUUAUGUUUUCAUGGAAGUGUUUGGAAAAGUCUAAAAUCCUCGUAUAUUAGACUUUAGAUGAAUUCUAUAAUUCAGAAUGUAUUUUCAAAUUACACAAAUUAAAAAAACAUCAUAAACUAUAAAUUCUGGAAUGCAUUUCUAAAUUCCACUGUAAAUAAUACAAUAAACAAUACGUUUCCAAAUUGUAUAAAAUAAAUAUAGAAUAUAUCCAAAAAUGUAUUUUAAACUAUACAUUCUAUAAGACAUUUUUAGAUUCUAUAAUCCAUAAUACAGUUUUGAAUUCUAAAUUAUUUAAUUUAUAAUAAAUUUUCAGAUUAAACAAUCCAAAAUAUUUCCUUCACCCUUCAUGACUGAUCGGUUUUAAACAAAACAUAGGUAUCAUUCCUUAUGUGCUGACACAAUUCUUUAAUUCGUAUCUUAAUAAUAAAUUGUCAAAGAAAAUCUGAUGUUUCACUGAUAAUCAUAAAUGUAUUGGGGAAGGAUGAAGCAUUUUACUUUUUAGCAGAAUCUCUACUGUUAUAUUCCAGUCAUUGUUUCUGUGGUGAUCAUAUAUAUUCAAGAACUAACCAAAUUAAACUGCCCCGGGAGUUAUAGGGUGUGAUAGAAAGAGCUGCCAGAAAAUUACCUUUUUAUAAAAUUUUAGACAAAAUCUGGGAGGUGACCAUGACACCAGUGGACCACACUGUUCCCUCUGCUGCUGACAGUUAGCUUAAACACAGUCCAUCCACAGAUUUGUUUACACUAGCAGUGAAUUUCCAAAGCUUCAUUAUUCACCCUAACGGUCAAAAAUAUCAUAUACACCAAUUAACAGCACAGACAGAAUAUUGGUAUUUUUAUUUUUAUUUGGCUGUGUAUGAUUUGAGCCUACUAUAUUAGUGAGGUAUGCAAAGAACAUACUAAAGCAGUGAUAGUAAAGUAAUGUAGACAAUAUGAUCCAUACAAUUAUGUGAAAACUGAGCAAGAGAGAAAAUAGCAAUUUUUAAUUGAUCACCACGGGGAUUCUGAAAUGGAGUUCACAUGUAUUUGCAAUAUACAAGUUACCACCAUUGUAAAUACUAUAUAAGAAUAACAAAAAAUGCAUUGGUCCCUUCUGUAAUCAAUAUAGAAACUGAAGGUCUGUGAACCGUGUACACUGCAAUGAUAUUUGUCCCAACUUUAGGAAGAAAGAUAUCAGAUAUAGGUUUUAACAAUUUGUUAAAGAUCAAUAUAAUUGAGUAUUUUCCUCUAAUGAAUGAGUUGAUCAGGUGAGCAAAACAAAAUCUUUUUUCAUACCCCAGGCAACUACAACGGUAAGCUUCAGUGAUAUUGAUAGUAAACUAGACAACUUGACCAUGAUAAGGAUUCUUUUUAUUGUAAACUAUUUGGAAGAUUUAUCAGCAGAACCCUUUUCAAUCACUUUGGUAGAGCUUGAAGAUUCUUCAGCUUCAACAAGCUUCCGAAGUUUUUCAUGCAGAGUUCUUACUCUGUCCUCGGUUUUGCGAAGCUUUCUCCAUCUAUAGGCAGUCCAGAGACCAAGGCCACCAUAUACGACAAUAUAGGAAGCCCAAACAUAAGGGUAUGUUUCUGCAUGCUCUUUGACUUUUAGAUAUUGAUUUUGCAAUGACUCUUUCAAGCCCAUUGCAGUACUGGCUGCUUGAUCUUCCUCAAUUUUCUGGAUGGGAGGAGCGGAGCUUGUUGAUUGUUGGUUUUGUUUUGGUUGAUUUUCCAUGUCUUCUACUUGUAUAGUUCCAGAAAUGGAUUAUUUAGAGAAACUGCAAAAACAUUGACAUUUUUUAAGUAUCACCUAUUUUGGUAAUGAAAACUCAUUUAGCAAAACUAAGCAACGGUUCCUAAUGCAUGCAUAAUUCUUCAAACCCAUUGCUUCCCCAAAACUGAAUUGCUUGUUUCAAAUAUUUAUUAGCGAAAAAUUCCUAAUCCAACAAAUCCAAAUACAUAAGCAAUAAAAUGGUCGUAUUUCUAAAGUUUUAAUGCCCAGCUUUCUCCCACUGAGAUGUCUUCGACUGUUCCUUCUAUUUUAGAACACAAAAAGCCAAAAGUCUCAAAUGGUGACAUUUUCCUCUAUGAAGAGCCAAGGAAGCAUGGGGAAAAAGGGAGAAUAAGCAAGCUAAUUUGAACACUUAACAUUACGAAACAUGUCAAGACAUAACAAAAUACAUCUCAGCCUAACAUACGAUAUACCAAAAAACCAAAAGGAUGAGGAAGGAUGUACUCGCAUAAACGAUGGUAAUGUGGAAUAUUGCAAAUAUUUAUUUGAAAAGAUAUGAAACACCAGGCCAAAAUACAUCCCAAGCAGACAUAACACAUUUGGUUUCCCAAGAUUUUUUAGCAAAAAUGUUUUCAGAUAAAAGGCCACCAAUGACAACGAAGCUAGUAAACCUCAUCAAUUGUUCAAAUGUUUGGAAAACGUCACCAGGAACACAAAGCUCCUGAGUCAACCAAAAAAGGCAGUUUUAUAUAAGCAGAAUGAAAAAUCUCAUGCACAAUACACAUAAGGAAUAGGAGAAGGGUGAAGGAGAUAUUAAAAAGAGAUUUAAUUGUUCUGUCCGUAGUUCCAGAUAGUAUAGGACUGUAAUAAACAUUCAUACAAUAUCACCAAGCAUUGUAUUUCCCGUACUUGCUAAAAAUUAACAUAAAAUGGUAUCAUAAAGUAUGAUUUUUCUGGUUGCUAAUCUUAGCAUUCCCAUAAUUUACAUGUUAACUAUGUGAUCUAGAAAUAUACUUCCACUAUCCCGGCUGAAAAGACAGUGCAGAAGGUAAAAAAAACUAAAAAAUAUAAACAAAACCACAGAAAUUGGCAAAAGCAUUCAACCCUGAUGUCAGUGUUGAAGGACAAGCUCUACAUCAAGUGCAGGGCUUCAUUUAACUAGCUUUCACUAAAAUAGAAAUUGAUCCAUAGUCCAGACAUGACUCAUUCAGAAUAGUUUAAAGAUAAUCUUGCCGGCACACAACAUACCAACAUACUGCCUAAAUUAUAAAUUGUUAUAAGUGUAAAAAUAAAAUUGAUAACUCUCAUAAUGAGAAGCUUCUUUGAUCACGAAAGGCCCUAAAUAGAUGUAUUAUAAGUUAUAAAUUCUAAACAUGUGAACUCGGGAAACAUUUAAAAGAAUGCAACCUUAUGUGCACCAUACCAAUCAUCUUCCAAUGUAUACUUUACACUGACAUUUAUCCCUUCAAAGUUACUUACUACAAUGCACAGAUACAAUACAUAUAUCGGAUAUGACAUAUCUGAAAAACCAAUAGGUUUAUUUUGAAAAUAAUAAGAUACUAUAUGUGAUAUACACAUAUUGAAAAGGGUUAGAAAAAACAAUCAUAAAUAUAUGAUUGUUAUUAUGUGAAUCCAAAUUAAAAUCAUAUGUAUUAAACACUGUUAAAAUAAAAACUUAUAAAUUAUUGUCAACAUAAAAGUAUUAUUGGUAAAGUAUCCACCAAGUAUCGGACACAAAAACAUGUCAGUGAUCCGUGACCCAAAUUGAAAUAUUGGUGCAUCAUAGGUUACUAAACUAACAUAUACUGUCUUUAUGCCACAAAAUUAUGCAUAAUAGCAUAUAUCUAUUGUGCACAAUGGUAUCAUACAUUAUGGAACUCAACAAAAAAACAACUUAAAAUCAGCAUAUAAAGAUGAUACUAGUCAUGUAACAGGGGUAUUUCGAGGUUCCAAAUCACUAUUUUUAAGAAAAAAGUCAUCAUUCCAAACUCUUUUUUUUCUCUCACAAAUAUUUCAAACCAAAAUUGUUUUCCUACCAGAAUUUUUAUCAAUAAUUACAAAAGGAAGAGCUUCCACAUUAUACCUAUCCUAUAGCAUAACUUGCAGAAAUGCUGCGCAUCCGUAUUGACCAUCAAGUAAAAUUUCAUUGCGGUUUAACAGUACUUAAAAAGAAAACUCAAAUCCAUCAAACAACCUAGGUUAUGAUUAAUAACAACUCAAUUUCACUUUAACAACUCACGAGUCUAUUUGGAUCAAAAUCUCAAACAAAAAAUAAAUUACGAGAAAAAUGAAAAAUAUUAAAAAUACAUUAAAAUUAGCUCUUAAGCAAGCUAAUUUAUAGAAGCUUUUACAUAUCAGUUUAAUCUUGUUUUGAAGUCAGCAAGUUUCAGUAAAGGGUUAGAAAAAGACAUAUUUGAGGCGAAAAUUUUCUUUGUUGAAGUCAGCAAGUUUCAGUUAAGGGUUAGAAAAUGACAUGUUCGAGGCGAAAAUUUUCACAGUAACAUUGAAAAUGUUUGCUCCGAACCACAGAGAGAUACAGAAUCACCAUGAGAGACGACAAAGAGAGGUACCUGACGGUGAGGCCACGGUGGCGAGCGGCGGAGCUAGCUUGGUUGUGGCUAUUGCAGUGCGGCGAGGAAGCUAGGGGUUUUGGUUUUGGGCACUGGUUAACGCCUAGGUUCAAUUUCCAUAAUUAAUUGGAAAAUUGUUAUAUUAAAAUUGUUUUUAUUGGUUACAAAAGAACGUUUUACAAUACAAAGACUUUUUUGUGUAUACACUGUAUUAUUAUUUUUAUUGAAGAAAUUGUUUUUUAUUUGAAUGAAUUAUUUGUUAACUUUUUUAGCACUAUAAUAUCACUUUUAUAUCACUAAAGUAUAUAAGUUUUAAAUAAAAGAAAAGACUGCUAAUAUUUGAUUGAAAUUUAUCUUACUAUUGUAAUAACAUUGUACUGUAAUUGAUUUUUAAUUCAAAUUAAGUAUGUUUUCCCUAGGAAACACAUUUGAAUAAUUUGAAAAUUCAAAAUUAUAAAUGUAAAAUUAAAAAAUAUUUUAUCAAGAUUUUAUUGAAAAAAGUUGUUAUAUAGUAUAUUAUAAAAAAUAUAUUAUAGUACAAUAUACAUAUAUAUUAUAUAUUAUACUAUACUAAAGGUGUAUUUGCGAUUUUCUUUAAAAAAUAUAGUAUACUAUUAAAACAUGUAGGCUUCUUUAUACACCAAGAGGGGGUGAAUUGGUGUUAAUUCAAAAUUAAAAUCUUUUUCGCAAUCUUGGUAUGGAAAAUUCAAAGCUUUUUAUCUUUCCUUUAAAUGCAAGUUAUUGAAAAUGUAAUGCAGUGGAAAAAAGCAGUUGACUGCCUAGCAGAUAUAGUCGACUGGAAAAUAAAGAGUGUAGGGAUCAGAAAUUCAAACACUGUGUUUAUACUGGUUCGGCCAACAAUGCCUACAUCCAGUGUCCUUCCAACCCAGGAAGCAAAUGCACUAUAAUGNUUGCGGUUUUUACAACAAGGAAUUUAUAGAAGCACCACGCAAAAAUAUAAAUCUCCUCUCUAACCCAAAACCAAAUAUAGUUGCACACAAAACUAGAAUUGCAGCAAGAAUCCCCUCUCAUGAAAUCUGCACCCACAUCGAACAAUCCUCAACGUGUCACCAGCACUCUUCACAAGAUGCCAAGCCUAUCACAGCAAACUUCACAGGUUGCCAAGCCUAUCACAACAGACUUCACAGGUUGUCAAGCCCUCAGUCAAAAACCAGCAGUCUUUCGCAGGAUGCCAAGCCAAUCAAGAUCAACCUAGAAGCACCUCUCUAUGCGGAUAUUGAUCAAACAGUGAGAACAAUGUCUUCUCCUUCUGAAUUUAUCUCAAGCAAGAUCACCACCGUCUUCUUGGAGAAUUCUUGCAACUUCUAAUGAAUUCAGUCUGAAACAAGAAAGUGAAAAUGUUAAAUCACAAAAGUCACAGAACAAUUUGCGUUCUGUCUAUUUAUAGUUUUCUGUUUCAUCAUAUUGGUUCAUAGUGGAAUAGCCUACUAAUGGAGUUGACUGUAUUAAAACAGUUAUAAUAGAUAGCCAACAUAAAGGCUCCUCAGUCAACAGAAUCAAGACUCAUUUAUUACAGUUGACCAAGUCAUACAGUUUUAACUAACUUUUGAAAAUAUAGUUGUUGGAGCUUGUAGGCUUAACAAAAUUUCAAACAGAACAGCAACACAGUCAAAUAUGCUUAUCACAAUGUCGACUGACACAUGAAAAAUCACUUUGAAAUUCUUUUCAUCUCAAAAUCUCACACAGCGCAUGUUCACAAAAUCUGUACAAAGAUUUUAGCAUAGUCGAAUCCAUCAACAAUGUAUUCGAUUAUCAAAAGGUUUCUGUGAUCUUUUCUUUUAGAAAUGUGUAAUGACUAAAAACAUUUUAUCUCAUAUUUCAAUACAAGAAUGUUCCACAAAUAUAACACUCAAUCAAGCAUAGGAACAUACAAUGUUAUUCAAUCAAAACAUGUUCAACAGAUUUGACAAACAUUAUAGAAUAAGAACAUGUAAUACUGGAACAUAUGCACUGUUAUUAAGCACUGAGUUGUCAUCAUCAAAAACAAGUUUGAUAUAGAGUUUGUGUUGUCAACAAUCUCAACAUAAUUGAGUCUUAGGACUUGACGUCCAUGUCUAUGGUUUUGAUUUUUGGAAAUUUGAAAAAGCAUGACCUCGAGUUGAAUAAACUAAGUGCUAAGGAAGACCAAGGAAAGAAGAAAAUAUUGGCCUUCAAAACUAAAAAUUCAAAAGGCAAGACUUCAAAGAAGGAUCAGGAGUCUAGAGAUGAAGAGUCAGAUGAAGAAAAUAGGAGUCAAAUGAUUAGAAAAUUCAACAAGUUCAUGAAAUCUAAAGGUAAGGAAAAAUUUAAAAAAGAUUAGAAGAAGAAACAAGGAACUUCCUCAAAUUACAGGUGUUAUGGUUGUAGAGAAAAAGGACACGUUAAUGUGGAUUGUCCAAACAUAAAAAAGGAUGAAGAAAAGAAGUUUUUUCAAGAAGAAAAGAGCUCACAUUGCUUGGGAGGAUAAUGCAUCAAACACCACUAGUUCAAGUGAUUCCAAUGAAGAAGCUAACUUGUGCUUCAUAGCUAACUUGUGAAACUGAUUUGCAAAAAUCUUUUCUUGAAUUAUUUGAUGAAUCUUAGAAAUUGGAUGUUGCUCAUAAAAAUUUGAAAAAUGAGUUUAAGGAUUUGCAAAUUAAAUAUGAGAAGGCAUUAGAUGAAGAAGUUAUAUUAAGAAAUAUAAUAUGUAAUUUAGAAAUGAAAGAGUUUUCUAUUAUUGAAACUUCUGUUGAAUGCCUAUCAUGUAAGAGUCACAUGUUUGAUAUUGGUAUUCUUGAGAAUUUGCUUAAAGAGACUACUAAAAAUAAAAAACUUGAAAAACCAAAUAUUGAUAAAAAGUACUUUCAUAAAAAUAAGCAAGCUCUUAAGAAUAAGAAUAAAAGAACCCAUAGGGUAUGGUUGAAAAAGGAAUUGCUUUUCAUAGAAAUUCAAAUGUUGUCACAUGUUUUUACUGUAUGAAAAAGGGGCACAUUUCAAAUAAAUGUAGAAUAAAACAUUAUGGUGUUCCAAAUGAGAGAUAUGUUUGGAUUCCUGUUAUAAAGUAAUCUGGCUCUAGCCUCAAAGGACCCAAAUGAGAUUUUGGGGACCAAAACCCCUGUAUUACGUUUUUGCAGGUUAAGUUUUCAAAAUGAGAUAUUACGAUAAAUUUUAAGAGCUUUAAAAUGAUUUUUGAAUCUUAGACAUGUCUUAAGUGUCCAAAAAUAGUUAAAAUAACAAUUUUCGAAAAUUAACGUGCAAUAAUCGAUUAUCAAGGUCAUUUUCACUUCAACGUACAAAUUUGGCUCGACAAUAACCAAUUAUCAAGAGUGAUAAUCGAUUAUCUUAAGUUAUAACGUAAAAAAAAAGAAAAAAAAAACUUCUUUUAAUCUGUUUUAGAUUUUAAAGGGAAUAUUACAUUUAGAGGGAGUAAUUUUAAUAAUUUAAAAGAGAACUAAAUUAUUUUUGAAUUAACUAAUUUAGGAAGAGCAUAAAGAUUAGAUGAUUCUUUGAUUAUGAUAAAAAAGGGGGAGAAAUUUUUUGAUUGACAUCUUCUUGUGAUAAUUGGUAACUAUUUGAGGGGGAGAUAUACGAGUAUGUUGAUCUCUUGUUAUUUAUCUCUAUUUUGGAUCAAUUACACUUUUCCCCUUAGUUUUCAAUUAGGAACAUGACCUUUAAGAAUAUGGCAUAUCACAAGCCUUCAAAAAAAUUUGAUCAUCAUCAAAAAGGGGAAGAUUGUUACAAAUGUGAAGCAUUGAUGCUUUGAAGAGAUUUUGAUGAUGAUGCACUUGAAGCCUUGAAGAAUUAUUUACAUACAUUGUUAAAGCAUUUUUCUAGAAAACCUUGUAUUAGGCUUUUGCUUUCAUUUGUACAUCGUAAGAAGACAUGUAAAUUGAUUUUUAGUAUAACUAUUGUUAAAAUAGAAUGACUCAAUUUCUCACACCAAGAGGAGGGGGGGGGGAGGUGAAUUGGUGAACUACAAAAACAAAAGCUUUUAAAAUAUUUUUCGCAAAAAUGACACCUUUAUACUUUUCUUGAAAUGCAAGGUAAAAGAUUUUCAAUGUAGUGGAAACUUAAUUGAAUAAGUAUAGAAAGAAGUCGAUUAAAUGUAAAAGAGAAGGGAUCAAAAAAUUCAAACACUGUGUUUUUAUACUGGUUUGGCCAACCUGCCUACAUUCAGUGUCCUUCCAACCAUAGGAAGAAAAUGCACUGUAAUGAUCAAGGUUUUUAUAGUAAGGUUUCUACAGAAGACCUCACGUCAAAAAUGUAAAAUACCUCUCUAACCCUCUAAUCAAAAUAUAGGCAACACAACUAGACCAACAACAAGAAUCUCCUCUCCUGUCAUUUAAACCCUUUGAGACACUCUCAAAGUCAAGAACACAUAUGUUCUUCUUCCUGUAGUCACAAUAGGGAACCUCAAACCAACCUUCAAAAGAUUGCAGAAUUUGAUCGCGCAAUAAAAACCAAAUGUGCAUAUUGACCAGCCUUUGAAAACGCAACAGUCUUGCUCUUCAAGUAGUUGAUCACCACGACCAAUCUUGUUUCUUGGAGCUUUUCCCUCUUUUUGUAAGAUCACAACUUUCUGUAAAAGAUAUCAAAAUGUUAGAAUUACAAAAGCUCUUACAGAAAUCAAAUUCGCAUCAAUUUAUAGAAUAACACAUUAUAGACGUAUUUUAAUCGACUAAGCUACUAAUGUAAUCGAAUAUAACAAUUCUGUUAUAAUAGUUAGCAGCAAACACAACAAUUAAUUGAAUGCACAAUUAAUGCAUUCGACUAUCAUUUAAUGCUUGGUCAACAUAUUUAAAAAUAUGACCGUUAGAUAAUUAUGUCAAGCAUUAACAAAAUUUCAAAACAAUAACAGACUUAAUCUAAUACAGCACGCAUGCAAUCGAUUAUGUAACAUUGUUAAGCAUAGUUUUGAAAAACUUUAUCUUUGAAAAAUCUCACAGCACCAUUCAAAAUAGUUUGUGCAAAGACAUGAGUUUUAAUCGAUUCAACCCAUAAUGAAAUCGACUUAAAACUAUUGUUUUGUCACACAAUUAAAGUUCAACUAAAGUGCUUAUGGUUUUCCUUUUCCAAAAUCAUAUGUCAUGCAUUCACAUAUAAAAUCACAUAUGUAACACAAUGAUAUGCAAUGAAAAACACAAUCAUGUUCUCAUAUAUUCUUAAUCAGAUUCAAAACAUUGAUCAAAAGCAUAUAAUAUGUAAACAUAGAACAUGUAACACAUAAUACACACGUGUUAUUAAUUAUGCGUUGUCAUCAUAAAAAACACAAAUAUUACUGAGAUUGUGGGUUCAGCUAAACCUGUGCUCCCCUAUGAACAAUCUCAACAAUCUCCCCUUUUUUUUAUGAUGCAUAACCAUGAUUAAUAAUCAACCAUGUUGCACAAAUAAAUACAAAUUAUCAAUCAAUUACAGAAUCAUCAUAAUUCUUUGCCCUUGAGGAUUAACAAAAAAGGUAAGCACAAUGUAAUUGAUAUUCUGAUAAUCAAUCACAUAGAGAUGCAUCAGAUAACAAUCAAAACAAAUUAUGAUGCUCCCCUUGACAAAGAUAUUCACAUGUUUUAAGAUUUUCUCCCCCUUAAAUGAAGACAAGUGAAACAUCUCAAUAAUAUGCAAUACUCCCCCUGCCAUUAUGCAUGUUUUAAUCUCAAAACAUAAAUGCACAAUUGAUAAAGAUUGAAAUACCGUUAUUUUUAUACUUAAUUUUGAUACUAAAAACACCUUUUAUGACUUAGAAACUAGCUCGAAAUCAUACUUUUUUGCUGAAGUUAGAGAAUAAGAGAGUUAAAGGUGGUAUUAUUGGUUUUAUGCUUGGUUUUCCUUGCUUUGGCAGGACAUAGGAGGAAUUGAAUGAAGGAAAUUGAAGUAGUAAGGAGUUGGACUCAGGAAAGGAAGGAAAAUUUCACAAAGGAAGAAUCGUAGCCACCACUCAGCGCCACUUUGUCGCUGGGCGCCAAGAUCACUGUAGAGUCCACUGUCUGGUGCCUGAGUGAUAACGGUUGAAAAAUUGAUAUCAAAUACACCCUUUAUGACUUAGAAUUAGCUUGAAAUUAUGCAAUUUUCUUAAGUUAGAGUAUAAGAGAGUCAAAUUAGGUUUUAUUAGUUUUAUGUUUGGUUUUCCUUUGAUGUGGCAUAAUUUAUCAGGAAUUGAAUGAAGGAAGUCAAGUAAGGAAGGAAUUGGAUGCAAGAGAAGGUGGAAAACUGAAGAAAAGAAGAGUCACAGCCACCACCGGGUGGUGAAACCACCACUAGGCGGUGUACUCUCUAGGCAAUUCUCUGUUAGACGCUUAAGCGGCACCGCUAAGGGGUGAAAUUGAGUAUCGCACUCACCGCCGGGCGAUGAAACCCACCACCGGGCAGUGAAACCCACCACCGGGCGGUGAAACCCACCACCGGGCAGUGAAACCCACCAUCGGACGGUGGACUCUUCAGUAAAUUAUUUGGACGAUGCUUAAGCGGCAACGCAGGGGGUGAGAUCAAGUGUCGUGCCUACCGCCAGGCGGUGUACUAUUGGGCCUGAGCUAAAUUUCUGAUAUUUUUCUGAGUUAUAAAUAGAUUUGCACGAAUCAAAGAAGCUAUCUUUUAACAGAAGGAGGCGCAAAAACACUAUUUUCACCCCUUGGAGGAGGAUUUUGGAUGCAGGAGCUCCAAUCUAUCAAAUCUAGGGUUUAUCUUUUCAUUCUUUCCAUUAUUUUCAUCUAGUUUCACCAUGAUUAUGGUGAACUAAACCUCCAUUGUUGUUAGGGACUUGAUGUAAUCCUUUGAAACUCAUAUAUUGAAUUGAGGCUUUAUUCAUAUGCUUUUAUUCAUUAAUUGUUAGGGUUUUUCCUCCAUUAUAUUUGCAUGCUUUGUUUAAGACAUUAUUCAAUAGCAUAAUCUUUGAUUCUAUCUAUAUGGACAUGUGUAGGUAGGUCUAGACAUGAGGGAAUUCUCUCAAUAGCAAUAUUACCUAGACAUAGGGAUGUGAGGACCAAUUGCCUUUAAGCUUCUGUGCGAAUGUAAUGCAUGAUCAAUUGCUAGGGAGACUAGACAUAGUAAACUAGUAAUUAGGAGUAGUCUCUCUUCACCAAGAUAUUGGGAAUAGGGUAAAUUAGAAAGUGUCUUUGACAUUGAUGAAAAAGUCAAAUUCUUAGAUAUAUGAGAGUGGAUAGGAUGAAAUCAUAAACCCCAACAACACAAUUCAUUAAUACAUCAUUCACUUGCGUUAUAUUUUGGUCAAUUGAUCAAAACCUUUGCAUGCAUAUUUAAUUUUGGUUUUUGCAUUAUAAAACCCUAAUUUUCGUUAUUCAAGUCUUAAAUAAUCAAGAAAUCGCAUGAAAGUUUAGGCCUAAGAGUCUCUAGGGAAAUGAUUCUCGAACUUACAUUUUAUUAUUACUUGAUACGAUUCAGUACACUUGUCGGACUCUUAGCACUAAGCACCAUAGUUGAGGGGCAAAUACAAGUGUUGUACUCACCGUUGAGCGCCACUUUACUGUUGAGCGCCAGUUCUGCUGAAGAGUUCACUAUUUCUCGUCUGGGCGUCAACGCUAAGCAUUAUUCUAAGUACCAUGCCUACCCCUGAGCGACAAUUCUAACGUUGAGCGUUGUCAGCGUGGGCCUAGCCCAGUUUCCUGUUACUUUUAUGAGCUAUAUAAGGAUUUAGUCGAGCUAGAGGGUCUAUCUUUGGACAGAAAGAGGCGUAGAAACACUCUCUUCACCCCUCGGAGGCAGAUUUUGGAUGCGGAAGCUCCAAUUUACAACUUUUAGGGUUCUAUCUUUCAUUCUUUUCAUUAUUUUCAUCUAGUUUCACCAUGUCUAUGGUGAACUAAACCUCCAUUGUUGUUAGGGAAACGAUGUAAUCCUUUGAAACUCUCAUGUAUUGAAUUUAUUCUUGAUAUAUAUGCUUUACUUCAUUAAUUUUUAGGGUUUUUCCUCUAUACUCUAUGCAUGCUUUGUUUAACUCAUUCAAUUGCAUGAUCAUUGAUUUUGUCGAUAUGGACACAUACGAGGAAAUCUAGACUAGGGGAAAUUCUCUCGGGAGCAAUAUUACCUAGACAUAGGGAUAGGAGGACCGAUUGCCUUUAAGCUUUUGUGAGAAUGUUGUUGGAAACAGGAUGACUCAGUUUCAACACCAAGAAGGGGAGUGAACUGGUGAGGUUUAAAAAUCAGAGUCUUUUAAAAAUCUUUUUCGCAAAGUAUAAACCUUUACAAAGUUUCUUGAAUCGCAAUGAAUAAAAAAUUCAGUGCAACGGAAAUGUAAAGUUGACUACGUAAACAGUAAAGUCGACUUGAUGUAAAAGUGUAGGGAAAGAGAAGGCAAACACAGAGUUUUUAUACUGGUUCGGCCUCAAUGCCUACAUCCAGUGUCCUUCCAACACCAGGAAGCCAAUGCACUAUAUUAGUCAAGGUUUUUACAACAAUAUUUCUACAGAGACCUCCACAUAAAAAAUAUAGACAAUCUCUUUAACCCACUAACUAAAAGUAUAAGCAGUCAACACAAAGAUAUGCAGCAAGAUAUCCCCUUUUUGCAAUCUUCAACCCACUUUAAACAAUCCUUAAAGUGUCAGAACUCCACGAGUCCACCUCCUGUAAUCCCAACAGGAAAACAACAAUCUUUCCAAAUAUUCAUAGAAAACUUGAUCAGUAUGAUGACACCAAAUGUACAGAUCUUGAUCAAACAGUACGCGCAAUACACUUCCUCCUUAAGAAACUCCUGCAAGAAAGAUCUAUGUCGUCUUCUUGUUGAGUUCUUAGAGCCUUUUCUCAGAGAUCACAAUCUGUAAAUCAAAUGAAAGUGUUAGAAUAUCCAAAGUCAUUAUGUGAUAGACCGAAUCACGUCUAUUUAUAAUUUUCUAUAAAUCAGACACUCCUAUAGUCGACUGUGCUACUAAUGAAGUCGACUGUCAUCAAACAAUUAUAACAGUUAAGUCAAUUAGCAGCAGUCAUAACAACCAAAUUGAUUUUGCAUUAAAUACAGUUGACUCUCAAUUAAUGCUUUAGCAUAGAGUUGAAAUAUAGCCGUUACAGCACACAAGCAUUAACAAAAUUUCAAAUCAAAUAACUAACUAUGUGGAAUUCAUUGCGCAUGUAGUCGACUUAGACACUUUAGAUCAAUUUGAAAAUCUUUUCAAUGCAAAAUCACACACAACACUACUUUUGAAAAUCUGAGCAAAGUCAGGAGUUUUAAUCGACUUACUUCAUAAUGAAGUCGACUUAAAACUUGCACUUUUGCCACACAGUAUAAGUUCAUCAAAGUGCAUGUGGUUUUCCUUUCUUAAACAAAUGUAAUGCAAUCAUAAAAGAUGUAUCCAGUAUCAAAUCAGUGAAUAUGCAUACAUGUAUCAGAAUCAACACAAACAUGUUCAUUAAGAUAUCAAUCACAGUAAAGAAUAGAACAUGUAACACAUAACAAUACAAGUGUUAUUAAUAAUGUCUUGUCAUCAUAAAAAACUAGAGUACUGUGAGAUUAAGGUUCAGCUAAACCAGUGUUUCCCUUAUCAACAAUCUCAACAAAUCUAAUGCAUGAUUAGUUGCUAGGGAUACAAGACAUUGUGAACUAGUAAUUAAGAGUAGGCUUUCUUCACUUAGACAUCGGGUUUAAAGUAAAUUAGAAAGUGGCAUUAACAAUAAUGACGGAGUUGAAUUCUUAAAUACAUGAGAGUGGAUAGGAUAAGUCGAAAACCCCAACAACAUAAUUAAUCCAUACAUCAUUCACCUGCGUAUUCUUUGGUCAAUUGAUCAACACUUGCAUGCAUAUUUACUUUCUGCAUUAUAAACAUUAAUUUUCGUUUUUCAAGUCUUAAAUAAUCAACAAAUGACAUGACUUUCUAGGCCAAUGAGUCUCUUGGGAAAACGAUACUUGGUCUUACCAUUUAUAUUACUUGAUACGAUUCAGUACACUUGUCGGAGUCUUAACAACAAUGUAGUACUUACAGUAUAUAGUAGAGCAUAUAUCAUCAUUGUAUCAGAUUAGAUAUAUCAAAAUAAUAUUAGAGCAAUAUUGAUACACUUUUACUCAUAAAAAACAGUUUAAUCUUUUUAUCAUCUCAAAGCAUGUAUAUCAGUUGAGCAAAGAGAUAUAAGAAGAAUAAACAGUUAAUAGCAUAUAAAACAAGAUUUAAUGAUAUCAUAUAUUCCAAGUUUGGAAUCUUUAAACCCUUGUUAUUACUCAAUCGAUUUGAUCUCAGUCUUAAUCGACUUUAUUGUUGUCCUGUAAAUUGAUUUUCCAGUUUCAUCCAACCAACAAGUAAUGUUCCUGCAAAACCUUUCAAGAUCAUUCCAGAUCAAGAAUUUUAGAAACAAUAUAGUACAAGAAUUAUCAUAGAUAUUAUAUGAGUAUGCAAAUGUAUGAAUGUGACAGUAAACAAUAAUUUGUUCGCAUAUAAGCACACUAAAAUCGAUUUCAUGCUGAUUAAAUUAACUUCACAACAUAGAUCGAUUUAAACAAACUCUGAUUUCAUUGAUGUAAAUCGUGAAUUACAAUCAGAUCAACCAAAAUAAUAAAUGACAUAUAAUGCCAACUAUUACAAACCAAACAGAAGACAUAACACUACAAUUAAAACAAAACAACUAAAUCAGAACAACUAAAAAACUCUAAACUGUAACCACAAGACCUUUAUUCUAUUUUAGGUGACUCUACAAUCUUCUCAUCUACAUUAUUCUUCUCCCUUUCAGAAUCAUCUAUAAAGGUGUCACUAGAUGCAUUUAUCCUUAAUGCAUAGUCCAUCUUCCAGUGCAACUCAGUAAAGGAUCUUUGAUGCAUUACCAUUUUCUCAUCAAGUCUCUUAAAUCUUUCACCUUCAAACUCCUCAAAUCUUGUUUGAGGCUAGAACUUAUAUCUUGAUGUGUCAUCAUUGAUAGGAUUCACCUCAUUAGUACCAAGAAAGUAUUCGUCCUUGAAAAUUCAGCCUUCUUUACUUUUUCUGAGUCCCAUGUGGUCCAUAAAUAAUUUUUCAAUCACAUUCUUUUUGUUACAGCUAAUGGUGAUCUCGCUGGUGGUGUCCAUAUUUUGUAGUCUCAGAAUCAUGCUAAUGAAGACAACGUAUGGUAAGUGGUAUUCUUUCUGCUUUGCAACCUUCAUCAUUGUUUAAACCCUGACAAGUGUACCAGAUCGUAUCAAGUAAUAAAUAAACGGCAAGUCCGAGUAUCGUUUUCCCAAGGGACCCACGAAAGUAAAAUGUUAUGCUUUUGCUUAACAAAUUAAAACUAUAAGAACAAUAUUUUGGGGUUUUUGAAUAUAAAGUGCGGAAAUAUAAACAUGAAUGCAGAUCAAUUGAGGUUAAACACAAAAGUGGAUGGAUGAUGUUGAUAAUAUGAGAUGAAUAUGUUAUUAGGGUUCAGAUUUCACCUAAUCCUUCUCAUAUAUCCACUAUUCUUAUUUGUUAUCAAUGUUCAUACAACUUUCUAAUUUACUCUAAACCCAAUUCCUCAGCGAAUAGAGCCUAUCACCAAUUCAUAGUUUACUAUUCCUAGUCUCCCUAGUAAUUACUAACGCAUUAAUGACAAAAGCUUAAAGCAAUUGACCGUCCUAUUCCUAUUCCUAGGUAAUAUUUCACAAUCAAGAGAAUUCUCCUCAGGUCUAGAUUUUCCCGUACGUUCCCAUAUCGACAAAAUCACUCAUGACAUUGAAUGAGUUAAACAAUGCAAGCUUUAAUCUCAGAGAAGAAAACCCAAAACUAUUGAUAACACAAGUAUAUGAAUAAAAUAAGAACUUCGAUAUAAGAGAGUUUAGAUGUUACAUCUUUCUCUAGCAACAAAUAAGAUUAGUUCUCCAUCGUCAUGGAGGAACUAGGUGUACAAUGGAAUGAAAGAGAUAGAAACUCUAGAAAGAGAAAAGGAGAGUUGUCAAUUCCCCAAAUCUACCCCCAAAGGGGUGAAAAAUGUGUUUUUGUGCCUAAGUCAUCAAAAGAUACAAACCCUAGAGUGUCUAGGCCUUUAAAUAGGUCAUAAAAAUAACAGAAAACGGGUCCAAGCCCAAACAUAUCAUAAAAAUCGCAGAUAAUAUAUCAAAUCACGUUCUGGUUGACUCUUUUUGGAUUCUAGUUGACUUUUUUGCACUCUGGUUGACUGGUUGACUAGUUGACUUUUCUGCAUUCUGUUUGACUUUUCUGCACUGCAACCCUUUGAUACUUCAACCCUUCUUUCAAAUUAUUCCAAUAACCUAGAAAAUCAAGGGAAUUUAUUGAUAAAAUCAUAAAACAUGUCCUUAACUCUUUCAUUCACAAAACUAAAGCAAAAUCAUGAGUCAAAGCAAGUUUCUAAGUCAACAAGGGUGCAUUUGAUAUCAAAAUUAAGUAUAAAAAUAACGAUUUUUCAACCGUUAUCAAUCAUAUAAUCACCGAUGACAGAUGCCCAAUCUGUUUGUGUUUUUGUUUGCAAUGCAUAUAACAGAUACACAUCUUCUCCAUUCAACAAUGAUUGAUCAUUACCUCUUGGAAGUAAAAUCCAAGUGAUCACGUAUGCGCAUAUUCUUUCCUCUUUACUUAGAUAAUCAACACAGAAGGAAUCAUAUUUCCCUAUCAUAUCUGGAUCUCUGAAAAAUUUGUUGUAUAUCUCAACUUUGUUGAACCCUGAUAUGCCAUGAUGGGCUUUCAGUCCUUUAAGCUGAAAUCCAACAAUAUAUUUCCAUAUGGAAUCAUCAACUUGGACAGUCACACCUUUUACUCUAGAAACAAGAUAGUUCAUGUCCCCUUUAAGUUUGCAUAGAAUACUUUCACAAGAUUUGGAUAGCAGUCACCUUGAAAUUCAAUAAAUUUUGUAUUUUCCUUUUGAAACUCCAACCUUUCUAUAGUAACAAUUUCUAACAUUGUGACCAAUGAUGUUGCAAUAAAAACAAACAUUAGUAACAGGUUUACUCAGAUCAAUAAAUUUCUUUAAAUCUAUUCUACUUCUCUUAGCCUUAUAAUCAAUGCCUUAUCUGUUAAUUGGUCUUCCAGAAGCUCUUAGCACAACAUUUAAGUUUUCUUUACCUUGUGUAAAUUUUGCUAGUGUGCAAGUUAAGUAAUCAAUUUUUUCAAUAUGUACCGAACAAUUAUCACAUUCUUUUUCCACAAUCUUUGUCUCAAUUUUAACUAUCUUAGCAGACUCCAAGGCAAUUUCUAACUCCUUUUUCAAUUUUUCAUUUUCCUCUACCAGAUAAUUGAUUUUAUACUCAUAAUCAUUUCUGUCACAGGUUAAUCGGUUUACCUUGUACUGGAGUCCCAUAGGUUUUGCAUGUAUCUCCUGAAACGUGUCUAACAAUAGAUCAUACUUCACUUCUAUUGGCUCGUUCUCAAAUUAUUCAUUACUAUCUUAACCAGUGUGUGUAGAGUCUGCUAAAAAGAAUAGAUUUGACUCCUCUUGGAUGCUACAGUUGUACACACUUGAAGAAUCGGAAUAGCUAUUUUUCCAGGCAAUGUAUGCAUUCUUUUGCUUUCUGCUCUUGUCUUGUGGAAACUUUUUGCUUGUUUUUUGUUUCAUCUUCAAAUCUGGACAUUCAGGCUUGAUAUGUCCUUCCUUUCCACACUCGCGGCAUUGAACAAUAUUACUUCUUGAAUUCUUUCUGCCUCUUGCAGCACCUACAUUGUCAAUGGUAAAACUUCUACUUUUCAUAAAUCGAUUGAAUUUUCUUACCACCAUGUUCAUGAUUCUUUGUCUUGUAGUUCUGCUUCUAAGUUAGUUUUUGGCUCAAGUUUCUUUGAGGCUUUCUUGCUUGUGGCCUUGAGGGCAAUUGAAUUCUUUUCCUCAAUUUCUUCUUCCUCUUUUAGCCUACCAAGUUCCAAUUCGUGUUCCCUGAGUUUUCCAAACAAAGUUGCCAUAUUCAUGUUAGUUAAGUCUCUUGAUUCUGUUAUGGCUGUAACUUUCAGUUGCCAGCUUCUAUUGAGGCUUUUCAGGAUCUUGAUGUUCAUUUCCUCUUUGUCAAACACCUUUCCGAGAACCAUGAGAUGAUUUGCUAUGUGUGUAAAUCUUUUCUGUACUUCAUAAAUUGUCUCAUCAGCUUUCAUCCUGAAUAGUUCAUACUAUUGUAUAAGAGAGUUCUUUCUGCCCUUUUCAUAACGCUUGGGCGCCCUAAGUUGGGGCGCUGAGCGUCGAUGCGUGGGCUUGGACUUUUUAUCUGCUCUAUUUAAGGACUUGGACGUACUAGGGUUCGUAUCUUCUAGCAGAAGGAGCGUAAAUUCACACUUUUCGACCCUUUGGAGGCAGAAUUGGAUGCGGGAGCACUCCUCUUCGGUUUUUAGGGUUUAUCUUUCAUUCUUUUUCCAUUGUACAUCUAGUUUCACCAUGACAACAGGGAACUAAAUUCUAUUUGUUGUUGGGGGAUGAUGUAACCUUGUGAACUCUCAUGUAUUUGAACUGAUUGUUAUUAAAUAUGCUUCUUUCAUUAAUUGUUAGGGUUUUUCUUCUUCGCUCAAUGCUUGUUAUGUUUAACUCAUUCAUGGCAUGAUGUAUGAUUUGCAUGAGUAUCGGGAGAUAUCUUAAAAUUCAUGAUCUAGAGAAUUUCCCCAAAAAGCAGUAUUGUCCAAGGAUGGGGAUAUGAGUUUUGGUUGUCUUAAGCUACUAAUAGUAAUGCAGAAUUAAUUAUUAGGGAUUGUGGUCUAGUAAUUAAGGAUACACUUUCUUUGCCGAGAGAUCGAGUUUUAAGUAAUUUAAAUAGUGACAUUAAUAUUAAUGAAGAAAUAGAAUUCAAAUAUACAUGAGAGUAAACUAGGUGAAAUCUAAACUCCAAUAACAUAUUCAUCUCAUAUUUUUAAUAUCAUUCAUUCGCCUUUGUGCUUCUGUUCAUUUGAUCAAAUUGCAUGCAUAAUUAAGUAAUCACAUGAUUGUUUAGUGUCGUGAGUCUCUUGGGAAACGAUACUUGGUCUUACCAUUAUUUUUAAUUGAUAUGAUUCGGUACACUUGUCGAGGUCUUAACAAAAUCCUGAAAAAUUCAUCCAUGGUUAGUGUAGACAUAAUAACAUUUCUACCUUUUACAUCAUACUGCGCUCUACAGUUUUCAUCUUGAGUCCACUCUGAAAAAAAUUUCAAAACAACUUUUCCAUUUAAAACAUGAGUGGGCUCACAUGGACCGUUUAGAGUUGCAUCCCAAACUUCUUUAUCUACAGAUUCAAGAAAGAUUUGCAUCCUUAUUUUCCAACAGACAUAAUUUUCUCCAGCAAAUAAUGGUGGUCUAUUUGUGGAAGCACCUUUACCAAAGGUUUGAGAAUUGAAAGCCAUUUUCCAGGAUUAUUCGAGUAAUCAGAAAUAGUAAUGGACUUGUUUUUCAAAUAUUUUAUGAAAACCAACUCUAGUGCCAAUUGUUAAAAUAGAAUGACUCAAUUUCUCACACCAAGGGGUAUUGGUGAAGUAUAAAACAAAAGCCUUUAAAAUCCUUUCUGUAAAAAUGAUGCCUUUAUACUUUUCUUGAAAAACAAGGUAAAAAUUUUCAAUGCAGCGGAAACUUAAUCAAAUAAGUACAGAAAGAAGUCAAUUAAAUGGAAAAGAGUAGGGAUCAGAAAAUUCAAACACUGCGUUUUUAUAUUGGUUCAGCCAACCUGCCUACAUCUAGUGUCCUUCCAACCAUGGGAAGCAAAGGCACUAUAAUGAUCAAGGCUUUUACAACAAUGUUUCUAUAGAAGACCUCACGUUAAAAAUGUAAAACACCUCUCUAACUCUUUAAUCAAAAUAUAGGAGUUACAUAACUAGACCAGCGGCAAAAAUCCCCUUUCUUGCCUUCUAAACCCUUUGAGACACUCUCAAAGUCAAGAACACAUGUGUUCUUCUUCUUGUAGUCACAAUAGGGAACCUCAAACCAAUCUUCAAAAGAUUGCAGAAUCUGAUCGCACAAUAACACCUAAAUGUGCAGAUUGAUCAACCUUUGAAAACACAACAGUCUUGCUCUUCGAGAAAUCACAAGUAGUUGAUCACCAAAGUAAAUCUUGUUUCUUGGAGCUUUUCCCUCUUUCUAUAAGAUCAUAGCUUUCUAUAAAAGAUAUCAAAAUGUUAGAAUUACAAAAGUUCUUAUAAAAUUCAAAUUCGCGUCAACUUAUAGAAUAACACAACACAAACGCAUUUUAAUCGACUAAGCUACUAAUGUAAUCGAGUAUAACAAUUCUGUUAUAAAAGUUAGUAGCAAACACAACAAUUAAUUGAAUGUGCAAUUAAUGCAGUCGACUAUCAUUUAAUGCUUGGUCAAGAUAUAUAAAAAUAUGACCGUUAGACAUGUCAAGCAUUAACAAAAUUUUAAAACAAUAACAGACUUAAUCGAAUACAGCACGCAUGCAAUCGACUAUGUAAUAAUGUUAAGCAUAGUUUUGAACAAAUUGCUCUUCGAAAAAUCUCACAACACACUUGAAAAAAGUUUGUGCAAAGACAUGAGUUUUAAUCGAUUCACCCCAUAAUGAAAUCGACUUAAAACUGUAGUUUUGUCACACAAUUAAAGAUCAGCUAAAGUGCUUGUGGUUUUCCUUUUCCAAAAUCAUAUGUCAUGCAUUCACAUAUAAAAUCACAUAUGUAACAUAGUGAUAUGCAAUGAACAACACAAUCAUGUUCUCAUAUAUGCUUAAACAGAUUCAACACAUUGAUCAGAAGCAUAUAACAUUUAAACAUAGAACAUAUAACACAUAAUACACAUGUGUUAUUAAUUAUGAGUUAUCAUCAUCAAAAACACAGAUAUUACUGAGAUUGUGGGUUGAACUAAACUUGUUUUCCCCUAUCAAUAAUCUCAAUAGCUAUGUUGCGACAAUAAUCGAUUACCAUGAAGGAUAAUAAAUUAUCAUGUGAAAAACGAGAAAACACUUCAAAUCGCUAAUAAUCGAUUAUCUCUCGAGAUAUCGAUUAUCACCUAAAGUUAUAAUUUUCCAGGGUUUGACAAUAAUUGAUUAUCACUAAGGAUAAUCGAUUAUUACGUUUUUUGUCAAAACCCAUAAUGACCUAUAAUAAUUGGUUAUCACUUUUGAUAAUUGAUUAUUACUAGCAGUUGGGAGCUGCCUUUUUAGUUUCUGACAUUGCAUGAACCUUGGCUUAUAAAUAGAGUUCUCCACCAUUGUUAGAGGAAAAAAUGUUCACCUAAGAGUAUUAGAGUUGUGUGCCUAAGGAAAACUCUGCAUGUUUGUGAAAAAGGGAGCUUGUGAACUUGGUGCUUGUAGGAGGAAGUGCUCUUUCUUGGUGUGUCUAAGUGGUGGAGUAUACCUAUAUAGCAGAGUCAACCUGGUCAUCCUUUUAUGCGUCAAAAGGAGGUGUCUUUCAUCUCUUAUCUGUUAAGAGAGAUGGUUUCUAAUCUUGAUCCUUAUUUCUCUAUUGUAAAUUUUUACCAACUCAGUGGAAAGAUCAAUCACUCUUUUAUAGUGAUUAACAACUAGACGUAGAAUCUUUUGAUUCAAACCAGUAUAAAAAUUCUUUGUGCAUUGUUCUUGAUCUCUAUAUCUCUUGAUUAUAAGCUAUUCGACGAAAGUCCUAAAAGAAAUCUAAAAUUUUUAAAAGAAUAAAUUCACCUUGUUCCCUCUUGGUUAUUUUUCACUUACACACUCUUUAAAAACGUUCCGCUGCGCGAUACCAAUCUCAGCAAAGUAUUCUCACGACUCUUGGUUCACCUAGUCAACACAACUAAUAUGAGUUUAACCACUCAUGGUUUACACGUAUUCUAACCACUUUUGAUCUCAAGUAUUCUAACUACUUAUGGUCUUAACCCUAUACAACACAUCUAGACAAGUGUUUUAAUUCUCUUCAGAAUUUAUAAUGCAAAUAGUAUUAUAAACAAAGGUACAAAUUGAAAUACACAGGGCAACAUUAGAAAGUGAAUAGUGUUUUCCAAAACUUUUUGCAAAGGGUGUCUAAAGAGUUUAAAAGAGAUUACAAAAGAAAGAUAUUCUUUAGAUGAUGACAAAGGAAACUAAAUAAAAGCUUUUAAGAAAGGAAAACAAUAAAACACAAUUUUUAUACUGGUUCACCAAAUCUAAGCUACAUACAGUUCUCCAUUAAGAACUCUUGAGGGGUUCCACUAAAUUUUUUAAGAUUACAUAAGUUUAACCCAUUCUUGGUUGUAAGUAUUAUUACCACUCCUAGUUCCCGUAGUCAAUCCUAAUUAGUCCAAGUUUACCUACUCCUGGUUUCAAGUAUUAUCACCACUCGUGGUUCCCUAGUCAAUCCGAACUAGUCUAAGUUUAACCACUCAUAGCCAACACGUCUACACUGAGUUUACCCACUCCUAGUUCCAAGUAUUAUCACCACUCCUGGUUCCUUAAUCAAUCUUGACUAGUCCAAGUUUAGCCACUUCUAGAUCUAACCUAGAAAACACGUCUAGACCGUGUUUACCCUGGUUCCAAGUAUUACCUUUCACUCUUAGCAUCCCUAGACAAUUGUCUAGCUACAAGUAUUUUAAUUCUCUCCAGAAUUUAUAAUAAAUUCAUGAAGAAUUUCUUACAAGAUACAGAUUAAAAGCUCUCAAUGAGAGGAUACAUUUUUUAGUACAAUACAAUCUGAAAUCUUGUUUAGCUAUAGACUUGAGUAACUUUCUAAAAGAGGAUAUAUGUAUUGAAGUGUAGUUUUAUAAAUAGUGAGGUUGUUCCUUUGGAUUGAAGAGCAUCAGACAAUGUAUACUUGUAGAGUAGAGUGUAUUUCAAUCAUAUUUAUGAUGCUUGCUCCUUUCUUCUUUUCUUUUCUUCUCUUCUGCUUCUACCUUUCCUUUCAUUCUGAAAGCUUCAAACAUUGUAAGCUUGGAGAUGUAGCAGAAAGCGAGAUAUGACUAUAGCUUUCUCUUCAUAUUUUCCUUUGGUCGAGCUUGCUUUCAUCAUUUUUCUAUGAGUUGAAGAUCAUUAGACGAUAUAAGAGUUGGGAUAGAGUAGAGCUGAUAUUUUAUGAUCUCUCUUAAGCAUACUCUCUUUCUUUCUCAUCUCUUACUUCUUUUCAUUUCUUCUUCAACAACCUUCUUCUCUUCAAUUGAUCUUCUUUAUAUAGUAUUUCUUAAGAGAUUAUUGUUGAAUAAAGAGUUGAUUUCAUCAUAGGCUUUAUAGCCAUUAUAGGAAUAUUGAUCAAACUCAAGUCUACGUUAUAGGCUAAUAGUGCUUUUUCCCGAAGAUAACUUGUAAGAUUCUUCUAGGUUAUUGGCCUUGAAUAGGUUUCCUUGUUUCUCAAUGUCUCUUGUUUAGAUCUCUUGGACAAAGCUUAGUGUUGUCAUUUCCUACACAGAUAAAGAGGAUAAGGCAUACAAGUACAAAUACACUUUUUCGUACAAUAUUAAAUAUUUUAUCCAUUGGUGAUUGUAGAGUACAUUAUGUGUUUAGAACAUUCUUGCAUAUGUCAACAUCACUUAAUUAAAGCCUCGUUUAAUGGUAAAACAUAUAUCAUAUGUAAUCAUCAGAUGGUGUAAACCUAAGAUUUUUUCUCAAAGGCUAUAAUGUUUAACGAUCAUUGAUCAGAUGAUGUUUUCUCAAGGAAGCUUUGCUUGAUAUAAACCUGUAUUGAAUAAAAAAUUCUUUUAACCUUAAUGUUAUGUAAGAGACAAAAUUUUGCUUUCAUAAGAAGUCAACUAGUUUUGCUCAUAUAGUCUAUUAAAUUAUUUAAAUUUUAUAUGCCAACUUGUUUCAUUAUUCUAUUCUUUUUUAUCUUAUCUUUCUUGUGCUAUCAUUCUUGUCUUCUAUUCAAAACUUUCAUUUAUAUAUAGCUUUUCUUGAAAGAUAAUCGUUAGAUAAGGAAGUUGACUUCAGGAGAGUAGGUAGCCUUUAAAGAGAAGUCAGACUUUAAUAUACUUUGUAGGGGUCAGAGCUUUAUCAUAGCUUUUAGCAAAAUUAAGCAUAUAUGACGUGAUAGACUAUAUUACCGGUUAAUUCAUAAAUACAUCGUUUGGUAAAACAUACAACAUGUAUAAUCAUCAGAUGAUAUAAAAAUUAGAUGCUUCUUCAAAGGCUAUAGUGUUUUGCGAUUAUACAUUAGACGAUGUAUUCUUAAAACGCUUUACUUGAUAUAACACUUGUAUUGAAUAAAAAUUUAUUUUAACCUCUUAUAAAAGAGAUAGACUUUUUCUUUCAGAAGAUUCUAACUUGUUACUCAUAUAUUCGAUGAUUUCAAAGAGAGACACUUUCUUUUCUUAAACGUUGUUCAUAACUUUGUUGAUUAGAUAGUUUAGUCUAGAAAGCAUUGUUCAUAAGCUUGAUUUCAUUUAAAAUAGAUGUUACAAAAUAUUUCUUUCUUAGACGUUAUUUCUUUUUAAACAACUUUUCAUACAAAAGAAUAUUUCGUUUAAUGUUUUUUGUUAAACAUUAAAACCUAAGUUGUUUAGAUGGUCUAUUUUCUAGACGAUUUUUUCUUAACAAAAUGCAUUACUCAAAACUAGGGAUGACAAUGUAGGUUGGCCUGCUCCAUCCCUAUCCCACAUUUAAUCAAUAAAAAGCGAGUUAGGACGAUCUGCCCCACAUAAGAAAAAUGGGUUAAUUUCUCUUGCCUGCCUGCAUAACGUUUGGUUUGGCCCGCAUAAGAAUUUUAAUAGCUUUAUUUUUAUUUUCUUAAAUUAGUACAAAUAAUAAUUUAUAUAGACCCAUUUCUUAAAUAAGUAAUAUUCAUAAUUUUAAAAUUUAUAAUUUUUAAGUACAAGCUUUUUUCUAAAUAAAAAUGACUUUGAAGUGGAUUGAAACAAGGGAAGAAAUGUGUAUGAGGAAACUGCUUUUGGAUGGGCUGAACGAAAAUGAGCGAGCUGCUUUUGGAUGAACGAGAGAAGUAAGCGAAUGGGCAAGUUACUUAGAAGAAACACACACGUGUUGUGCUAGAGCUGUUAGAGUUUAGGAAUUUAAGUAAUGUGGGUGUUGAUAGGGGGAGCACAUUGUUAGCUAAACCAAAUCCCUGUUAUAUUUGUUUUUUAUGAUGAAAACACAUUGUUAAUAAAAACACAUGUAUGUGUAUUGUGUUAUGUGUUAUGUGUUAUAUCGUCACAUUUGACAUAUUAUGUUGAUUGAUGCAUACUAUUGUGUUUGUAAAGUGAUCAUAUCUGUGUAUGCACAAUAUAUGUUUUGGAAAUAUAAAACCACAUGCACAAAAUCAUAUCUGCAUGAUUUAACUGAUUACAGUGUUGUGAUAAUCAAUUAAGGUCAUUAGACAACUUGAGUUUUAAAUUAUGGCAAAACAACUAGUUUUGAAAUGAUUACAUUAGUUGGUAAAUCGAUUAAAACUCGUAUGUUUGCACAUAUCUUUUUCAAAUGUGUUGUGAUGAGUUUUGGAAAGAAAGUUUUCAAAAAUCAGCUAAGUGUUAAAGCUUAAUCAAUUACAUGGGUUAUGUAUUCAAUUAAGUCUAUUAAGAUUUGAAAACUAAUUUGUGCUUGUCAUAACUACUAUAACGGUCAUAUUUUUAAAUGUGUUGACUAAGCAUUUAAUGAGAAUCGAUUACAUUAAUUGAACAUUCAAUUAUGUGCUUUGACUGAUGUUACUCUGUUACAUGUGUUUAAUGUAACUGAUUAUAUUAAUAUAGUAUUCGAUUGAACUGCAUCAGAAUUGACAAAAAACUAUAUAUUGACGCAUUGAUUGAUUUUCUAUAAGACAAUUUAGAAUUACACUUUCGUAUCUGGUUGAUUUUUAUAUGAGAAGUUUUACAAAGUGAUUAAAGGCUCCAAGAAUCAAGAACAUAAAGUGGUUUACAAAUCUUGAAGAAUUCUUGAGAGACAAACAUGACUGGAUUGAAAAGACUGAUCGUUCUGCACAACUGAGGUUCUGUCUGUUUGAUCAGGAGAAGAAGACUUGUAAUCAUUGAUUUGUUGUUCCCUGUACGUGUUGCGUUAGGAAGAAGAGUGGUGUACUCUUGACUUUGAGAGGGGAUAUCUCAAAGGGGUUGUUGCGACAGGAAUGGGGUAGUUCUGUGUUGGCAGGUUUUGUUGUACUAUAUUUUGAUUAAGAGUUUGUGAGGUGUUUACAUUUGAGGGUUUCUGUAUAAAGCCUUAGUUGUAAUACUCUGAUCAUUAUAGUGGAUUGCUCUCUAAUCUAAAGGUUGAUUGGGAGGGUGACUAGAUAUAGGCAUUGAGGCUGAACCAAUAUAAAAACUGAGUUUAAUUUUCUUCUCCCUAUCUCUUUACGUAAUCGAUUAUAUUUGUCGUUGCUUUUACACGUAUAUUGUUACAUUACACGCAUAUUGCUUACGACACAAGAAAGGUUUCAAGAACUAUACCAUUUGCGAAAAAGAUUUGAAAAAUGCUUAUAUUUAUAAAACACCAAUUCACACCCCCCUCCUCUCCCCUCUUGGUGGUGAGAAACAAAGUUCAUCAAUUCUAACAGUGGGCUUUGCUAGUUGAAUGCAAGUCAGCUCAUUAUUGACCCGUAUGGGUUGCAAGUUAUGUGGGACAAUACUAAGUGAGCUAAAAAACUGAAUUUAUCCCACACUUUUUCUUUCGAGCCUACCAAUCGUUGUCAUGCCUUUCAAACCUUCCUUCCUACAUAUUUAACCUUUUUUACACAUUAAUAAAGAAUAAAUUAACAAAGUUCAUCGAUUCUAAUAGUGGACUUUGCUAGUUGAAUGCAAGUCAACUCAUUAUUGACCCGUAUAGGUUGCGAGUUAUGUGAGACAAUAUUAAGUGAGCUAAAAAACAGAGUUUAUCCUACACUUUUUCUUUUGAGCCUACCCAUCCCUUUCAAACCUUCCUUCCUACAUAUUUAACCUUUUUUACACAUUAAUAAAGAAUAAAGCAUAACAUGAAAAAUUUGAUUAAUUUAAGCUACGUUAAGUUUAAGUUUUGACAUAAAUAUAUUUUUAAUUGAAUUUCUAUUAAAACUUUUAUUAAUUUUAGGCUAUUUAAAAUUAUUAUAUUGUUUAUCAUCUUGCUUACUAGUCAUGUUCAAAAAUAUCAAGUUUUAUUAUUAAUAGAAAAUGACAAGUGACUUUUAUUUCUUUGAUGAAAAGAUGCUAGAAAACAACCUAGAUCAAUGAUGAUGAUAAUGACCUUAUUUCUUAUUUGUGAUGACAUGGAAGUCUUAACAAAACAUAAUAACCUCGUUAUAAACAUAUCUUCAAUGAAAACAAUGUAACUCAUCUGAUAAUUGUAAUAUCAAUUUAUAUUAUCCACAAGUCCUUACAUUAAAACAAAUAACUUAGAUGAUAUGACAACUCAAUUAAAAAAUAUAAAAACUUUACUUAUUGAACAGAAUAAAAAAAAUUAAUAAUAAUUCAAUUGAAAAUAUUCAAAUUUACGAUGCACUUAACAUUUAAUUAAUCUUUAAUCUUGAAUGAGAAUAAUCUUAAGGAAAUCUCACUUUGAAACACUCUUCUCCUAUUGUAACAAGAAAGACCAAAAUCACUUCCUUCUCAUUUUCUAUGAUAGAAAAAUUACUUAUUUUAUUUCUUUUUUAUCGUCUUUUAUUUUUAGUUGACAAAGCAUUUGAUGAUGGCCGUAGGAAGUUCAAGACUCUGAUGAGUAGGCAGAGGUCAAAAGAUCUUAAUCUACAAGUUAAGAUAAUAAAACGAGAUAGAUAGAUAACAGUACAUGGCGUAGAAAUUGAGAGACUUCACUUAUUUUACAAAACACAAAAGAAUCUCAAAAGAUAAUGACAAAGAAUCAUGUACAUAUUACCAGCCAGAAAAAUAAGCAUCCCUUCAUCGUUUUUUGAUUUCUACGUUGAAUGAUACCUUGAGUUUAAGGUU